UAUUAAUGCCUUUGAAGGUUAGAAGAUAUUUUACCUUCUGGAGUUUCUCUGACUCACCGAUGAUCUCAGCUCAAACCUGCCAGUUCAGGGGAGAUGAUCGAUAACACCCUCAGAUGAUCGACAUCUGAGUAAGUAGAUACUGCUGUGUAUUGUGUUUAACUGCUUUAAAAAAAAUUAAAUUUUGUAACUUUAAAGGCUUAAAGUAUUAUGCAUUUUAAUGGGGUUCUUUAAAUUUUGUUGUUGAAUAAUGAUGGCAAUUAUUGUAAUUCCUAUAAGUGAAUAUUUAUAAAUAAUGGGUUUCCAGAAGUUAAUCCCCUAAUGAUAAAAAAAAGUUAGUGAAAACAUUUUCCGUGCAUAAUACUUUACCUUUUAAGAAACAUAUUGAAGACCUAAAUGCAUAUAUUAAAAAUUUAAAAGCAUUCUCCUUAGUGCUUUAUUUUACUUUCAUAUUAAGAAAUGCAAAAUUAUUAGUAAGACUGUUAACUGUAAAUGAAUUUUAAAAAUGCAAUUAUAUUCUUACAGAAAUUGUCUUUUAACAUAGAAUGUAUUUUGGUUAACUUGAAAUAAAUACUGGUUUGUUUUGUGGAAGUAGAAUUUUAAUAGCUCUUUCUAUUUGAAAAUAAUGAUGUUUUUUCCUGCUAACGUAGACAAGAACAUAGAAUCUCUCUGUAUUUAACUUUCGUUUUUAAUUGAGGAGACUAAGAAAGAAGAGCAUGCAUGCUUUCUAAUCAAAACAUCUGAAUGAAAUGUAAAGAGUUCGGCCAGUAGUCUUGACAUAAAUUAUUUCUCAGAAUGAAAGCUGUUAUUCGUCUUGUUAUAUCAUUUGAAACUGUUUUAACAAAACUAGGAAACCAUGAGGUUGUCCCAUGGUCUUGUUUUGGAAUGUGAAGUUCAAAACAAUUAAUAAAUAUACAAGAUGUUCCCCUCUUCGAUGGGGUUAUUUAAAUUAGGUCUAUGUCUGUGCUGUCCCAUAUGGUAGCCACUGGCCACAUGUAGCUACUGACAUUUAAAAUGUGGCUAGCCCCAACGGAGAUGUGUUAUGCAUAAAAUACACACCACAUUGCAAAGACUUAGUCUGAAAAAAAGGCUGUGAAAUAUUUUAUUAAUAAUUUUGUAUGAAUCACAUGUUGGAAUAAUAGUUGUUCAGAUCUGUUGGGUUAAGUAAGCCACUUAAUGUUUUCUUUUACUUUCCUAUGUGACUGAUUGCUAGAAAAUUCUAAAUUACUUGUGGAUUACGUUAUAUUUCCAAAGGGCAGAGGUAGCCCGUGUCAUCGUAUAUGAUUAACAAUUCUUAGUUACCCAUUAUGCGGUAUUCUUUAGGCUUGAACCUUCUGGUGUGUGCAUGGAUAAAUGAAUAUAAAUCUGUAUUCUUUUUAGAAUAGGAUUCUUUGAUUUAUCAGAUAUUUAUUAGUGCUUACAUGUGCCAGACAGUAGUCUAGGCACUGGUGAUACAGUCGGGAACAAAAUAAAACUUGCUGCCUUCAUGGAGUUAACUUUCUCAUAGAGACUAAAAACAGGCUAAGAUAAGUAAGAAAAAAAUACAUAAUCUGUUAGAGAGCCAUAAGUGCUUUCAAGGAAAGCCUCACUGCACGGGUGAUGUUCGAGCAAAGAGUUGAGGAAGGUGAGAGAAAGACCCUCCGGAUAUUUGGGGCAGAGCGGUCCAGGCAGAAGGAAUAGCAACACAAAGACGUCGUGGCAGGAGCUCUCCUGUUUGUUGGCAUGGGGAAAGGAGGCGUGGUGAUGGUUUGGAGAGAGUGAGGACGAGAUGAAAGGGAGUGCGUGGGCACAUCAGGCGAACACUUGCAAGGAUUUUGGCUUCGAGUAAGGUGGAAAGCAGUCGGUGGGUUUCGAGAUGAGAAGUGACAGGAUCUUUCUGUGGAAGCUGUUUUGACAAAAUGCUCGGGGGUGAGGGUGGGAGCGUUCGCAAGAGUGGAAGCAGAGAGCCCCGGUUCAGGGCUACCGCAGUGACCCAGGCGAGAGAGCCCAUAAACGAGGAGAGUGACGAGAAGUGGUGGAAUUAAUUAAUUACCCAUUACUGUGGACUUAUGUGGAAAGAGAGAGAAAGAGAUAUGUCAAGCUGUUCCACCUUAACAGCUGAGGAAUGGAGUGGAGUUGCCUUUGGUUGAGAUCGGGAGGAACAGAUUGACGGGGAGGGGGUGCUUAGUUUGCGACACAUUAACUCUGGGAAGCCUCUGUAGACAUCUAAGUGGAAAGGUCAGGUAGGCAGAGCCUGGAGUUCAACGAGAGGUCGGGGCUGAAGAGGCAAAUCGGAAAUCAUAAGCAAUUAUCAUUACUUAAAGCCCAAAGAAGAGUUGAAGCCACCGAGGCGGUGAGCACAGAUGGAAAAGAGGAGAGGAAACAGACCGUAAUUCCGUAGCAUCAUCCACACUCAAAGAUGCCCAUCGGACGAUGUUACUGAAUUAGUUUUCUCAGGUGUGGCAAUGAUGCUGGAGUUACAUAGGAGGUGUUCUUAUUUCUGGAAGAUGCAUACUUAGCUAUUUAGGAGUGAAAUGUCCUACAUCUAUUUUCCCCUUUCGGAUGGUCUGGCAGAAAGGAAUUACAGAAAAAGGUGGAGGAAGCAUGGUGAAAUGUCAGCAGUAGGCCUUUAGUAGGUAUUCAGGCAUGACUACCCGAGUACUUUCAACUUUUCUGUAAGUUCAAAAGUUUCUUUACAAGUGCCUCCGAAGAGGGACAGAUGUGAGGAUGGUGGGCUGCCGUUUUUCAUAAGCCCUUGAUGAGUAUUUGACUCUAUAAACUGCAUACAUGUUUAAGUUUGAUAAGAAUAAAAAGCAAUAAAAUAAGUCAAAUCUAAUAAGGGGAAACAUUAUAAUCUUGAGUAAUGUUAUGUAAUAAUCAAGUCAGUUCUUUGGAAAUUAGUACUUUUUAAAUAUGGCCGUUGAGUCUUAGGACUGGAAUUUACCUUGGAGACCUCUCAGCCUGCCUCCUCUACCCUAGAGAUUAAUAAAGUGAGUUUCAGGGGAAUUAAGGGACUUGCACAAGGUCACAUGCCUGUGUAGCAGCAGAGCCAGGACUAGAAGCCGGAUCUUUGUACUGCUGUUCCAUUAGUUAAAAAAAAAGGAAGCAGAGAGGUCUAGGACCCAAACAAAGGACCACGGCAACAAUCAGAGCUCGGGAGUCUCAACAAGAAGCGUGAGGAAGAGACGGGAAGGUAGACAUUGGGAUAUUCAAGUCACCAAGGGGAGAAAGUGUCUCUGGAAGCAAGAAUAACCAGCACUGUCAAAUGCUCCUGAUGGGUUAGGUAAGACUCGAGCUGAAAAUCGAUCCUUGACUCUAGCACCGAGGAGGUUGUUAGUGACCUUGACAAGAGGAGGAGGUUUUAGUGAAGUCAGAGGGAAACAGAUUCGAGGGAAAGCUUGGAGGAAAUGCCUGGAAGAGGGUGAGUGGAGACCCUCUUCUGAGGAACUGUGGAGGCAAAAGGGAGUCAGGGUUUUGGUUUUGUAGACGAAAGAAAUUACCUCAUUUCUCCCAAUGUGUGCGUUAGGAGAGAUUUCAAGGUACUCUUCUAAAAUGAUCCACCAGAUUUGUGGCAUUUAAGACCAUCACCUUGUGUAUGUGUGUAUGGGUAGGGUUACUGUUUCCCUCCCAGAAGGAUUUCAUAGAACAGUGUUUGGUAGGGGGGGGGGGGAGUGUGUGUGUGUGUGUGUGUGUAGAGGUUGGCAUUGUGUUAAAGGUUGCUUUUAUAAUUGUUACAGAUUUGACUUCAUUUCUUCUUGCUCAGGGUCUGUAUUCUCAUAGCUAUAAUUAAAAUUUUUAAGGAAAUAAAUGCUGAGCCUAUUCUCAACUGAAAGUGUUGAGAAGGCUAUUGCUUGGGGGCGGUAAUCUGUUUUCCUUGCCUUUAAAGAAGUUACCAAAAUGUUGGAAGAGAUGGCUGCAAAGACACGCCCAAGGUCACAAGACAAAAUGUCGCCAGCAUAACUGGAUCUUAGAUCUGAUUCACCUGCCACGUGGAAUACUUAACCCCUGUGUAUUUCACUUCCAACAGGUAUAAAAUGAGGAUAAGAUUUGCUCCACCUCCUGCAUGAGGUUUUCGUGUGUCAGCUACAAAGCCUUCUAUACACACGAGUCACAGUGCUAAAGGCAAGUUAGGCUUGAGGGUUUUCUGAAUAACUGGGGAGAAAAUGUGUUACAAAAUGUGGAUUGAGACGACUUACAACAAUACUAAUGGAAUCUGCAAGAGUUUGCUUUUGCCCCUGUCAGGCAUUGUUAAUAACACCACAAAAUCCGUCGUCUUUGGGCCCGUCAUAGAGUUUUGUGGUUAAGAGCCACGGCUGAGAUCCAAGCAGUCAAUCAAUUAAUCCCCUAGGAACUCAAAAUUACUGAACAACUGACUGUUCUAGUACUUUUAAUAUAAUGUUAGUUUGCUGGCACUGUGUGGCAGGGCUCUUAAAUGGAAAAUGACGCAGGCUAUGAUGAUAAAUUUUAUGUCAGACUCGGAAAGCAGUUCUGCAUUUGAUACUUGAAGUGGAAUUAUAGUCAUACUAUAUUUUUAAGAGGUUUACGUUAUGGGAGGUUGAGAGAUUAAAAAUGGAUAGAUAGCCAAGGUCACUCCCAUUAAUGAUGAUGUAAAGAGAUCGGGUGGUCCUUUCUUAAUAAAACAAGUAUAAAAUUGGACAAGAUUGACAAAAGCAAUAAUAAUUUCUGGCACUGGAGAUAGACUGGAAAGGCAGACAAUAAUCACACUGGAACGUUGGGUGACGAGUGGGAGUUCUGUGGCCUUUCUUGCCGGGGCCCCUCCCCCGCCUCUUAUCUCACUUGGUGAGAACUGCAGUUUUACCAGCGGGCACUUCUUACCAGAAGUGAUGGAUGCAGUUUGGUGGGGUUGGCAGUAAAAACCCACAGCUUUGCUGGUUAAAAGUGGCACACUCAGUUCAUAAUGGACAGGGAGAACCUACAGCUUUGCUACCUUGGUUUUGCAGUCUUGGGUUGGGGCCACCAGCCAGGAAUUUAACGGGGAGAUCCCUGAAAUGAGAGAGCCAUUAGGGCUGACAUCAGCUCUCCGCGCAGUCAUGGCUGAGGGCUGAACUUUGCAUGCCUUAGGGGAUAGAGACUCAAGACAGCCCAGCAAAAAGCGAAAGUCAGGGAGUUCCUUGAGAGUUGGAGACAACUUCGAAUGCUUUUCAACCCACAUAUAGCUUCCUCAGUGGAGGGGGGAAGCCUUACAGGUACAAUGUAUUUGGGCACAGCCUCUCCCCAAAUCACCGUGGCCUGUGGCUAACCAGGACACUAUGAAGACACAGAGGUAGCCUGGAGGGAACCAGGCCAUAGAACAGAAAUAUGAAUUUAAAAAGUAAGUAGGGGUGCCUGGCUGGCUCAGUCGGUGGAGCGUGCGACUCUUGAUCUCAGGGUUGCGAGUUCGAGCCCCACGUUGGGUGUAGAGAUUACUUCAAGACAAAGCAAAACAAAAAACUAAGACAACAGGGGCCACAUUCAUGGAAGAGGCAGAUUCUGCCGUAGAAGUACAAGCAGAUUUCUAAGAGGACCGCCACCCCUUGGAAAACUGAGGUCUGUCAGCUGAUAAGUGGAUGACUAAAACAUGGUGUAUUCAUAUAGUGGAAUACCAUUAGGCAGUAAAAAGGAAUGGUGUACUGACACAGGCUAUAAUGUGGGUGAACCUUAAAAACAUUAUACUAAGUGAAAGAAGAUAGCUCCAUUUAUAUGAAAUGUCAAGAAUAGAGAAAUCCAUUCAUAAUAGCAUCAAAAAGACCAAAAUACAUAUAAAUGAAUUCAGUGAGAGUUUAAUCAAAGGUAGUAAGUAUACCCAAAUAGGGAGGAACAUAUUGCCAUGUUUAUAGGUUGGAAGACUUAAUAUAGUUAAUGUGGCAGUUUCCCCCAAAUUAAUCUAUAGGUUCAACAACGUUGUCAAAAUCUCAGAAAGGAUUUUUAGAGAAGUAUCUAUAGAGAAAACAGAGUCUAAAAUUCUUAUGGAAAUGCAGAGAAUCUAGAAUAAUCAAAGUGACUUUAAAAAAGAAGUAAGUUGGGGGAUGUGUAGUACCUGGUUUCACAACCUACCGUAAAGCUACAGAAGCAAAGACUUUGGUAUUUGCAUAGGGAUAGACAUAUAGAUCAGUGGAACAGAAUGUCUAGAAAUAGUUGUAUUUCCUGUGUGGUCCACUGCUUUUCAACAGAGGUACUGAUGUCAUUCAGUAGGGACACCAUGGUCUUCUCAGGAAACAGUACUGCCACAAUUGGAUACCCAUGUGAACUAAAAUGUGCUUGACUUUUACUUUACAACACACACAAAAAUAAACUUGAAAUGGAUCAUAGGAAAUAUAAAGAAGGAAACAUAGCAGGAGGUUUUCUUGUCUUGAGUUAGAGACUUAGUAAAUAAGAUCUAAAAAGCAUGAGGUAUAUAAAAGAAAAAAUGAUAAACUGGACUUCAUCAAAAUUGCAGUUUUCUUUUCAGAAGACACCACUGUUAAGAAAAUGAAAAGGCAGGCCACAUAUUGGGAGAAAAUAUUUAUAAAACAGAUAAUCUGAUAAAGGAUUUGUGUCUUGAAAAUGUAUAAAGAGCUCUCUUAAAACUCAAUCAUAAGAGAGUAACCUAAUUUAAAAAUGUGCAAAAGAUUUGGAUAGACAUUUUACCAGAGAAGGUACAUGAAUGGUAGGUAAAUGCACACAUGAAGAGAUUUUCAAUAUCAUUAAUCAUUAGGGAAACGCAAAUUCAAGCCGUAAGAUACUGCUGUGCACCCACUCUACUGGCUAAAACUAAAAAAGACGGACAGUCCAUGUGUUGGCAAGGAUGUAAAAACAAACAAACACAAAAAAACCCAGAAUACUCACACAUUGGUAGUGGGAAUAUAAAAUGGUACAGCCAUUGUUGGAAAACGUUUGUUAAAAAGUUCAGCAUACACUUAACAUAUGACCCAGCAAUUCUGUCCCUAGGUAGGCCAUCAGGAGAAGUAACAGCAUAUAUCUAGACAAAAACUUAUAUACAGUGUUCAUAACAGCUUUAUCUAUGGUUGUCAAAAAUUAGAAAUUGUGUAAAUGCCCAUCAGCAGAUGGGUGGAUAAGCAAAUUGUUACACAGUAAAGGAAAGCAAUGGACUGCUGAUAUAUACAACAGCAUGUAUGAAUCUCAAAGUGAUUAUACUGCAUGAAAAAAGCUGGCACUCCCCCCUCCCCACCCCAGAGUAACAAUACAGUCUGAUUCCAUUUAGGUGAAAUUAUACAAAAUGCAAACUAACUGAUUGUGACAGAGCAGAUCAUUGGUUGCCUGAGGAUGGCUUAGGGGAGGAGGGAGAAACGGAUUCUCAAGGGAGGGGUACAGUGAAGCAUUGGGGUGAUUAUAGAUUCAUUAUCUUGAUUAUGCAUGAUAGUUUCAUGGGUGUGCACAUAUGUAAAAGUUCAUCAAAUUGCAUAUUUUAAACAUGUGCAAUUUAUUAUAUAGGAGUCCUACCCCAAUUAGGUUAUAAAAAUUGUGCCCAUUCAAAAAGCAAGCAGAUGUUCAUAGCAGCAUUAUUUGCGAUAGAUAAAAACUAAAAACAAUCCAGUUUGUCAACUGGUGAAUAGAUGAGGAAAAUGGUCAUACAGUGGAGUAUUAUUUAGCCACGAAAAAGAAGGAAACACUAGUUCACACUACUGAUAGAUGCUACAACACGGAUAAACCUCAAAAACAUUGUGGCAGCUGAAUGAAAUCAGAAACCGAGAACUGUGUAUUGUAUGAUACCAUUCAUAUGAAAAUUUCAGAAAAGGCAAAGCCAUGGGUAGAUCCGUGGUUGUCUGGGGCCAGAGGUGGGAGCCGAGACUAGCCAUAAACAGGUACAAGGGAACUGUUGUGUCAGUGGAACUAUUCUUGGUGAUAGUUGUGCUGCAGUUGAAUAAAUUUACAAAGCAUGUCUAACUGUACCCUUAAAAUGGAUGACUUCCGUGGCCUGUAGAUUAUACCUUAAUAAAGCCAUUAAAAGGUGAUUAACCACUCAACAUUUUAAAUUCUCUUUAAGAUGACCAUUCAAGAAAUUGGACUAGAUUGCUGAUUUCAUUGUUAUCUAUUGCUUUGGCAUACUUUGGUGAGACCAAUUAAACUGAUGUUCUAUGCCAAGUACUUUUUGAGAUUCUAAUUGUAAAACAGAAAUCAUUAUUAGUUGUCUUUCAUGGAAUUUAGUGGCUACUAACCACUGUUUUUCCCUUGCACAUGAACACUGAUUUUAUGUUUAAUAAUUGUUACCCCCCCCUCCCCCGCCGCUGGAAGAAAUGGUGGCUUCUUAGAUUAAUAUUCUGUUCGUGUAAAGCAGUUCCAACAUGUGGAGGGUAGGUUAUCAGGAAGGAAUUUGAUGAUGGAGUAAUACUUUUGCAUUUAAAAUUUUUUAAUGUUUAUCGAUUUUGAGAAAGAGCGAGCGCAUGCACGUGGGAAGGGCAGCGGGAGAGGGAGCAGCCUCCACGCCCAGUAUGGAGCCCAGUGAGGGCCUGGAUGUCAAGACUGUGACAUCCUGACCUGAGUUGAUAUCAAGAGUUGGAUGCUCAACCGACUGAGCCCCCAGGAGCCCCCCACCUUUGCAGGUUUUAGAUAGAGAAAAGCACACCUUUCUAGGUGUUGGGUGUCCACCCACGUGUCUCCAGCCCCAUGUUUGUGGAGAUGUCAGGUAAUCUGGGCAUGAGAUCCUUUGGGUGUGGGGAUGGGGAAACUGCAAACAAGAGAAUUCCUUCCAGAGCCCUUUUUUGGCUGGGUCUGGCCAUGUUCUGUACCAGACUAGGAGUCAGGAUCUCCGGGGUUAGUGACUUCAUGCCUGCCUUCACCUCCAUGUCUUCAUAUAUAAAAUUGGAAAUUGAGGUUUGCUUUUUUAGGUAAAAGUGAGUCUCUUUCUAUUAGAAAGUUGCCUAAUUUUGAUGAAAAAUCAAGAAUCCUGGAACAUUUUGCCCACGAUUCUGCCUCAUUCUAUGCAAAUUAGAGUAAUUUAUUUUGAAAACAACCAGAGUCAUUUGGUUUGACUGAACCAAAUGACUGAAAGUCGUUAAUUCAUUUUCCCAAAUAAAGUAAUUCUACUUUUCCCCGUUUUUCCUUCCCCCCAAACAAAUCCUUUAUUCAGCAAAGAUUUAUAGGCACUCUGAAGUUGAGAUAAACCUGCAAAAAUAACGGAAGCAUGGGGGUGGGGUAGGGGCUGAUAUCUAACCUGCCUUCAGUAGGGGUACGGGGGCUGUACAGAGAGGGGCUGGGAAAGCUCUGGGGAAGGGCAUGUGGAGAGCUGAGUUUUGAAGGGUAUAUAGGACUUGGCUGUUAUCCAGGUGGUGGGGACGGGGGGAGUUUGCUGGAGACUUGAAAGCUGUGGCAUUGGCUUUAAAGAAGAGAGAAGAGGGUGAAGAGCUUCGGUGAGUGGGGGUGACUUUUGACUUUGUGACUGGCAGAAUUUGAAGGAUUAAGGGAGAAAAGAAAGGAGUCAAGGGUAAGUUCAGCCUCAGCCUCAGCUGUCUUAAGCAAGUGGAGUCAAGAUAAGUUCAAGCUCAGCCGUCUUAAGCAAGUGGUGGUAUCAUUCAUUGACCUGGGAACAGAAGGCCCCCAAAAUUAGUUUUGCUUGUUGUUUUGGGAAGACAAGAAUUCACUUUGGAGGUUUUAUCAGAGGAGUGCAGCUAUUCGCACACACUCGAUUGAACCUAAAAGAUGAUGCUCUGACCCCUUGUCCAGCUUUGUCAGGACACCCAUGGAGCAUUAGGGACAAGAGUGAAAACUUGACAUGGUCUUGGUGGUCUGUGUUUGUGCAGCAUCACAGGCUGUCGAGUCUGUCACAUGUGCACAGGUAAAAUCCCCCUUGAAAAUGGCAGUCACAGAGUGCAGAAAUUCUGGCACAUGAAAACCUAUCACAUUUAAGAGUUUAGUAGUUCCUUUGGUUACUCUUUUCUCCCUGAUCUCUCCUCUCUGGAUUUUUAUCAUUUGUAAAGUAUAUACUUUGUACUUCUUUCCUAUAAAAAAGAUGAAAAUGGGUGAAGUUUAGAAAAGACCGCUCAACCUUUCACGUGCAUCAGGUCAUUUAGCUUUUAAAACAACCUGGUAAAGGAGGUACUUUUCAUCGUACUGGUUCACGAUAAAGAUUUAUAGUAAAGAUGUUUGGAAAUCAACAGGUUUAAAGUUUUUGACAUGCCAUUAGCACAAAAUAUAAAUUCUUAUUCAGGUCUGUUGACUUUAGCAUGUAAACAAGGGUGGCAAUUUAUUUUGGAAAUUCUAUUUAUUUCUGCCUUGUCCUUCUUUUGAAAGCACUUUGGUAACAAGUAGAUUCAUGAUCCAUAAAAUAAUACCCUACUUUAUACUUUCUGAGAAUAUUUUCUAAGAAUCAUUUGGAAAAUAACUUUCUCAUGAAAACGUUUGCCAGUUAUUUACUUUUCUUUUUUUUUUUAAUAAUCACGAAUAUAUGUUAAACCAAAGAUGCUAUGUAAGCAGUUGCUUUAAAACUACAUCAAAACAGAAGUUAAAAUUAGGUUCUACCUAUGGCUUCAGAUUUAUCUUUUAGUAAUAUGUGGUCAGAUCUUGCUUUAAAUGUAUUCUUGAUUGAAAUACCUUGAGGAAGUAAGUUGGUGGACCUCAGGCUGUUCCCUUGUCUAUAAGAUGAAGACCAGGAAAUACCUGCUCCAGUGAUGUAAAAAUAACUUCUUGGGUUUAGUUUAAGUGUGUGUACACAGGCGGUUCCCUUUUGUACCACAAGAGGGAGUGCCUGCGUUGUCGCUAACCUGAGCUGAGCUCUGAAGUCCUUUCUAAAAUGUGGUUGCAAAGUUCCAAAUGAGUGGAUUGCUGGGAAAAUGAGAAGGGAAAAGAUUGUUUUGACAGUGUCACGGGAAGGAGGUACUCAAAACACAGUUAUGAAAAGGAAGGGAUUGAAUUUUAAGAUACGAAGGCUUUUGCUGACAUACAUCAUUACAGAUUUCCAUUCCCAGUCAACAACCCUUCUUCUUUGCUUGUAUCCUCCGAGAAUUUUGAUUUAUUUUGUUUUCUUCCUUCUUUGCAACUGUAUCUAUAAAUCUUUUGUAUCAAACAAAUACAGAACCCAAAGUUUAGUUUCUCAGUAGUGGUCCUGAACAAUGAAUAUUGGUUAAAGAUAAAUUGGAUUGUUUAUGCUCUAAGCCUUCGACAUGUACAACAUCUGUUUGUUUGCCUUAAAUUGGCAAAUCAGAAAGAUUUGAACGUUUUCAUCCUGCCUUUCUCCCUUCAUACUUUUUUUUCUUUGUUCAUGCUUCUGAAUUCUUUUAUGUGAUGUUUUCCUGUCAUACAUAGCUCAGAAGAUUGGGUGUGGACAAGGAAAAACAUUGUUCUGUGGGUGAACCCCUAGGGACAUGGAAGUAAUUAUAUUAUACAGUGAAAUUUAAAAAUUUGAGACCAAGAUCAAAGCCAAACAAAAAAAGUGAAUUUGGCAAUUGUGGAAUUAUUCCAGUAAAUUUGGGUUAAUAAUUCAGUUUUAUCUCAGCUGUGUGAAUAUUUCAUGUCAAUGUUGGUUUUUUAAUUUAAAUCAUCCCUUUAUGAUAUAAAGAUAAUCCCUUUAUUUUGCUAAUGUUUGUAUUAUAAAUACAAAAGUCAUGAGCCCAUCGUGUUUUAUGUAACGGUAAUUAUACUGUUAACGCUUUUUGUAUUAGAAAAUUUUCUGAAUUUAGAAAAACAACAAUCCCAGGCAUCUGGGAUUAUUACUCUGAACCUUGCUUUUAGAAGAUUUCUCUGGAGCUUGUUUCUAGUAAUAAAUUUGUCCAAGUUUGGGGUCAGACUGUUCUGGUUCAAGUAUGGAACCACUGUGUUUGAAACUUGACAAAAGCACACUUAUCCCUAUAAUUUCAUUUUCACUUGUUUGAAAUCUGGUAAUUUCUUGAGCAGGAAAAACAGAAGUGGAAUUACUAUAGAAAUUAUGCCCAUUUUAUCUGUAUAGCAGCCAGUUUAAAAAACGAUCAUUGCUGGGACCCUGUAAAGAGUUAUAAAACUUAUAAAUACCUUUGAGAUUGCAACAUUCAAAAGAGAAAACAUGAAAGGAAAAACUCUGUAGCUCUAUUUUCUUUGCUUCUACUGCAAAAUUUGUUCUUGUUUCCAAAUGUGGGCACACCCAUGGUAAUCUGUUGUUCACAUGGAUGUCAUCCGUCUUGUUUUGGUAAAAAGAAGGUAGAGAACAGUUGAGACAGGGGCAAGCUGUUCCUUUUAUUAAAAAAAUGUUUUUUAAGUUUAUUUAUUUUGGGAGAGAGAGAAAAAAAAAUGAGUGCACGUGAACAGGGAAGGAAGGGAAGAGAGAGAAUCCCAAGCAGGCUCCGUGUUGUGAGCGCAGAGCCCAGUGCAGGGCUCGAUCCCACGACCGUGAGAUCAUGACCUGAGCCGAAAUCGAGUCGGAUGCUUAACUGACUGAGCCAUCUGUUCCUUUUCUUUUAAAGUUACUUUAAAAAUUAAAGAAUAUUUCAGGCAUAGGAAGGAAGUAUAAGGAAUAUUAAAGAAUUGAAGUGUUAUGUGUUAUGUAGUUAUUAAAACAUGGUAUGUAUCGUUCCAUAAGCCUGACCCUCUUCCUGCCUUACAGAGGUGUAAUGUCCUGAAUUUGGUGUUUAUCAUUCUCAUGCAUAUUUUUACACUUUUCUAAGUACAGAUUUAUUCCUAAACCUAAAUAGAAGGUACGUGAUUUUUACCCUUUUAACCAGUUUCUGAAUGUACAUUAUUGUUAACCGUAGGCACAGUGUUGGACAGCGUAUCUCUAGGAAUUUUCCAUCUGGCACUACUGAAACUUUCUAUACACUGAACAGCAAUCCCUCAUUUCCCCUAAAAACCAUCUUUCUCCUUUGAGCUUUUAUGAGUUUGACUGUUUCGGAUACCUCAUAUAAAUGGAAAUCAUGCAGUAUUUAUCCUUCUGUGACAGGCUUGUGUCACUUGGUGUGAUGGCCUCAGGGUCCUUCCGUGUUGUCACGUACAGCAAGAUUUCCACCUUUUUAAAGGCUGAUUAAUACUCCCUUGUUUGUAUGUGUCACAUUUUCUUUCAUUCAUCUGUUGAUGGACAUUGAGGUUGUUUCCACCUCUUUGCUGUUGUGACUAAUGCUGCAGUAAACGUGCAAGUGCAAAUAUCUCUUUGAGAUCCUGGUGUCCUAUGUUUUAGAUAAAUAUCCAGAGGUGGAAUUGUUGGAUCAUAUUAUAGUUCUAUUUUUAAUAUUUUAAGGAGCUUCCAUACUGUUUUCUGUAGUAGCUGAACCAUUUUAAAUUCCCAUCAGCAGUGCACAAAGGCCUCUAUUUCUUCACAUCCUUGCCAGCUUUUGUUACUUUUUUUUGUGUUUCUUUUUUUAAAGAUUUUUUUUUAAUUUUCUAAUUUUUUAAAAGUAAUCUCUCCACUCAACAUGGAGCUUGAACUCGCAACCCUGAGAUCAGCAAUUGCACAUUCUGCUGACUGAGCCAGCCGGGUGCCUGUUGUUUUUGUUUUUGUUUUUGUUUUUGUUUUGUUUAUAAUAGCCAUUCUAACAGGUGCGGGGUGAUAACCUCAUGGUUUUAUUUGCAUUUUCCUGAUGAUUGGUGAUGCUCAGCAUCUUUUUAUAAUACCUGUUGCCCGUUUGUAUGUCCUUUUUGGAAAAAUGUCUAUUCAAGUCCUUUGUGCAUUUUUUAAUCGUGUUCAUCUGUCUAUCUUUAUCUAUUUUUGCUGUUGAGUUGUAGAGGUCCCUAUAUAUUAUGGAUAUUAAUUCCUUACCGGAUAUGUGGCUUGCAAAUAUUUCCUUCCAUUCUCUAGGUUUCCUUUCACUUUGUGGAUUGUUUCCUUUGCUGUGCAAAAUCUUUUUAGUUUGGUGUAGUCCCACGUGUCUGUUUUUGCUUUUGUUGCAAGACCAGGGUCAUGAAGCUUUUCCCCAUUUUUUUUUUUUUUGGCACUAGAACCGUUUUAAUAUAUGAUACGUAUCUGCCAGAGAAGAGGUUUAUGCGUGUACAACUUUAUCAGUUAACAUCUGCAAGCAUACAUGACAGUGAUCUCAAUUUAUAAAUUCAUCAGGGUCAGAGCAAUGGACCAGUGUCUCUUUACUGCCCUGCUUACCAGCUGUAAAUUACAGAUGCAUUAGUGUCCUUUUGUUGCUCUUCUUUGACUCUCCUUGUCCAGAGACAUUUUGUUGUCAAGUUUCAGUGCAGCUCACCUCCAGCCAAAGGUAAUCUUUUUAGAUAAGUGCUCAGUUGCUACGAAUUUUGCUUAUAAUUAUAACCUAUUUAAUCACAGAAGAAGCUCUGCAGACGUGAAGUUCAAGGUUGCAUACGAUAACAGAUCACAGUUUUGAAGUCGAGCACAGAUUAAAAACCACAGAUGUACCACUUAUGUAAGACACACACCAGUCAUCUUUUAAGCUGCACAGUGACUCCGUAUGAACAUUAUUUUUUUUUAAGUUUAUUUAUUUAUUUUGAGAGAGAUGGAGAGGGAGAGAAUCCCAAGCAGGCUCCACACUGUUAGUGAGGAGUCCUAUGUGGGGCUCUAACUCCCGAACUGUGAGAGUAUGACCUGAGCUGAAGUCGGAUGCUUAACUGACUGAGCCUCUCAGGCGCCCCUUUGUGAACAUUAUGUUUUAUUUUUUGUGUAUUUUUUUAUUAUUUUUUUAAUGUUUAUUUACUUUUGAGAGAGAGGGACACAGAGCGUGAGCGGGGGAGGGUCAGAGAGAGAGGGAGACACAGAAUGUAAAGCAGGCUCCAGGUUCUGAGUUGUCAGCACAGAGCCCGUGCAGGGCUCGAACUCACAAACUGCGAGAUCAUGACCUGAGCUGAAGUUGGAUGCUUAACGGACUGAGCCACACAGGCUCCCCUUUAUGAACAUUAUUAUUAUUAUUAUUAUUAUUAUUAUUAUUUUUAAAGUGCAUCUAUGACAAUCAGUCACACAAAGUUUUUCAGUGCCAAGUACCAGUUGGUCAUGAAACGUGAGUGAGCUUGAGGCACUGUCCAUUCCUAAGGUUCAGCCAGAGAUUGGCCAGAACAUUGGAACACCUCUGCUUAGGAAGGCUGUUUCCCUCCCUCCUUUCCCUCACCUUUUCGUUUGGUGUUUGGCUGCACAUGGCUGGAAUGCUUUUGAUUGUUUUGCAAAUCAGGAGAACCAGUGAUCUAAAACUAUGCCAGGAUCCUAAGUAGUCCUGUCUGUCCAUUUCAGGCUGCUGGUUGGUAGGUCCCUCUCAGGGCCUUCAUUCCUCCUCCUGUGACUCCCAGAACGUUGAUCAGAAGGUCAGAGCAUCAUCACCUCUAACUCUUUGAACUAAUGCCUGGCUGACACUGGAACGUGCAGCCUGGUCUCUUUGAAAAUCACUCACAAAAAGAGCUUCUGCAGGGCUUCAUAAAACCUGGAAUUGCUAUGAAGAUGUCUGAUCUUUAUAAUCCAGGCAGUGAGCAUUGAAGGGAAGCUUCCAAGAGGCAGUUGGGUGCUUACAAUCCAAGCAAUCAGUGGUUGAAUUAAAACGCAAGCUUGAAGCUCCAUAACCCUGGGUGGAAAGAGAAGCUAAGGACGGGUUGAGAUAGCUGGUGGCUGCACCGGUACCCAUAGGGCUGAGUGUGUCCCCCGGUCCAGGAAGCUGGUGACACAUGGGGGUCAGGUAACAUCCUUGGCCCGUGCCCCCAAGUAGGAAGCUGAGCAGCAUAUCCUUGACCGUCAUCUGAAGCCUGUGUAUGGAUCACAGGAUAGGACCUGUGUAUGCAGGAAGAGGAGGGGGACAAGGAAUACGACAGUGGGGAGACAGAAUCUGGAGUCCAGAUAGACUCGAGAGCACUGCUUCUGGAAAUGGUGGGCACUGAGGUGCUAGAGAAGGGAGCGAAUUGGCCGCUUGUUCCACUCUGUGAACUCGGUUCCUGAUCUGGAGAUUUCUUCAUUUUGGCUUUGUUUGACUUGGUUUUGACCUCCCUUCUGUUGUUGCUGCUGCUACUGGCAGCACUUAGCCCAUUGAUUCUUAAGCCUGGUUCUUUUUCCUGGACCUGGACAAGCUGAUUUUCAGCACCACCUCCACGGCAUGAAGAUGUCAGGGUACCAGGUCUUAGCAGACAGCACUUCGAGCGUGUCUGGCUGCACCUGGGUGAACGUUGUCCUCUCCUGACUCUGUUUGGGUGGUGGGGGGUGGCCAGGUGGCCCACUGAGGGGCGCAGCAGGUACAUGCCCGAGGUGGUCAGACUCAGCCCAUUGACUGUGUAAGGCGGUUGCUUAAGAUACCCUGCUAACGUUUGGGCGUGCAACGUGCAGUGUUUGGAAGUACCCUCUCAAUUGGGGGUACCCAGCUAGAAGGUCUGUCUUCUCCUGGGGUGGGCAGGUUCUGGGUCCUUGGUAGGUGGGUUUGCAGUGAUGGAGCUAAGGGCAAGGCAGACAGACAGAGGUGCUGUUCUGUAGGCAUCCUCUUCCUAUGUUUUCUUCUAGAAGUCGUCCAGCUUCAGGCCUUAGGAUUCAGUCUCUAACCCACUUUGAGUUGACUUCUGCAUGUGGUGUGAGAUCAGGGUCCAGUUUCAUUCCUUUGCAUGAGGAUAGCCAGUUUUUCUGAUUAUUUAUUGAAGACAUUAUCCUUUCCCUUUUGUGUCCUCUUCCUCCUGGCACUCUUAUUGAAGAUCACUUGCGGGGUGUACGUGUGGGUGUAUUUUUGGGCUCCCUCUUUGGUUCCAUUCGUCUCUCCAUGUCGGUCUUUACGCCAGGACCAGUUUGAGAAGAAUUCACUUUAGUGCCUUUUAAAAUAUUUGGUAGAAUUCACCAGGGAAGCUGUUGGUCCCGUGCUUUUCUUUGUUGGGGCGCCUUGGAUUACUGAUUGAACUUCCUUACUAGUUAGAGAUCUGUUCAAAUUUUCUGUUUCUUCUUAAUUUGGUCUCUGCAGGUUGUGUAUUUCUAGGAUUUUUUUCCAUUUCUUUUCCAUUUCCAUUUUUUUCCAUUUUCCAGUUUGUUAACCUUGUUUGAUCCUUUUAGUUUCUGUGGCAUCAGUUACAUUGUCUCUUCUUUCAUUGCUGAUUUUAUUUAUUUGAGCAUUCUUUUUUCUCUUAGUCUAGCUAAAGGCUUGCCAAUUCUGUUGCUCUUUUAAAAAAAAAACAAGUUUUAGCCUUUUUGUCCCCUAUUUGCUCUCUUUUUUAAUUUAUGCUCUAAUCUUUAUUCUUUCCUUCUUGCUGCUAACUUUAGACUUCAGUUUGCUCUUUUUCAAGUUCCUUGAGGUAUAAGGUUAGCUUAUUUAUUUGGGAAUCUUUCCUCUUUCUUAACGUGGGUGUUUAUCACCAGGAACUUCCCUCUCAGUAUUGCUUCUGUCAUAUCCCAGAAGUUUUAAUAUGUUGUGUUUUCAUUUUCGUUUUUUUUCCAAGAUAUUUUCUAACUUUCCUUUUGAUUUCGUCCGUGACCCAUUGGUUGUUCAAGAGCGUGUCAGUUAAUUUUCACAUGCUUGUGAGUUUUCCCAGUUUUCCUUCUGCUUUUGAUUUCUGGUUUCAUUCCACUGUGGUCAGAAAAUAUACUUGGUAUGAUUUCAGCCUUCCUAAAUUUGCUAUGGCGCAUGUUUUCAAACAAGAUAUAAAUUGUAUCUGUUGAAAGAAAGUAGAGUUCCAAGGAACGCAGACUCUGAGAAGCAGAUAAACACGCAGGAAGUUUACUAAGGAAGUUUUAGGAUUAACGCCCGCGAAAGAGACGGAAGCAGGACUGGGCAGAGAGAGAGACUGGGCUGCGGUGCAGUCACAAGGAAGCCCUCAGCCCAUCCCAAGGGGAGUGGAGAGGCGGGCUAGCCCUUCAGAAUUGCCCCAGCUCUGGGUGAGGGGUCAGGCACUGAGCUGCCCCUGGAGAGGGGACAUGACUUGGGCGAGGUGACCCUGCUCAGCUGAGAACUGUCAGCCUGCAGCACUCCCAGUGGCUGGGGGAGGAAGCCCUUCAGCGCUAAAGGAGACCUAGCGGCACAAAGAUCUCAGGGUUCGCCGCGGUGCAUGUUGUGUGUUCUGUUCUUGCCUUCUUGGCCCAAUACUAUUUUAUUUAAGGUUUGCUUAUUUUAUUUUGAGAAAGAGCGUGAGCAGGGGUGGAGCAGAGAGAGAGAGAGAGAAAGAGAGAAAGAAAUUCGAGCAGGUUUCACACUAAGCCAGAUGCAGGGCUCCAUGUCACAACCGGGAGAUUGUGACUUGAGUCGAAGUCAAGACUUGGCCGCUUAACCGACUGAGUUACCCAGGUGCCUCUCAAUUUUACGUUUUUUGAGAUUUGUUCAUAUUAAUGUCCGUAGCUGUAGUCACCCAUAUUAAUGGUCUUACAAUAUUCAGUUUUUUUCCUAAAUAUUUACUUAGUUUUGAGAGAGAGAGGGAGAGAGAUAGAGUCUGAGUGGGGGAGGGGUAGAGAGGGAGGGAGAGACAGAAGCAAGAAGCAGGUUCCAGGCUCCGAGCUGUCAGCACAGAGCCUGACGCGGGACUCGAAGCCAUGAACUUUGAGAUCAUGAUGUGAGCUGAAGUUGGAUGCUUAACUGACUGAGCCACCCAGGCGCCCCUACGGUAUUCAGUUUUAUAAAUAUGUCAUAAUUUUUAAAUAGAUUUCCCUGUUGACUGACAUUGAAGUUUUGCAGUGUUUCACUGUUAAAAAAAAAUGUGGCUAUGAACAUUUUUUAUAUAUCUCCUUAAUGUAUGUACUUAGUUCAUCAGGGUUAUGUAACCAGAAAAUUCCUGGGUCUUAGGAUAUGGACAACUUCAACUUUCAUAACUACACUGUAAUGAAGUUUCUCACUGAAGUGGUUUUACCUUGCUUUAUACCCUUAAGACACUUGUCAUUGUCAGACUAAUUUUUCCAGUUUCAUGGAUAUGAAAUGGUAUCUCAGUGUGGUUUUAAUUAGAAUUUUGUUGAAUUCUGGUGAGAUUGAGAAUUUAUGUGUUUGUUAGCUCCUGGGGUUUCUACUGUGAAGUGUGAAUUCCAAUUACGUGCCCAUUUUCCUAUUUUUUAUUUUAUUUUAUUUUAUUUAUUUUAUGCUUUUUAAACAGUGUUUGAAAUUUAUUUUUAGAGACAGCAAGAGGGCAGGGGGGAGAGAGAGAGAGAGAGAGAGAGAGAGAGAGAAUCCCAAGCAGUCUCUGCACUGUCAAUGCAGAGCCUGACAUGGGGCUUGAACCCACAAGCCAUGAGAUCAUGACCUGGACUGAGAUUGAGAGCUGGACGCUUAACUGACUGAGUCAUCCAGGUGUCUCUCUCUCUUUUUUUUUUUUUUUUAAGUUAAUUUGUAGACAGUCUUUAUAUAUUUUUCUUAUCCAUUCUUUGUUAUCUCUGUGUGUAUACUUUCCUCCUGGAUUGGGGCUUAAUUGUUCACUUUUGAAAUAAUACAUUUCGCUGAAUAAGAGUUUCCUUUAGAUGCAGUCAGAUUUAACUAGUCCUUUUCUUUGGCAUUCUUUGUGUCUUAUUUUUAAAAUUCUUCCUUAGGCUAGGUCGUAUAGAAAUAUUCUCCUCCGUUUUCUACUACAAGUUUUGAAAGUUUUGCUUUCCAUGGUUUCACCUGCAACCCAUUUAAAAUGGAGUUAUGUGUCUGUUGGGAGGUCUAGAAACCUCAUGUUAUUUUUCUCUGGACAGCAGGUUUUCCUGGCAAUGCUCGUGAACCGGUUCAUCUUGGAUGCACCACAGUGCGGUGCGGUUCGGUGCUGUGGUCCAUUUGUGGAGACCUUUUGGGGGUUAUCUUAUGCUCUGGUCUACUUGUUUUUUUCCCCCGCUCCAAUUUCACACUUUCUUUAUUGUCUUUAUUUCUGUGUUGUGUUGUUUUUUGGUAGAACCAAUCCUCCCCUCUCUUUGUUCUUCUUUAAAACUGUUGUUACUUUUUGUCUUUUGAUCUCUGAUACGCAUUUUAGAGUUGCGUCCAAUGAAAAACCUUCCUUUGAUUGAGUUCAUGCGCUGAAUUUAUAGAUUAAUUUGAGGAGAAUUGGCAUCUUUGUAGAACAGUGGGUGUUUCCCAGUGUUUUCUUUUUUUUACUGUUUAUUUUGAGAGAGCAAGCACGAGCGGGGGAGGGGCAGAGAGAGAGAGAGAGAGAGAGAGAGAGUCCCCAAGCAGGCUCCACGGUGUCAGCCCAGAGUCCGGUGGACACUUAAGUCGGGCGCCCGGGUGGCUCGAGUCGGUUGAGCGUCUGGCUCUUGCUCUUGGCUCAGGUCAGGAUCUCACAGUUCAUGAAAUUGAGCCCCAUGUGGGCUCUGUGCUGACAGUGUGGAGGGAGCCUACUUGGGAUUCUCUAUCUCCUCUCUCUCUGCCCCUCCCCCAUUCUCUCUCUCUCUCAAAAGUAAUAAAUAAACAUUAAAAAAAGAGCGAGACGCAUAACCGACUGAGCCCACCCAGGCGCCCCUCACUGUUUUCUUUAAUACCCACAUGUAGGUCCUCUUACUGUACACAACAUUUUUGUAACUUACCUUUCUACUUGAAUACACUUUCAUGUUAAUAAAUAAAUGUCUCCACCAACAAUUUAACAACUACACGAUAAUCCACGUGGCUAGAGAGUCAUUUAUUUAAUCGUGACCGUAUUGACAUUUAGAUGAACAUGUUUCACAGUGAUUAUUCUGGAACUCCAUCUUUCUCAUGACAAAAUUAUACAUGCAGCUACGUUUUAUUCUAGUACUGCUGGGAUAUUGUAUAUAAUUAAGUAUUUAUCUGAGAUGUGUUCAGGUGUAAGGUGCGAGAAAAGUAUCUAACUGAUUUCCUCCCCAUAUGGUUAACCAGUUUUCGUGUACUUUGUCCUUUUGGUUUGACUGUCUUUGCCUGUUUUGUGUCACCACCCAGCAGCCAUCAACAGUGCACACCGUAAAUGUUUGAGUAAGUGAACCAGUUUUUAAUGUUUGCUUUAUUUUCAGAGGUGUUUUCUUCUGUGUUGACCUGUCGGUUCAAGCCAGUACCACACUGUUGGAAUGAUCAGAGCCACUGGAAUAAGACUCCCCUCUCCUCCUCCUUCUCCUCCUCCUCCUCCUUCUCCUUCUUCAUCAUCAUCAUCAUCACACUUUUUCAGAUUUUCCUAGGCUAUUUCUGCACCACUUUUUCCCCCCCUGAACUUUAACUAAUUGGCCACUGUCCCUUUAAAACGGUUAUAAUUUCGAUUGACAGUAUAUUCAUUUUCUGAAGAAAUUUGAAGAUGUUUAUAUGUAAAGUUUCUGGCCUAAUAAGUACUGCAUGUUCCUCUAGUUUGUAGAUUCUGAAAUUGUUGGGUUAGAGAAGAUAAAUCCCCAGAUUUCCUUUUCGAUUGAAAUUCAGGGCAAUUAAAGAAAUUCGUUGCAGCCAACAGAAUCCUAGCACAUGUUUAUUCUGUAAAGACAAAACGUUUUUCUAUAUUGAGCUGCACUUCAACGGCUUUGCCUCCUUCUUAAAAAACACGGCUCACAUGGUACCACACGCUCCCUGUCCGGACAGAUACUUGCAAAUAGGUAACAACUGACGUGCUGUUUGGUCAAAGACCUGGUUUUUCUUUAAUAUGGCCUACCCUCUCCCCUUUCUCCCACCAACCCUUAAAGGAAUUCUGUGCCCCUACUUCUCUGGUUUACCUUUUUUAGGGUAAAGAAAUAGGCUACAAAGCUCGUGGGCACUAGGGAAGUCUGCAUAACUCUUUUUCACACCUGCUUGGAUUCUGGCAGUGGUAUUUGCUAAGUGGGGAUGAAGGCUGGUUUGUCAUGUGUUCUCGCAGAGCACUGAUGGCUGCAGGCCAACCCAUUUAGCCUUUGUUUUUUUUUCUUGCAUAAAACUGCCUAUUUUUCACUUCAGAUGGGGGUGUUAGGCACUUGAGAGAUGUUUGUUCUUGUCACAUGCACGCCAUCUGUGAUCUCCUGGCAUCCUACGCAGGUUCCCAAGUUGGCCAGAGUGUCCGCGGGUCAGUGCACCGGAUGGUCAGGGUCCUAGCCUAUGUGUGUUGGUGGAAGCAGUGCUACUGAACACACUCAAGUAUCCGACUGGGGCUGUGGACUCAGUUUUGGAAAGUUCGAAGAAGCCCUUUAUGUAGAAUAAUUUCGGCCUUGAAGAAAAGUCACAAAGAUAGUACAGAGAGCUCCCAUAUGCCCCUCACCCCAUUACCCCAACUGCUGCUUCUUACAUUAUCCUGCGACAUCUGUCACAAUUAAAGAGCAAGCGUUGCUACGUUACAAUUAACUAAAACCUGCACUUUGUCCACAUUUCACUGGUUUUUCCCUAACGUCGUUUUCCUGUUCUGGGAUCCACAUUCCAUUUUAUUGUCCUGUCUACUUCACUUCUUCUGGUCUGUGACAGUUUCUCAGACUCUCCUUGUGUCUGAUGACAUUGUCAGUUUGGGGAGUACUGGUCAGAUACCUUGUAGAAUUUCCCUCAGUUUGGGUUUUUCUCAUGUUUUUCCUGAUUGGACUGGAGUGAUGGGCUUUUGAGAGGAAGACCACAGAAGCGAAGUGAUAUUCCUGCCACAUUGUAUGAAGGGGACAUGCCUUGUCCCUCAUGAUGUUGACCUUGAUCACCCGGCCAGGGUAGUGUUGCCAGGUGUAAAUUUCUUUCCCACCUUCUUCCAUUCUCUGCUCUUUGGAAGUGAGUCACUAAGCACAGCGUAGACUCAAUUUAAGAGUUUCGUUAACUGUCUCAUCUAUCUGUGUCCUAUUAUGUCUAAGCCACAUCUAUUAUUUUGUUGUACUCCAAAUGCAUAGAUUUUGUGUUUAAAGCCUUAAGAAUAAAUAAAAGUUUCCUAGGCUUAAGUGGGAUUUGAAGUAUCUAGUAGCUGUAUUGAGUCUUCAUUCCAUUCCUUUUAUGUUUGGUUUAUUGGUUUUAUUAAAAAAAUCUUCAUACCCUGGGGGCACCUGACUGGCUCAGUCUGUGAGCGAGUGACUCUUGAUUUCAGGUUGUGAGUUCGAGCCCCACAUGAGGCAUAGAGCUUACUUUAAAAAAAAAAUUGUAAAAAUCUUCAUACCCUGUAUGCUAUCUCCUGUACCACACAGCCUACUUUGUUCUGCUCAGAUGGUUGCACAGCCUGUACUUUAUUCUUCUAGCACAAGGAAGCCUCGUGUCUCUCUUACUGUUGGGAAAAAAAGUUUAGCAUAAGAACAUUUUUAUCCAUACUGAAGCUUAUCUAGUAAACACUGCAAGAUACUUAAUUCUACUUAAUGUGAUGGAAAUCUUUCUAUUAUAAAAUUGUGUUAAACAUUUAUGAGUUUUAAUGCUCUCUGACACCUGUCCUAAUAUCAUAAUAGGCUAGCCUACCACACGCCUUGGCCCCCUGGAAAGCAGCUGAACCUUAGGAGUUGAGAUUACAGAUCACUUGUUGUGUUGUUUGUGGGGUAAAUUUCUUGAUGACUUUGAUUUUUUUUGUGUCUGAUUACUCCUUUCGGACACAACUCAAAUGACUUUAUUUACGUUUCAAGUCAGUUUCUAAGAAUUUAAAAAGGAAAAAAGAAUUUAAAAAGAAUGAUGUAUUAUUGGUUUAGCAUCUGACAGGAAUGUUCUUGAAAUGAUCUAUAAAUUGGGUUUUUGUUCAUUGAAUCAACAUUUUAUGUGCUCUAAGGGAACUUACUGUUUCAGAAAAUCUUGUGAGAAAUUUGUGAUGCUCCAGAAUGAUCAGUUUUGCAAAUCCACAUCUGCAGACCCUUAAUUUCAUCAACAGGUGUGGAUGUUUCAUUUAGCUGGACUGGUUAGAGUGUGUUUCCAGAACAUUAGACCUUCAUGUUCCUACUUAUUGUGAGCUUAUUUUUAAGAAACCAUUUUGAGUAUGUUCUAGUAUUUUGUCUUUCAGUCAGUCUUAGAGUUCAGUACUGGGGGAGGGGGGAGAGUUCAAAAAAUACAUUUUAAGAGAGUUUUUGCUCACUUCAUGGUUAUUUGGUAUGACGACUCAGAAACAGAAUAACGUUUUGAAUCGACCACAGGGGAAAUCCUUUCCCUGGCCCCUCAAGUCUACUUUCAGUCCAGUCAGAAGAUUCUUAAAUUCAUGUGGGGGAUUCCCACGUGCUCUAUUAUAAGUCUCCCUGAAAGUUUUCAUAGAUGUGUAGAAUGUCGGCUCGUAUCACAUACGUUUUAUGUCUCAGUGUGCGAGGGCCGUUCAGUGUACCGUUCCUUUGUUUUAAUAUUACUCAUUCUUUUUUCUAAGUGUGGAUGUGCAAGAGUGAGAAAGGCUGAGUGGUAUAAAAUGAAAUAUAAAAAAAAUGAAUUCACUUGUUCUCAGGUAGGCUAAAGAUCUAUUAAAUGUAAGAUCUUUGGGUGAAUACUAGCUCUUCUGUAGUGAGUAAAGAGAACUCGAGAACUUUGGAGACGGGAGCCCCCUUGCCUGCCUUCCACGGCACUAACUGUGUCCUCCCUGGCUAGCCGUGGUUGUCCUGUCCUUUGUACUCAGAGUAAGGCAUAUUUUUACUGCUUAGAUCUGGCAGAUGGGCUUCCCGCAGUUACUAUUCAGGUCAGUGUCUAAGGUCUUGAAGCGAUCUUCAAAAAAAUGAUAAACACUGAGCCCUUUUUGGGAGAAUAUACUGGAUGAAGAGCCAUGACAUAUUGUGAGAAAGUCAGCCAGAAAAAGUGUGUGUGGACCACCUGUGCCGUGCCCUGUACUUGCCUGAGCUUGUGUGAGGGGACCCCAUGGCUUGUGUAGGGACAGCAUUAUGUUUACCCUUCUGUCCGUUCAGUCACCCUGCCCCCCCCAGGAUCAUGUGUGACAACCCCCAGCAGUAGACAGGAGCCUGCCAUCAACCCUACCAUCUACUAACAAACUAUAGAAACGAUCCCUGAAAGUGUAGUCUUCAACCCUACCAUCUACAAGCACACUUGGGAGGUUUUCCUCCAUGAGAGGAAGACUCGCAUCUGUGUGCAGAAAGCAGCCCCUGGGCCUGGUCUGCCCUGUCCUGCAGCACCUGCACAGGCCUCAGCGGGUUUGUUCUCAGGGAGGGUGCUCCAGAGGGAGGAAAGGUUGGGGGAAGUGGGUGGGCGACAGAGACUGCCUUUCCCCUACGGCAUUGAAAAGUCCUCCCAGCCCUGUUCCAAAGCCAGCAAACGGUAAAAUAGAAUUCCUCCUGAAUUGUCAUGGUUCAUUCUCCACCUUUACAUCCCCAAAACUUACCUAACAUGUUUUCAUGGAAAACUAAAUUUUUACGUUCUUGUGCCAAGAAGACUCAGAUCUGGGAGGAUGCUUUAACAUUGUUAUCCAUCUUUAAUUUCCCCCUUUUACAUUUUACUUCUCCUCUAAAACCCCCUGUAUUUUUCCUCUAGUUGUAAAAUUUCAGGAAAUCUCCCAUUUAAGUCAGCUGCUGUUGGCCUGUCUGUGCUCUUUUUAGUGGCUUUGGUGGCGUUCAGGUUUAAGUGGCCCUGUGUGACAGGUGUGCGAGAUUGUGCUGCCCGGGCUGCCUCGUGGAUUCCCGUUCCACCCCGGUGCAGAGGGAGGCCGUCUUCAGAACCAGCGUGCCUCUCAGGCAUGGUUUCUUAAGCUGCACAGUCAUUACCUCUUUCAGUGAAUUUUUUUCAGCUUCAUCUCUCUCCUUAACACUAAGAUGCAGAAACGUCAGUCUUACUUAACGUCAAGUUAUCCAUCUGAUUUUAACUUGAUCCAAACUCAGAGCAUCUAAAAGUGGGUUGCACCGGAGGAUGUAACACCUUUGCCCGGAAGGUUGACUCCUGCCCUGGGCUGUUAGCAUUCAUUCAUUCAACAGACGUUUAGGACGUGCUCAUUUGGAGCCAGGCUCUGCGAUGAGGCGGGUGUACAGAAACAAAAAGCUCCAGUGCUGUCUUCAGUAAGCUUCCAGUCUAGUGAGAGGAAUGGAGUGCAGUGUGAUAACAGCACUGGGGAGGGUGUGCAGUCCAGACACGCAGGACAUCCUUCUGCAGAACCUGACAUGAGACACCCAGGUUUGGGAGGAUGGAUACGAGUAAACUGGGAGAAGAUGAGGGUUAUGAUACACUGGGAGAAGACAGAGAGCCAGGGGAAAUGUCAGACUCUGGUGGUGCUCCUGGGGGGAGGUUGCUGUGUAUUUAAAGGCCUACAAAGGCUAGAGACUAAGGAACAUGCUGGAAACUGCAGGACAUUAAGACCUGCUUGAGGUCAGGGUUUGUUAAAACUCCUCAGAUAGUUUAGUUAAGAACACGUGCCAACAUUGUAUUAAUAACAGUUUUGCAGUGCAAGGAAGAGGCCCCUGGUAGGUGGACUCAAAGAUUCACUCUUAGUAGGGGUGGGGGUCUGUUAUAGGAGGAAUGAUUGAAUCAUCAUUGGGAAGAAUAUCUGGUGAAAAAUCUUUAGACUCUAACUAGUCUAGUUGAUAAUUGAUAGCCAUCUAGGUGAAUGGCAAUGAGUUCGCCAGAACAAGCCUUAAUCUUGAAGUUCAUUUUAAAAUUGCCUUAGAGGGGCGCCUGGGUGGCGCAGUCGGUUAAGCGUCCGACUUCAGCCAGGUCACGAUCUCGCGGUCCGUGAGUUUGAGCCCCGCGUCAGGCUCUGGGCUGAUGGCUCGGAGCCUGGAGCCUGUUUCCGAUUCUGUGUCUCCCUCUCUCUCUGCCCCUCCCCCGUUCAUGCUCUGUCUCUCUCUGUCCCAAAAAUAAAUAAAAAGCAUUGAAAAAAAAAAAAAAUUUAAAAAAAAAAAAAAUAAAAUUGCCUUAGAAAAAAGGAUUUAUCUGGAAAGCUGUUGAUUUCUUCCCACUAGGAUGUUAUGCGUUAUAUAGUAAGCAACUUGGUUCUGUUCCAGAUCGGGUUUGGGGCAGUUUUUCUUUAAUAGGUUCAAGGUCACAGUGGAGUGCAGUCCAGUUUUCAGGGUGCUGCUGGUGAAGAGCUUUUUUAACCUACCUUGAGGAGAGUUUGGAUUUUUAUCCUGAGGGCAAUAGGGAGCCAUUGCCUGUGAGAGGAGUUUAAACCCCAGCCAUCAGCGUGGGUGUGGAUUAGCUGCAGCGUGAGGCAGGAGCAGCAGGAGAGAAGCUAGCAGAAGGCUUUAAUGUUCCCUCGAAAAACUGACGAGCUUUGAGUUCAGGCGUGUCUCCCCCUUGGCCUUCCACACCUCUCCGCCUGGAGCAGCUCUGAGACCGCCUCGUGUGGUAGUUGGGGAGUAGAAGUUAGUAGUUGGUUUUCCUCCAGAAGAGUUGGUUUUAACUUAUUCAGUUUAAAAAAAAAAAAAAUUUUUUUUAACGUUUGUUCAUUUUUGAGAGACAGAGUGGAACGGAGGAGGGGCAGAGAGAGAGGGAGACACAGAAUCUGAAGCGGGCUCCAGGCUCCGAACUGUCAGCACAGAGUCUGACGCGGGGCUCGAACCUCAAGAUCAUGACCGGAGCUGAAGUCGGAUGCUUAACCGACUGAACCACCCAGGUGCCCCUAACUUACUCAAUUUUAAAUGGUGACUGCUCUCGUCACAGUGAAAGAAAAUGUGAUACUGUGAAGAAGAUGCUGAGAAGGUUCUGGAAGCAGCAGCCAGGUUGAGGUAAGAGUUCAGAGAAAGGGGUCCAAGACCCUUGUGGACCUUGUGGCUCCGCCUCCAGGCCUGGGCCCCGUCGCCUGCCCUUCCCCCUCCAAGGAUUUGGUCCCAUCUCUGUCCUGAGACAGUUUCAGAACCUCGCUAUCAUCUGGCCUUGGCCUUGAGGCUGUUAGCGUAUUCCUACUACAGUUUGCUGUGAUUACAAAGGAUUCUGCCCUUCCUCAGAAGUCUGUAGGCAGAACCUCCUUCAGUGCGUCUGCUGUGGUUAAAAUAGAACCUUCAGAGAUGCCCUUGCCCCAGGCCGCAGAUCCGUUGGCACGGGGUGACCUGUGCUGUGUUUUCUUGUCACUAUUUCCUGAAGUUGUGGUGUCAUUCUGGGCAGAGGUGUAGACGCUUUGCAAGCAACAUCAGGGAACCUGACCUGGGGGUAGUUCUUCAGUGUUUUUGGUGGUGGUGGUGGUGGUGGCAGGUCACAUCCCUCUGCCUGUCCUCUCCUUUGUUGUGUCCGUGGCCUUACUGUUCCAGCGUCUUUUCUGGUCUCUUUCAUGACCACGUUUAAUCGUUUUCAUGUCAACAUAUUGCUGUGAAAAUAAUACUGCAUAAUUACUUGAUGUAGAUUGAAUGGGCAUAUUUGAGAAUCUACAAUUCUCUCCUAAAGUUGAUGUGAACAGGAACCUAUUCUUAGCUUUUAUUCCCAUUAGAAAUCUGUAUUCAAAAUACAUAAUUAUUCUCCUUUUGUUUUUUAAAUGUUAUCCAGAUUGCAAAAAUACCUGCCUCUAAGAACUCAAGAGGACUUACUCUGUGGGAACAAGAGGUAGUGAGUCAUACCUGCAAGCCCGGAAAUGAGUUUAUUUGAGCCUCUUUGAGGAGGUUUCCUAGGCAAGCAUGGAUGCAGUAAUUAAAGGAUGAGGAACUAGGGGGUGCGUACUUGGAGGUUUAAUCCUCAGGUGAUGUGCUCCUCGUCAGAUUGAGACCUCAGUUUUUGUUUUGUUCAUUAAAAAUAAUAAAAAAGCUUACUGCUUAAUUACAGAAAAACACACUAUUAUUAGGGUGUGGGUGUGGGGGUGUGUGGGUGUGGUGCUUUAACCUUACCUUUUAAACACUUUCUCUGAUGAGAAUGUUCAUAUGUGUUAAUGCUGGCUUAUUUGGGAAAGUAGGAGAGAAGUUACUGCUUCAAGUGAUUUCAGUUAGCCGUGAAGUUAUUUGGAAAAGCAGAUGAUGUUUUCGUGUGCCUGUAUUUGAGUUGGUUACCAUCAGAACUUGCAGCAUGUGGAGAAGAGAAGCUUGCUAAUCAUUUGUUUCUUCUUUGUUCAUGCUUGUAUUUGUAUGUGUCUGAUGCUGGAGUUGCAUCAGUCCACCUUGGGUUGUGCUGGCACAUUCCGCCCUGGGACGUGAGGGCGAGAGUGGAAGGGCCAUCCGUGAAUUGGAUUGGGACUCUUCCAGCACGUAGACAUAGCCCUGGCUUGCUAGAGAUUUCCCUCUAACUCUUCACUCUCAUCCUUUUUGUGUGGCUUUCUUCUUAGAUGGCCAUGAGGAUAAGAUAAACAUUUCUCUUCCACUGUGAAACCCUAAUGCUCCCAGACUUUACUUAACAUGGACUUUCAUUGAAUUCCAUUUUAACAAAUACGGUGGCUUUUUGCAUGGACCAGUGAAAGAGGAAAAGUCCUGCUAUGUGACAGACUCAUUUUCAGUAGUGUUAGAAAUAAUCUGAAAAGCACCAGAAUAUUUAAAUAUUAGCAGUGCUCAGUUUAAGUAGGGUUAUGUUAUGAUCCUAGAUCAGGUAUUUUCUAGAAAUGUUGACAAGAUGAAAUGUAGAAGAUGGCCCUUUUCUGCUGGGCACUGAGAAGAGCCACUUCUCUGAGUACCCGUGGGCUUUAUGAACAUCUUGAGCUUUUUGUCACAAUAAUGUGUAUUUUCUUUUGGAUGCAGUGGAUACCCUUCUAUCAGCAAAAGCUCUGAGACACCGCUCUUGCACACAUGUGACAGAUGAAGUAGGUGAACUUUGUCGCUACGGCUUUUUCCUCUCCCGUAGUUCCUGGAUCUGUGGAAGAAGUUAGGAGUAGCAAAUCCUGGGGCGCCUGGGUGGCUCAGUCGGUUGAGCGUCUGACUUCGGCUCAGGUCAUGAUCUCACGGUUUGUGGGUUCGAGCCCCACAUCAGGCUCUGUGCUGACAGCUCGGAGCCUGGAGCCUGCUUCAGAUUCUAUCUUCCUCUCUCUCUGCCCCUCCUCCACUUGAGCUCUGUCUCUCUCUCAAAAAUAAACAAAAACAAAAACAAAACAAAAACCAGGGUGCCUGGCUGGCCUGGAGCCUGCUUCGGAUUCUGUGUAUCCUUCUCUCUCUGCCCUUCCCCUGCUUGCACUCUGUGUCUCUCUCAAAAAUAAAUAAAACAUUUAAAAACAUUAAAAAACAAACAAACAUGGAAUAGCAAAUCCUGGUCUGGAGUCAAGGCUUUGGCCCCCCACCCCCACAACAUAAGGGAAAAAUUUCUAAUUCUUAGAGUCAAAAUGUAUGUAAGUGUACUUAAUUCUUAAGAAAUCCACCAACUUCUGGGGCACCAGGGUGGCUCAGUCAGUAGAGUGUCUGACUUCAUCUCAGGUCAUAAUCUCACAUUUGUGAGUUUGAGCCCCGCAUGGGGCUCUCUGCUGUCAGUGCGGAGCCUGCUUCGGACCCUCUGUCCCCCUCUCUCUCUGCCCCUCCCUGGCUCAUGCUCUCUCUCUCUCUCUCAAAAAUAAACACUGAAUAAAAGAAGUCCACUGACUUUUUAGUGGUAUUGAUAAUAGAGUUCUACCCUUAAUUUUAACUUGUUUCCUUUACCUAUUUGAAAUGUCAGGCUGUAGUUUAUGACCUGCCUUAACUUAUUUUUAAACAAGGCAGGUUAUAAAGAAGGUAAUCCUUCAAUUUGUUAUUUUUAAUAUCUACAUUUUCACAUUUUUUGUGAGAUAGAAAUUGACCUAUUGAUCGAUUCAUGCAUUCAUCUGCUGAAUGUCUCUGAUUUGCCAGUCACCGUACUAGGCAUUGGGGAUAGAGAUUAAGACUUGGUCUCUAUUUUAAAGGUGCUGGGGGCACCUGGGUUGCUCAGUGGAUUGAGCAUCAGACUCUUGGUUUUGGCUCAGGUGAUGAUCUUACGUUCAUGGGUUCCAGCCCCACAUCAAGCCCGUGUUGAGCCCGGCUUGACAGCAUGGGACCUGCUUGGGAUUCUCUCUCCCUCUCUGCCUCUGCCCAUCCCACGUUCUCUCUCGCCAUCUCUCUGUCUGUCUCUGUCUCUCUCUCAAAAUAAAUAAACUUAACGGUGCUAAUAAGUCCACAAAUAGAGACAUACAAAUAAAUAUUCUUAUGAGAAUAGAAAACACUUCUGUAGUAUUUACUAUAUGUAGGUACUGUUGUAAGUGCUUUCUAGGCAUUAGCUUUAACUCAUGAAUUGAUACAAAAUCCUUUUGAAGUUCUUAACUAUUAUUUUCUCUGUUUUACACAUGAAAAAGUUCAGAGGUUAGGUACUUGUCCCAAGGUCAUAAAGCUUGUUUUGUUUGACAGUCAGAUGUAUUGAGUGCGAUAACAGACCUGCUCAUGGAGUGCCCUGGAAGGACAGGGUAGUGUCUAGUUGGGAAAAUGGGGACUAGAAGUGUGAGUAUCCAUGAAAUUUUCCCAAAGGAAGCAGUACCUGAACAAAUGUAUUCAGAGGAGUGGAAGAGCCACGAAAUACUUCUUUAGGAACAUAAAAUACUACCUCAUAAAUGAGUUCGUAGGUUGAAUCCGUGACAGAAUAUUGGAAGACUGGGAGGGGCGCCUGGGUGGCUCAGUCUGUUAAGUGUCCGACUUCGGCUCGGGUCAUGAUCUCACGGCUCAUGGGUUUGAGCCCCCUAUUGGGCUCUGUGGUGACAGCUCAGAGCCUGGAGCCUGCUUCAUAUUCUGUGUCUCCUCCUCUUCUCCGCCUCUCUCCCCUAUUCACCCUUUGUCUCUCUCUGUCUCUCAAAAAUAAACAUUAAAAAAAAGAAAGAAUAUCGGAAGACAGGGGGAUAGUAAAAAUAUACCAGAUCCCUGCAGUCUUCAAUGUAAAUGACAAGGAAAUAGAUUUCAAUGUUGAGGCAAACCUUUGUUUCCAGUUAGUGUAAGGUAUGGUAAAAACUUGGCAUUUAAAAAAAAAACCUAAUGAAAGUAUUAAUUUCCUUAUACUCUGUCAGCAUGUGGGUAAAUGUGUGACCCCUUCGAACGUUCUAAGAUGAAUUUCCCAACACUGGAUAUUUUAUCUUAGGAAACCUCUGGUAACCUGUAGAAAUAGUCUACUGGUAUAUAUUUUGAAUAAAUGCAGAGAAAGAUUGAUUUCUUUCAGAAUAAAAGUUGGCAGGAACUGCCAAGUUAGGUAGGUUAAUUUUAUCAUUGCACAGUUACAAAGCUGUUCAGAAGGUGGGGUUGGCGGGCCCCAUGCUUGGCUCGGCAGCACUGGGUUGUCGCUUUUUUACCUUUCUGUAACCACUCCUGGCUUUUUUGAGCAUCAAGCCAUGUGGAUAAUCGUCCUUUGUCCCCUUGUAACCACUGCAGUAUGCUGACUUUGUCAUGACUCCCACUCCUCGCUCGAGACUGCCUCACUGUUUUCCACCUUGCCUCGGCUUCAUUGGAUGACCCACCUAUUUUCCUUGGCUGCAUGGGUCUUGUUUUGGAGCUUCUCAUCGCCAGCGAUCUCCCCAACUUCUCCCCAGCUUCCUCCAUCUCCCCACUCUCUAGGCCUUGUCUACUCGGGGCUCAGACCGUUAGUCAGAGAUGUCCUUUUGGACCACACCCUCCUGUCCGUCCACCUUGGACCCUACCUCUCGUUUGAUCCUACUGAGACCUCUAGUUUGCAGACACUUUUGCUCUGUACCUUUCCAUCUUUAUUUUCUUCCUGAUUCAACUUAGAAACCAUAGUCCAUGUAUUAAAUCACGGUCUUGCCCAAACCCUAUACUCCUGACCAUUUUGUCCUUUGGCUUGCACAUGGGCUCCUGAGUAGUGCCAGAGAAAGCCAUAUAGCUGGGCAGAUUGGCACCUGGUCGCAUAAAUUCAGGUGGUGGCUCAGCACCGUGUGGCCGUUGCUUCUUGUUCUUCGGGGCAGCUGUCUGCCACUCUGAUUCUUCAUGGUGACUAUUCCUAAGCUCUCUUCCAACUUCUGACUGCUCCUCCUCCCCACUUACUCUGCUCAGAUGAUGCACUCCUGCAGUAGGACUGUCAGUCCUACCUGCCCCUGAGCCUCCUCCUUUCCCCUUGGUGUCCGUGAGCUGACAGCCUCUUGCUUUUUCUUCUGCUUUUCAUACUGUCUGAGUCAUCUUUGUGGUUUCAUCUCUUGUCAAACUGGCUUCUGUCAAAAGGCAACUACAAGAUGUCUGUUUCCUUUUUCAAGUACAGUAAAACAUUUUCACACUGCUGUCCUUUGCCUUCUGCUGGAGAAAGCUGGGAUUUACUGUAGGGGGGCAGGCCCCUAGUGCACUCAUGCUGUGUACCUGUGUGUGUGCGUGCUUGUGUGGCCAUGGGGCUCGGCUCUGUGAUCUGGCUACCGUGUGCUGAGCCGUGUUCAGUAGCCAUCUCCCUUGGCUGCUGAAUGAUUCUGCCCUCUGCAGAAAUAGUCCCCCAGGGUUUAUCCUGCAUGCACGUGGGGGAGAGUGUGAUUGACAUCUUUCAGGUUAGAAAUAGGCAGGAGUUUCCCAGAUAGAUGGGUUUUGCUACUAUUACAGUGUGCUACAUGUGUCAUCUUCGGUGGCUCCCCGGUGCCUUUGCAGAUUAUCGAGGUGCAGUGAGGCGAGCGUUUUGGCUCCUGCUUCUGCCGAGUGGACUCCAGACCUUUUUUUUUUUUUAAUGUUUAUGUAUUUUUUGAGAGAGACAGAGGUAGAGUGCAAGCGGGGUAGGGGCAGAGAGAGAGGGAGACACAGAAUCCGAAGCAGGCUCCAGUCUCUGAGCUAUCAGCACAGAGCCCGACACAGGGCUCGAACCCACAAACCGUGAGAUCACGUCCUGAGCCGAAGUCUAGUGCUUAACCAGCUGAGCCACCCAGGCACCCCCCCAGACCUUCUUCUUUACACUUCUUUGUACUCAUUCUCUGACCUGCUCUGGAGGGCUGCUGCCCACUCCCCUGUUGCUCCUUCUAAUUGCUGCCUCUGCAUGGUGCCUUACUCCCUCAUUCCACGCCCCCUUCCCUUGUUUUGUAUCAUUUCUUCGUAAAGAUAGGAACAUUUAGUAGACACUGAUCAUCGGUUAAUUCACUAUUUAGUUCCAGAGCUGGUCCCUUGGGGAGGCUGUAAGCACUAGGACAAUGACAGAGCUGCCUUUCUGGUGAUCAUAGGAGAGAAACAUUGAGAUGUGUCAUUCCAGUGUAUUGUGACGAAGACUGUUAAAGUGUAGGCUGAGCAUUUCAUUUACAUCGCUUCAUAUAAUCUUUAAAAAAAUCCUGUGAAGUUGCUCUUUUUUUUUUUUUUUUUUGCCUUUAUUUUAUGGAGCUGAAAACUGAGGUUCUGAGAGGUGACAUCAUUUGGUCAAGGUCACUUAAACAGCAAGUUACCCAGUGGGAAAGACAGCCCAACAUUUGAGCUGCAAAAGCUCAUGCUCUUCACUGUGAAUACAGUUUUCCUCCUCUGCCACAUUGCCUCUGUUGGAGGGCUGACCCUGAACAGUAGAAUUCAAGGUCUAAUAAUAGACUCUCAACACAUUGAAUAUUAGGCAUGGGGAGAACUCUAACUAGCUAGAAACCAUUAGUUGUAGUGUUUUUAUUCUUCUGUUGUUUCAGUGGCAUUGCCUGAAAUUAUAUUACCUUAUUUAGUUUAUUAUAUUACCUUAUUUAGUGCAUUUGUUAUCACUAGGAUUCUGAUGCAUAACAUAUUCUUUUUUUAAAAUUUUUUUUUUUCAACGUUUAUUUAUUUUUGGGACAGAGAGAGACAGAACAUGAACGGGGGAGGGGCAGAGAGAGAGGGAGACACAGAAUCGGAAACAGGCUCCAGGCUCUGAGCCAUCAUCAGCCCAGAGCCCGACGCGGGGCUCGAACUCACGGACCGCGAGAUCGUGACCUGGCUGAAGUCGGACGCUUAACCGACUGCGCCACCCAGCCGCCCCGAUGCAUAACAUAUUCUUACAAGAAUAUCUUACAUGCCUCCCUGUUGACUUCCUUUUUUUUUUAAUUUUUUUUAACGUUUAUUUUUGAGAGAGAGAGAGAGAGAGAGAGAGAGACAAAGCACGAGUGGGGCAAGGGUGGGGGAGGGGGAGAGAGAGAGAGAGAGACAGAGAAUCUGAAGCAGGCUACAGGCUCUUAGCUGUCAGCACAGAGCCUGAUGCGGGACUCGAACUCACGAACAGCAAGAUCAUGAUCUGAGCCGAAGUUGGAUGCUUAACCCACUGAGCCCCCCAGGCGCCCCUCUGAUACCUUCUUAAGAGCCAGAUUCAAACUUCUACUUCACUAUAGGUUUGAAAUUUUAAGUACUUUACAGCCAAAAGAGAAAAAAAAUAGGGUUAUGUGUCACAGAGGGUAUAAAGGAACUACUUUCUGGAUCACUGAAGAUAACAGUGUUACUGCUAAUGGUACAGUUUCAUCUCUUGCAGUUAGCCCGAGACCAGCACCUGUGUUCACCCUUCCUGGGAGCCUAAACUGCUCACAUCCUGGGCUGGGCCUGGGGUGCUGACAUGAACCAGGCCUCGGUUCUUUCUAAGGGACUAGCUUCAGUUUCCUAUGUUCUGAUCAAUAUAGUUCCCACCCUCUCUCCCAUUUUGACUUCUUUUGCUUUUAUUGCUUCACUCCAGACAGCCGGUUCACAGAUUAUUCUAAGAAAUGGUUCUGUGAGAACUACUUAGUGAAUUUAUUCAGUGGUUUAUUCAGCAUCGCUGCCCACUAGGCACUGCUCUGAGUGCUGGACAUGGGAUAGAACAGGGCACCAAACAGCACCUCUGCCCACUUUUUUUUUUUUCACUUUUAAACUGGAGUUGGUGAGUGAAUUAUGCACCACUGUUAGCAUCUUGCCAGCAGAAUCUGUGACUAUAUAUUUGCCAUUACCAGUGAGGAUUACACUACCUUUUUGUGUUGUUUUUUUUUGUUGGUAUUAAUUAGCAUUCUUUUCCUUUCACUCAAAGCAUUGCCUUUAGCAUUUCUUGGAAGGCAGGUCUGGUGGUAAUGAACUCCUUCAGCUUUUGUUCGUUCUGGAAAGUGUUCCUCCAUUUCUGAAGGACAGCUUUGCCAGGUACAGAAUUCUUGGUUGAUAGUUAUUUUCUUUCAGUAUUUUUAAUAUACUAUACUCUUCUGGCCUGAAAAGUUUCUGUUCAGAGAUUCACUGAUAGUCUUAUGGGAGUUCCUUUUUUAUUUUUUAAAGUAGACUUCAUGUCCCAUGCAGAACCCAACUCAGGGCUUGAACUCACAACCCUGAGAUGAAGACCUGAGCUGAGACCAAGAGUUGGACACUUAACCAACUGAGCCACCCAGGAGCCCCUUUGGGGGUUCCCUUGUAUGUACCUUCUCUCUUUCCUCUUGCUGCUCUUAAAAUCCUUUCCUUGUCUUCCCAUAGGCUUUCUUCAGUCUUCUUUAUGUUUUUUCUUUUUGUUCCUCUGACUGCAUAAUUUCCAGUGCCCUAUCCUCCAGGUUACGGAUUCUUCUUUCUGUGUGGUUGAGUCUACUUUCAAAACUGAAUUCUUUUGUUCAGUUAUGUGUUUUUCUUUUUUUUUUAAUGUUCAUUUAUUAUUUAUUUUGAGAGAAAGAAAGAGUGAGCAAGGGAGGGGCAGAGAGAGAGGGAGACAGAGAACCCCAAGCAGGCUCCACACUGUCAGUGAGGAGCCUGACGUGGGGCUCGAACUCAUGAACUGUGAGAUCAUGACCUGAGCGGAAACCAAGAGUUGGAAGCCCAACUGACUGAGCCACCCAGGCACCCCCAGUUAGGUAUUUUUUAACUCUAGGUUUUGGGUUUUUUAUUUUAUUUUUUUGGUGGUUGCUAUUUUCUUCUUUUUUGUUAUUAUUAUUAUUUUUAAUGUUCAUGUAUUUUUUGAGAGAGAGAUAGAGUGGCAAGUGGGGUAGGGGCAGAGAGAGAGGGAGACACAGAAUCUGAAGCAGGCUCCAGGCUCCGAGCUGUCAGCACAGAGCCCGACACGGGGCUCGAACCCACGAACCGUGAGAUCAUGACCUGUGCCGAAGCCGGAUGCUCAACUGACUGAGCCACCCAGGCGCUCCCCCGAUAGUUGCUAUUUUAUCAAAAUUCUCAUUUUGUUCAUGUGGUGUUUUCCUAAUUUUGUGUAGCUGUCUGUAUUUUCUUGAAGUUCACUAAACUUCAAGACAGUUACUCUGAAUUCUUUGGCUAACAGUUCAUAGAUCUCUGUUUCUUUAGGGUAAGUAAUGGGAGCUUAUUAUUUAUCUUUCAUGGUGUCAUAUUUACCUGAUUUUUCAUGAUCAUCGAUUCCUUGUGUUGAUAUCAGCAUAUUUAAAUAAUGGGGCUCCUCUUCCAGACUUUUCAGAUUUGCUUUGGCAGAGAGAAUUCUUCACCAGUCACCUCAAUUUGAGUUACUGGGUGUGUCUGCUGGUAAUACCUCGGGGCAGGUGGGACCUGCUCUUAUGGUAUGUUUUGGGGGGAGGCAGCUGUUUGAGCUCUGAGAAUGUGGGUCGGGGGUGUCUGUCACUGGCUGAGAACAGUUGGGUGGGACUGCUGGCUUAGUUCCCGUGCAAGAGAAGCCGUAGGACGGUUUCUUUUACUGCCUGGAUUCUCUGGUCACAAAUGGUCAGAAUUGGGUACUGUAUUGAGUCUUAGAUGGGUCUGUGAACUAGCUUCCCUGCCCUGGCAGGGCAGCAGGAAGGGCCCCAGGGCCCGUAUACCUCAUUGCCUGGAGACCUAAAUCAGCCCAGAGUGUGCCUGAAUUCGCUGCCUAGGUGAGGCCACCUGUCUUGCUCUACCAACAGGAGAAGCCAUGGGCUUUGCUCUCUGUUCAGGUGGUGUUGUAUGUAGAGCUGUUGAAUGGGCUUUGAAGCUUCCCAGGUGCUCCCGUUAGGUUCCCUGGUGGGACGGCCUGAGGGCUGUAUUCAGCCAUGAGCAGGGCUGUGAAUUCCCUGCCUGGGCACAGUGGGAGAAGUAAAUGUAAAACCAGUCAGGCUCUGUUUGUUGUCUUCACUGGAGCUGAUCUGUACCCCAAGUUCCCUGGCCGAAUAGGGUCUCUGACUUUGCUCUGCAAACUGUUGACUCCGAGUGCUCUUCUCUUGGCCUGAGCUGUGCUGGGCUGUACAGCUUCCAGGAGUUAUCACCAGCCCUUCUGGUCAGAUGGGGCCAGAAGACCGUCUUCACAGUGUGGGAAGCUAUGCCCCAGCCCCCUUGCCUGGGCAGGAGCGGGAAGGUCCACUCUAGACUAAUUCAGUUUCCCCAGACAGGCGCUCUGGUUGGGAGGGGCCACAAGCUACAUUCAGCCUUGGCUCUGAAUUAAUCCCCCUGCCCUCAUACCUGGUACUGGCUUUGCUCUGGGGGUGAGCCUCUCAGAACCUCUGCCUCUCAGCCAGAGUGUUGCUGGGCUACACAGCUUCCAGGAGUUGUCCCCAGCACUCUGGUCACAACUCUGGUCCAGGGGCUGGAAGACCCUUUCCACAGGUCCCUGGGUGUGAGCAAACUGGGCUCUUGGGGUGGAAAGAUUCCUCAUCUGGGGAUCCGAGUCAGGCAGAUCUGCACCCUGCCAAGUUCCCCAGUCAGGGUGCGCCCCCAACUUGGUUUUGCGGAUGAGCAAAGCCACUGGUUGGGAUUACUCUUAGGACCCUGCAGGUAUGAACUUCCAUCUGUCAAGAUCCUUGUGCUGGUUGUUGGAAGCCCCUCCCCUAGCCUCCAUCACAGUCGGAGUCCCGGUGUUUGAGCCCCUCAGAUUCCCCUGCGAUCCCCGUGGUGGGAGAUCACGGUAGGGGGCUCCUAAAAGUGACCCACAGGGCCGGGCGUGCUGUUUGUCCCUCCUGGGUUCUCUUUUCCCACUGGAGGAACUGGUGGCCCAUAGGAGACCUCUCUGUGGGCUGCACUGGCCCGGGGGCGGGGCAGCGUGGUCAACAUGUGGCUGCUUCUCUUCUCCUUCUGAUGCAGUCUGGCUUGGUCUCCGAGGUGCAGGGGGCACUUCAGCCUCACCCCUGUGUUCCGGGAUUCUCUCAGUGGUGUCUUGUUCUUGAACAGAUGUUAGUUGUUGUCAUGGGGUGUGAAGUCAGGAACAACCUAUGUCUCCAUCUUGCUGGCAUCACUCAGCUCUCUGCCCGCUUUGAACUUUUGUUCUGGUGUGGGAGGCACCCGGUAAGGCAGUAAACAUGGGAUGUGUUGUCAGAUGAUGAUAAAUGCCGUGAGGAAGGUAAAGCUGAAUAAAGGGGUAGGGAGCGAUGGGGUGAGGGUAUGUUGCUGUUUAGCUAAGUCAUCAGGUCUUACGGGGGAGGUCAUAUUUAACCAGAGACCUGAGUGUCUUGCUCAGUUUGGGCUGCUGUGACAAUAGCAUCAACUGGGUGGCCUAACAAUAGAGUUUUAUGUCUCACAGUUUUGGAUACUGGAAAUCUGAGACCAGGGAGCCAGCAGGGUAGGCUUCUUGGUGAGAACGCCCUUCCCCGUUUCAGACAACUGCCUUCUUUUUUUUUUUUUUUUUUCAACGUUUUUAUUUAUUUUUUGGGACAGAGAGAGACAGAGCAUGAACGGGGGUGGGGCAGAGAGAGAGGGAGACACAGAAUCGGAAACAGGCUCCAGGCUCCGAGCCAUCAGCCCAGAGCCUGACGCGGGGCUCGAACUCACAGACCGCGAGAUCAUGACCUGGCUGAAGUCGGACGCUUAACCGACUGUGCCACCCAGGCGCCCCAACUGCCUUCUUGCUACGUCCUCACAUGGCAGGGGGUGGGGUGGGGGGGAGCGGGGAGAGAUCAUUUCUCGUGUGUCUUCUCUUGCAAGGGCACUAAUUCUCUACCCUCGUGACCAAAUCACUCCCAAAAGGGCCCAUUUACAAAUACUGUCACAUUGGGAAUUAGGGUUUCAACACAGAAGUCCUGGGGGAACACGAACGUUCAGUCUGUAGCACUGAAUGAAGUAAGGAAGGGCCUUCCAGGCACCGGGAACUGCACUUUCGGAGACCUAACGUGAGCCAUGUCAGAGGAACAGCUCUGUUGGCUGCAGGGUUGAUGCUGGAGCAGAGCAGGCAGCGAAGGAAAGAGCGUUCAGAAAUGAAGUGGGAGAGGUACCACCGAAGGCCUACGUGGUUGGCCACUUUGGAUUUGAUUCCCAGUGGCACGGGGGAGCCUGUCUCCAGAGGGAAAGAUGUGCUAGGACUUUUCAUUCCUAAAAGGUCACUUUGGAUGCCGUGGGGCUGGGGUUGGGGGCUAGGAGUGGAUGUGUGCCAUGGUCUAGGUGAGAGGUGAUGGCUGAGAAGACUGGGUUGGUAGCGGUGGGGGUUGUAAGAGGUGGUUGGAUUGGGGACACUGAAGGUAGAGCUGGUACCUUUUGCUGAGAGAUCAGUUGUGGGGUGUGACCUAACCCCAAUGUUACAGGGUUACGAGGUGGGCCUUUGGGUGAUUCGGCUUCUAUCUGAGGGUCAUAAGGGUGGGGUCCUCGUGAUGGGAUUGGUGUCCAUGUAAGAAGAGGAGUGACCAGAGCUCUCUCCCCUCGUGCCCCGUGAGGACACAGUGAGAAGGCGGCCACCCGCACAAGAAGAGAGCGCUCACCAGAGCCCAACACUGCUGGCACCCUGAUCUUGGACUCCAUGCCUCCAGAACUGUGAGAAAUAAGUUCAUGUUGUUUAAGCUAGCCAGGCUGCGGUCUUCCGUUACAGCAGCCCAAGAUGAAACACCUUCCCUUCCGAUUUAUUUCUUUCGUGAGCUAUGCAUGCCAGGUGUACAAAACUAAAUAAUUAAAUUCAAACACUACAGCGGUGUGUAAGGUUUAAGUAAAAGUUUACUUUCCUCCCUCCAGAAGUAACCCCUUUGAGGUAUCCAUUUGAAAGCUUGGGUUUUAUUCUACUAGACCCGUGCUUUCUUUUUAAAAAAAAUUUUUUUUUACGUUUAUUUUUUCAUUUUGAGAGAGAGACAACAGCAGAGGGGCAGAGAGGGAGAGGAAGAGAGAGAAGCCCAAGCAGGCUCCGCGCUGUCGGCACAGAGCCUGACAUGGGGCUCAGACUCACAAACUGUGAGGUCAUGACGUGAGCCGAAACCAAGAGUUGGACGCUUAACCAGCUGAGCCACCCAGGCGCCCCUAGACCUGUGCCGUCUAAUGAGGCAGCCAUUUGCCACUUGUGGCUAUUCAAAUUUACUUAAUUACAAUUAAGUACAACUAAACAUUCAAUUCCUCAGUCACACAUACUGGCUAUGUUUCGGGUGUUCAGGAGCCAUGACUAGCUGCAACCGUGUUGGACAGAAUAAACAGCAUUUCCAUCAUCACAGAAUGUGCUAUCGAAUGGCACUGUUUUCGAUGAAUUCUAUUCAUAUACAAAUGUGUGUGUGUGUUAUAUAUACGUGCAUGCACACACACAUACACAUAUCUGUGCAGUUGGCAUAAUAUUGUACAUACUCUUCUGCAAUUUGUUUUUUCCACCUAACAGAGAAACUGUUAAUUUGGUGUGAUCCACACACAGCAUCAUGCCAGGAAAAUUUUAAAACAGGGUGCAUAAUCAAACAUAGAGUUUUAGUGCAUUAAAAAUCUUUUAAUUUCAGAUUUUAGAGGUAAUCGCAACACAUCCUAAUGCUUGUUCCAAUUUUAACUAAACAAAUUAAUUUUGGAAAUCGUCCACUCAGCCUUGGGUAUGUAAAGAAAGAAGGUUCAGGAGCUGUAGUUUGAGCUUAAUCUACCGUGUAGAUUGACAUACACACCUGCGUGCACAUGCACACAGACACACACACACUUCCUGUUAUUUCUGUUUUGUAACAGGGAUUGUAACCUUCUCCUGUUUAGUAUGCUCACUAUUCAGUAGACCAGCACUGUCCAAAAUGGUAGCCACUAGGCACAUGUGGUUAUUUAAAUUGAAAUUAAACAUUUAGUUCCUCAGUUGUACUAGCCACAUUUCACAUGUCCAUUAACCACGUGUGGCUGGUGGAUAGCAUGGAUCUGGAAUGUUGUCAUUUCACGGAAGGUUCUGUUGGGCAGCUCUGUACUAGAAACUUUCUUCAAGGGGUGCCUGGGUGGCUCAGUCAGUUAAGCGUCCGACUUCACCUCAGGUCAUGAUCUCGCGGUCCGUGAGUUCGAGCCCCGCGUCGGGCUCUGUGCUGACAGCUCAGAGCCUGGAGCCUGUUUCAGAUUCUGUGUCUCCCUCUCUCUGACCCUCCCCUGUUCAUGCUCUGUCUCUCACUGUCUCAAAAAUAAAUAAAAAGGUUAAAAAAAAUUAAAAAAAAAAAAAGAAACUUUCUUCAAGUCCAUUUCUCAUUUAAAUGCAGUGAUUUUUCCACAGGUAGAGGGUGGGGGACUCUGUCCAGGAGGAUGUCUGAGAAUCUGUGGGAGUGACUGGAGAGCUCGCACUUCCAUGCCCUUCCCGGUCAAGAUUCUCAUCCUCCCCUUUGAAGACGCAUGUCCUCCUACUAUCUUUGAGAAUUAGUGUUCCAUAGUAAGUUAAUUGUGGGAAAGAAUAUUGGUACUGAUAGCAUUGCAAGGUUAGAAUAUUAUUUUGAUAAUUGGCAACGCGUAUACGCUAUUAAACUGCAUCUAUACAUACAGUAGGUGUCACUGCUCAACUUGCAAUAGAAAGUGUUUAGUAACAAACUGUUUAGUUACUGUGGGUGCUGACAACGUAUUAUGUUUAAACUUUUUAAAUUGAGAAAAGAAUAGACUAUUGGAAAUGCACCUUUUUGUGGAAAAUAGAUGUAUUUAUGUUGACAUUUAUGUUAGGAAAUAUGUAAUCUGGACAGAUUCAUAGGGAACAGGAAGAAUAGUUCCCUGUGGGAAUGGAGAUGGUGUAAGAGGGAGACAGGUAUGAUAGAAUGACUUUUUUGCUCUCUGCCCUUUGUUUAUGUACCUUGUGACUAUGUGCUUAUGUUAAUACAAAAAUUAAUAAAUAAAAUGAAGAAAAAAACCAAAAUACAUCCUUAAAAUGUGCAGGAUACAGAAUAGAUGGUUUAGGAGGUAAGGGUCACUUAGGACAGAAGGAAUUACAUAGAUUUAUAGGAGCAGAGGGCUGGUCUGAAGUUUCACGUGACCAUCAGAUGAAACCUCGUGAGGCCUCCUGGCAUGCCAGGACCUGGGCUAGGCAGACCAUUUCUCACAGGCUGGUUAUUUUGCAGUAAUUAAAGCUGUUUGCAACUGUUUUAUUACAUGUAACUUAAUACAUUUUAGGAGAAAAAAAUACUCAUAGUACUGAACUAUUUUUUUUCCACGCGACCUUUCUUAACUCUCAUGGAACACGGCUUAGGAAAUGCUGAUUUAAACUCGUGGAAAUAAUUAUCCCAGAAAGAUGAGGUUGAAAAGAAGUUGUUCCAGGUCUGGGGCACCCUGCUUCAUUUACAGUCUUUCAGGAAGAUGAAUACUGGUGUUAAUUGAGUUUAAUUUGAAUAGGGACAUACCACAGAUUAUUCGGCACACGGCGCCCACGUAAAAGUCACACACACACUGAACAUGGACUUGGUCAUUGACACUGCCCGGUGUCCUCCCCCAUCCUUUGCUUACAGCCACUGUCAGGGACCAAGAGGUGGGACAGUCCAACAAUGUGGGGCGUGGGCACAAGGGACAAACCUCCUUUCCUCCACCAUCACGUCUCCAUAUUUCAGCUUCCAGGCGACUGUGACAUCAAAAAUGGAGUGCCCAGAUAGUCAAAACCAAGUGUUAGGUUUUGAAAACAGAAUCCUGUAGUUCAGCAGAAUUGAUCUUCUUCUAUGAAAGCAAGUGGCUGGGAUUUGUGCUUUUUCAGGAAAGCAAACUAAGGGAAAACUAGUUAAGGAAAAAUCAUGCCCUAAACUACAAGCGUUACAAAGGAAAUCUUGUUGGGGGCACCUGGGUGGCUCAGUCGGUUGAGCGUCUGACUUCCGCUCGGGUCAUGGUCUCACAGUCUGUGAGUUCGAGCCCCGCGUCUGGCUCUGUACUGACAGCUCGGAUCCUGGAGCUUGCUUCAGAUUCUGUGUCUCCUUCUCUCUCUCCCCUCCCCCGCUCAUGCUCUGUCUCUCUGUCAAAAAUAAAUAAACAUUAAAAAAAAUUAAAAACAAAAAAAAAAACCCAAAAAACCAAAGGAAAUCUUGUUUGUGGUGGGAGUUCGAGGCAAUGACUUCCCAAAGGCAAGGAUAAUUUUCAAAAUACUGAAUGACCGGCACAGCACAGGAGUUCACACAUUCAGAAUAGAUGCCAGCCUUGCACAACUGGUGUGGCCGUACCAGCGUGUACAGGCUGAGUGUCAUUCCUGCCGGACAACAAAGCCAUUCAAGACGAGAAAUGAGCCAUUACUGGGUUUUGCGGCCAAGCCUGCGGGUUGUCCCCUCAGUGUCCAUAACACCCAUCUUUAUAGAGUCACUAGUUGAUAUUGGGGUGCUUGGCUGCUUUAUGGCCAUAUGACUAAAUUCUGGUCAGUGGGAGGCAUAUUAUCAUGUGGUCUUUUCUAGAACCUUCCUUAAGGGACAGUAUGUGUUCCCCCCUCUGCCCUCUCUUUAUUUAUGCCUUUCCCAUUCCGCUUCCUAGAAUGUGGAUGCCGCCAUCUUGAGCCACGGAGUUGACGUCACUGUGGUGGAGCAGUAAAAUAAGUAGAGGGCCACACUCGCCUGAGAAAGAAAGAAACUUCUCCUGUUUAGGUCACAACGACUUUGGGCUUGAAGACACCCUCAGCCAAACCUAAUUCUAACUAUUGUGGGUCCCUAAUCUCCUAGGCAAAUUCAAUUUUAUUUAAACUCUUAACACUCCUGUGAACUUGGUAUUCUUGUUCCUUGGUAAGGGAUUAGGAGACGGAGGUUGAAUAAAAAUGAAGCAACUUGCCCACGUAUCAGAGCCAGCAUUUGAAUCCAUGUCUGAUCUUUCUGACUUCAGAUCGCCAGGAGCUUAAUCCUUGCUUUAGUAAUUAAUGUGGAACAUAAAGGGCAUGUGGCACAUGGUUUUGUAACAUUCGUGCUUUGGCAGAGCCCCAAUUUUGUGGAUUUUUUUCAAAAAGACGUUGGGUUUUUCAGAGAAAUUCAUUUGUGGCUUUUUGAAAGUGACAAACAUGUUAACUGUUUCUCAGUCAAUAAUACUUAUCAGAAAAGCGUUUUUCUUAAUUUCAAAGAAAGCCGUGUUGUUCCUCUCAUUUCCAGUGUUUGCUUCAUUGUCAUUUGCUAAUUAGGACAUUUCUAUGAAAAGAGGAUAUUUCGAAGAGAAACUGUGUGAUUCAGUUUCUUCAGUUCUAUCUACACCGAAGGAAAUUUCAAGAAAAUUUGGGAUUUUUUUUUCUAGAAUUCUCCUCACUGUGCAGCAACUGCAGAACAUUCCCCACCCCCAUUUCUGUUACGUGAUAAUGUAGAAAUUAGGAUGUUAGUGGGAUGAAGGUUAUGAAUUACUCGGAUUGUCACACGGGGGCAGCCUCCACAGCCAGCCUUUCCGCACAAUUUAGACAGGAGAACAGAGACGCGAGGUGGCUGUGUGCCAUGCGCGGGGCGAGGGUGGAGUGGGCAGGCUGGCAGCCGACGCCCGGAGCGCAGGGGCGAACCAGCAGGUCUGGGGAGGCUGGUAAAGCAGGUGCGGUGCAAACAAUGAGUUGGCAGCAGAGCCUGCAGUAGGUGGGGGACCUUGACCUGCUGCCGGGGCUCCCGGUGGUGCCCUGGGCGAGGCUUCAAGUCCAUUCAUUUUUACGGUCUCACAGUGGACACUUAAUUGGUCAGAACAGCAGUGUCUUGAGUGCAUUCCUGGGAACCCUGUACCUGCAGGAUUUGCCGUGUAAAAAAGAAUUCUGGGAAAACGCCGUGUUCUAAUACCUCUCUCGGAAAUUCACAGCAUGCUUUUAGCGUUUUAAAAGUCUAAGGUGAGAAAUCUAUUCUACUUGAUUUAACCCAGUUUCUGAAACUUCCUUGAAAAUAGAAAUUGUACUUUUUUUUUUUUUUUUUUUUUUUUUUUUUUUAAUACAGCAUCCUGUGGAGACUGCUUCAUGAUUCUUUCAGUAAGCGGUUAGCAGUGGCCUUGGAAGUGGCUGCUUGGGCGGGUUGAAUUCCUGCGAAAAUGUAGGAUUUGCAUCUAACCACAUGGGACUUUUCUUGGCAUCCUCUUUGCUCUUAUUUGCUGGUCCAUAUUCUCGAAAGCGUCGUGCAUCUCUGCUGGUAUCGAGUUCAUGGCAGCAAAACUCUAGUGCUUGAAAGGCCCGUUUAGGUCAUGUAAUCGUGCCUCUUCAUUUGCUGCCUCAGAAGAGGUUAAGUCAUUUGCCAGAGUCCGAAACAGCUAGUAAGUGAGCAUGGGGCCAGGGUCUCUUCAUGUGCCAUUACUUGGUUCCUAGUGGAAAUUACUGGACUUAGUUCCUUACUUUCAAGCCUUUUUUUUAGUGCUUCCUCCUGAUGGGGAUGGAUAAGAGCAAAAGAACUGACGUUUGAUGCCUGUCAAGGUUUGGCAUUGGAAUAAAAAUGAGCAGAAGAGGGAGCACCUGGGGGGGGAGGCACGGAUGCUGCUCAGUAAAAGAAGUGUCACAGAGGAAACCCCAAAACCCGGAUCAGGACUGCUGUGAAUGAUCAUUUUAUUUGUGUGGCUAAGAACGACUUACACCAAGCUCUGUCUGCAAGAGAAUGCGGAAAGUGGAUUACUUCUGGGUGGCCCCGAAGCGAGAACAAAUGAACAGCUGAACAGACAGUGCUGCAGCUGUCGCCAUACUUUACAGAUCGGCAGCGCCUUGAGCCCAUCGGGCGCUGCUCAUUAACCGCCAUGUUUCUCAUGGCGUGAAGGGUUUGGAAAGAAUGAUUUUUGAAAUUUCUCUUCCUAAGGCCAAGAGGAUUGACAUCAUUAGGGCCCACAUUAUGAUUUUGCUUUAAUUUAGAUUUUCUUUCUUUCAUGGUGAACUUAUUAGACCCUUAUUCAUUAAUUGCUAUAUGAAAUUGGAUUCUUUUAUUAUACAAGAGGUUCUUUUUUUAUUUAUUGUCAUAAUUUCACCUGUCACAAGUUUUUGUGGCAUUAGUUUUGAGUGUUCUCUUUUUUUUAAAUGUUUAUUUUGAGAGAGAGAGAGCGAGCGAGCAUACACUCGUGCACAUGUAAGGGAGGGGCAGAGAGGGAGGAAGAGAGAGAACCUCAAGCAGGCUUCAUGCUGUCAGCACAGAGCCCAAUGCAGGGCUCGAUCUCAAACCUUUCGUGAGAUCGUGACCAGAGCCGAAAUCAAGAGUUAGACGCUUAACCAAUGGAACCACCCAGGCGCCCCAAUUUUGAGUAUUAUGUUUUUAUGAACCACUGUCUACAGUCUUAAGUUUUAGAGAAAAAUAAUAAAGCCACAGUAUUUUCUCCUGUUUGAACUGGAGUAAUUCUUCUGUCAGAAGGGAGAAGGUUAAUGAAAGAUCAUUUUGAUUGAGUAGGCCUGACAACUCUUGCUUGAACUUUGUUACUUAACUGCUCCUCUGUCUUUGAAUUGCUCUGAUUAUUAUUAGGUUCUUUUUUAUUCGGGUGGACAUCUGCCUUACGACGAGUUUGGCCUGUGUUCUUGGUUUUGUCCUAUAGCCCUAUUCAGGGAGAGAGGUCAGAAACCCUACUGCAUAUGUAUAUUCUAUACAUUGUGGUUUCUAAAAAAAUUUUUUUAGUGUUUAUUUUUUGAGAGAGAGAGACAGAAUUCGAGUAGGGGAGGGGUAGAGAGAGAGGGAGACACAGAAUCUGAAGCAGGCUCCAGGCUCCAAGCUGUCGGCACAGAGCCCCACGUAGGGCUCAAACCUACGAACUGUGAGAUCAUGACCUCAGCCAAAGUUGGAUGUUUGACUGAGACACCCAGGACCCCCUGUAUAUUCUAUACAUUCUGACUUAAUUUUAUAACAAGGCUGGCAGGUGGGUAUCUUUCACCUCCCUUUUACAGAUAAAGUAACAGAUUCAGAGACUGAAGAUUCUGAAUGAUUUUAGAGACCAAAUGAGUUGCCAGGGCCAUGACAAAACAAGUAAUAGCUGACUCUCUGUCAGUAGUGGCCCCUCAAGUGGGAGAAGGGGGCAGGAUGAUACCUGAUGGAACAAGGUUCAUGUUCCUCCUUGCUAUGCAGAAAAUCUCUUCAUCUCCCAAAUCUAGCCUACACCUGAAAUAGGGUGGAUGGUAGGGACAGGAAGGUUGCCUGCUUGUCUUGUGCACACCUGUUUCCUUUAUCCUCUUGCCUGGAAAUGUUACCAGACUUCACAGGGGUUUCCGAUGACAGCUGGUUAAUUGUAAUGUUAAUUGAAGCCUUUUAAUGUAAUAGCACUCAUUGAGUCUAUAUAGGGAAAUCAAAUGAUAUUCAGACUCUGCAAGUACUUGCCAGGUCUCAGUAAAUACUUGUUGAAGUAUCAAGUGGUGGCCUUUGAAAUCGGAAGAUACGGGUAUCUGUGGGAAUGCCAUCUCCUAUACCAGGCACAGCCGGCAUGCAUCUGUCUACCUGAAGAGCUCCUGAGGCUGGGGUUGGAUUGAGGCAGCAUGGCUGGAGUAGUACCUAAUGAUCCCUAAUCAAAAAGUGGGGGAAGCAAAGUCACACAGUAAAAGCUGGGUUGAGUGUAAAGUUGGAAGGAAAAAAUUCCACAUGGAUCAGAAUCAGUAGGAAUUGGAAUUAAGAAUAAAUUCCAAUGCGAGAAGCUGUGGUGGGUGAGUAACGCGGGUCUGAAGGUGUGUAGAUGGGUUUAAUGUGAGCAGACCGUCCUUCUAGGUGUAUCCCCUAGAGAAACUUUGGAACACGUACCUAAAGAGACAAGUUCAGGAAGACCCCAUCCUUUAGCCUUUAUUGAUGCAGACAUAAGUAUAAAAAUGUGAAGAUAUCCAUGGGAUGGGUAAAUACUAAAAAGUUAGGAUAGUGGUUUGAGCUGAGCCCUCCAUUUGUUGUUGUUGUUGUUGUUAAUGCAUAAUUUAAUUGUCCUAAGCAUCUAGAAUCCUGUACUCGGCAGAUAGGUGUUUUGUGUGUGUGUUUGUUCUCUUAGCUGAUGAGGCUGAUAGAAACACAGAGUAGGAAGGAGUCAGAGAGAACAUCAGGUCUCUCCUUUUGUAGAUGAUGAAGCAGAGAUGCAGGGAUGAACAUUCCAGGUUGCUAGUGGUAGGACUGGGAAUAAGAGCCAGGCUUUUCUGACUGCUAUCCAGGCCCCUCUGCACCACACCAUACAUGGUCUCUUAAUGAAGGCUCUUUUCUGUAAAGCCAUGUCCUGGUAUCAUGCCCCUAACCCUUCGUAGUCCUCCAUUAGAGCACGUUUGUGGACUCUGGUGUUUCAAGGUAUAAGUUUCUAAAUUAAUAGCAACUUGCAUAGCCCACCAAGCCCUGAGUGCGUUUUUCUUCUGUGAAAAUGUCUUAGGGUCUAUCCACAUUUCAUUUUUUCCUCCAAGAUGUUUUAUAUUUUUUUAAUUAGAAACAAACAACUUUUUAAUAAAAAAAUCUUAUAAGCCCCAACUUUACAUGGAUUAUUUGUCCUAAAAAAGCUUUGUAGGACAAAUUCUUAAAAGUUGUCAAUAAUUAAAUAAUUUCAACAGGAAAAAUCUUAGGGAUUCUCAGCCCUCAAGCUGACAUUCAUUUGUAGUAACACAACAUUAAGUUCAGUUAGAAAUUGACAUAAUUGCUUCAAGGAGUAGCAUAGUUACCACAACAUGACCUAAAAAGGCAUUGUAUGUUCUCUAUAAUAUGGUUCUUUGUCAGCUUUUCUUGAACUCCUUUGUAGCUAUUGCACACCAAGAGUCUAAGGCCACAGUAAAACACAAAACUGCCUAAUUCGGCAACAAAAUAUCAACCUUUCUUAAAUUCUGUUUAAUGCAAAAACAAUGGAGUAUAUAGACAAAAUAAAUCAGUGAAAACAGGGGCGCCUGGGUGGCUCAGUCAGUUAAGUGUCUUGACUUGGGCUCGGGUCAUGAUCUCACAGCUUGUGAGUUCGAGCCCCAUGUUGGGCUCUGUGCUGACAUUUCAGAGCCUGGAGCCUGCUUUGGAUUCUGUGUCUCCCUCUCUCUGCUCCUCUCCCGCUCACGCUGUCUCUUCUCUCCUUCAAAAAUGAAUGAACAUGAAAAAAAAUUAAAAAUAAAUCAAUGAAAACAAUGUAUUGCAGGUUAAGUGUAGGUUAAAUGCCAGGGACUAGUGUUGUGAACUAAUGAGCCCCAAGUGCUGUGGAAUGAGAACUUCCGUACCACAUGCUCCACUUCUAAAGUCACAGUGAUGUUCACUAAUGACUUAGGUCCUGUGGCGCCCAGCUGGUCCUCAGGUGCUGCAUACACAAGUCAUUCUUCUUAAAUGCUAAGAGAAGUGCCAUAUACCGAAAAUUGCAUUAUUAAAGAAAGCUGCCUGUAAAGCAGCUCUCAACCCAAGGGAAUAUAUGGGUGUGUUAGAAAUGGAAACAGGUGCACGUGCAUGUGUGUGCGUGUGUGGUGGGGCUGGGUCGAUGGAAAAAAAGAAAAGAAAACCAGUGUGUUAACAACUUCUUAAAGAUGGGCACGCAAGUAAACCCCUCUCUCCCUUUCCUCUGCCUUUGUCCUCAGCCCUGAGAUUUAUCAGUUUGAUUUCAUUCACAGUCACUGAAGGUUUUUCCUUCUGAUAAGCAUUGAUGCCUUUUUGUAGCGUAGAAUGAGUGACUGAUGCAUUGUUUGGCCAGCUCGUAAUCAGUGGUGAGUAGUGUCCAACAUCGUAUUUCUAAAUAACGAUCCUCCUUCAGUAUUCUGUAGUCUUUUUCUGUCCCAGGUUCACUUAAAAUUUCGAUGACUGACUGCUUCUAGCCAAAGAAAUCAUCCCUCAGCUGGUUCUGCCUGGGUAAACUGAAGUAUCAUUGGGAUAUUUCUGUUUUAUUCAGUGUGAUACUACUCUGAUGCUUAAAAUAGUUUGGGUGUAAUUCUUUCUGCACUUGGGGAAUGGUGGUGGUCUUUAUUUUGAUUCAAGUAGCAAUAGUAAUUUUCAGGACAUGAGAUACACAAAAGUGAAACAGUGUAUUUCACAUAUUUUCAUAGUAAAAUGUUGUUUUGUGAAGGUGAAUGACAAGCUGAUUUGUUGCAUUUCCUCAAGCACAUUAGUCUGAAGGCUGUGCUCUCAGAUGUCUCCUCUUUUUUCUCUCCCUUUUGUCAGCAGAUGGCGUAUUACCGUUCCCUCUCACUUCUGUUUUCUUCGCCUUUUUAUUCCUCUCUUUCCUCCUCCUCUUCCUCCCUUGCCAACCCCCCCCACCUUGGCAAACAUUUGUCACAAGAAUGGAUGCUGUUAUGAAAAAAAAAUAAAGUCUGGCUGUGACAUGUUGUCUUUUCAAAAGUACAAGAAAGAAAGGAGGAAACAGGUUUUCAUUGCUUCGGGCAUAAUACAGCUGGCUAAUUUUCUCUGCUAACACUUUAUUAGAGGAACACUUGUUCCCCUUUAGAGCGGAUCUGACAUUUUUUUGUAACAGUUAUGUUUGCUUUUAUAUUUCUAUCCUGUUGUUUUGCAUGCAGAUAGCUCCUCUUUUCCCUUUUAGGUGGAUGGGCCCUUUCAUUAAUAUUACGUGUUUUUACUUAUUUAUUUAGUAAUUUUUUAGUGUUUUAUUAUUGUGAGAGAAAGAGAGUGCGCACGCUCGCACAAGUGGGGGAGGGGCAGAGAGAGGGAGACACAGAAUACGAAGCCAGCUCCAGGCUCCGAGCUGUCAGCGCAGCUUGAACGGACGCGGAUGCAGGGCUUGAACCCACGGACUGCGAGAUUAUGACCCGAACUGAAGUUGGGUGCUUAACCGACUGAGCCACCCAGGCACCCCAAUUUUAUGUGUUUUUAAAUACAGAACUUUUUCCAAAGGAAAAUCCUUUGAUGUACAGAUAAAUAGAUUAAAAUACAUUUGCACUUAAUUUUGGGAGUAAAACUCCUGUGACAGUGAUUGGGGCUGUCGUGAACAUGAGGUACACAUGAAGAUGUGAUUGGGUGGAGAAUACGUACAACUUAAUGAGAGGCUGUUAAUGACUGGAAGAGGGUUCAUUAAUAUGCGUUGUAAAACUAGGCUGUACGUGGAAUGUGUGAGGGAGCUAAUUAAAUAUUCUAAGGAAUCCUACGAACCCCAUAUUCCUUCUAUUCUUUUCUUAUUCUUUCUGCCAACAGUAAAUAUCAAAUGUUUCCAGAAUGGAUACUGCAUAAAGAGCAGGUACACGGAAUUGUCUGUGCUCUCAAAGGAUGUAGUCUUCCUGAAUGUAAUUUGGGAGUCCACUUUCCUGCUUUAGGAAGAAUGGUAGAGUGAGCCCAGUUUAAUCUUUAACGUAUUAUUACCACCGUCUCUGCUUGCGUAAAUCCCAGUUGCAACACAGCGCCUUCUUUCUGAUAUCUUCAUUCUAUUCCUACCCCUCUUCACUCACCCACCUACCUCCAAAGCAAAGUGAUCUCCGGCUCCUCUGAACACCCGGAGCAUUUGUGCAUACCUGCUUUUUGACCUCGUCACUUCCUACUUUGUAGCAUAGUUACUAACAGCUGUUGGACGGAAAGCAUCUUGAUCCCCAGUAGUUCUGAGCACAAUGCCCUGAACAGAAAUGCUGCCCACUAUUUGACUUAUUGAAUGCGUAUUGGAUAUUAACUUUACAAGUGCAUUGGCUCCUAGAAUCAGUCAGACCUGGGUUUGAAACUCAGCUCUGCGAGUCUGGCCAAGCCUUAACUGCUCUGAAUUUCAGUUUCCUAAUCUGCAAAGUAUAUGUGAUAAUGACUGCUUGGUAGAGAUGUUGUAGGGAUAGAAAGCAGUGGUGUAGGUAAAACACAGUGCUUGGGGCAUAGUAGAUGCGCAGUUUUCUAGAUGUGUACCCACAUGUCCUCCCCGGACACAACACGCACACACACACGCAUACACACACACACAGUGUAUGUGUGCAUGUGCAAGAUGCUAGGCCCUCAGAGACCAAACCACACAAGUCCUGUGCUCAUGUUGCUUAAAGAAGAAAUGAAACCAUACAGGGUGCAGAAUUGUGGUUCUGUUGGGGCAGUGGAGAGGGUGUACCAUGGGAGUUCAUGUGUUUCUCCCAGAGAAAGGAUGGAUAUGGUUUAGGGAAAGUGUUAAUGCAAAAGAUGGCAAUUGUGCAGAAGGUAGGAGAAUGGGUAGGGCUUGAAUGAAUGUUACUGAAGGCUAGAGAGGAAGAUACGUACUUUAAAAGAUUUGUCUCUUCAAAAACUAUAGUUGUGCAGUAGAACUUCCUGGUCGAGGACUGAGAUUGGAGAUGAAUGUCUCUACUCAUCUGCCAGUAUUUUUCUCAGAAACUUGCAUGCCUAUAUGGGCUUUCCUAUGACCUACCUACUCCUUUUGGUCCAAGUGUGGUAGUUGCCACCAGGCAUGUUGGAAAUGAUAAAAUAGUUCGGUAGCAACUUUGCCAGCGUUCUAAAUUUGGUAGUUGAUAGCACUGUAUUGGGUGCCUUUCCCAUGGGCAUGGAGAAGGGGAGAAUUAACUUGGUAACUGCCUGUAAAAAUACAUCAGCAGGAAGGUUUUCAGCUUAAUGGUGAUAAAAUAAAAUAUAAUACAGAAUAGCUCCCUAGUCCUUUCCAUACACAGAUUUUUCUAAAUGCUUUGAAGUAGAUGGGGGAUAAAAGAAGCCUGUAAUACUAAACCAUCCAAAAAUGAAAUCAAAUGCUUUAUGCCUGUUGGGUAUUGUUAUCACCCAAAUUCAAGUGUGGACCUUAAUGUAGAGUCUAUAGUCGAUAAAGUUAACACUAGUGAUCCCAGUUGGCACAGAGAACUACCGCUCAGACUGCUGAAUCCAUUAAGUAAUGGAAUCGGGUUUAACUGUUCCCCUCAGAGGUUGAAAAUCUUCACAAUGAGGAAAAACCACCCAUACGCCCAAUAGGAAUGUAUUUGAGUCCUUACCUAGGGGCACUGUGACUGCAGUCUCCUUGGAAAAAUUUUAGGAGUGGUCUGAGCUCAGUUGAGUUGUGUUGUUCGCCCUCUGCUUUUCCUCAGCCACAGCUGGGCUGUGCUGCUGCAGGGAGGGCUGGAGGAGCUGGAGAGGGAUGCAAGAGAGCGUCUCAUAGACCUGUCUACUUUAGAGCUAGAAAACCGGUGACACGUUGCUAUAUAGAAGUCUGUUUAGCAGCAACUGCAUUUGAGUUCAGGUACUUCUUUGAUGUUGGGAGAUGUCCAGUAUAUGUUACAGCAGUGAGGUUCCACCGACCCCAUUACUGAUCCUGUAGCCAGGAAGGGGCUGAUCUCUCCUGGCUAUUCGCCCUCUUUGCCCCACCUUCAAAUGCCUCUCCAUUUCUUAGACUGUUUAAAUCGGACAUUGGGAAGAAUUUAUUUUUCCUCAGCCUUCGCAAUCCUGUUUUGGUUGUAAAACAAAGUCAGAAACAAGAGCCUGGAGGUGUAUGCUCUAGGGUUAUGGUGCUGUUCCUGUCAAUUACUUGCUGUAUGAUUGUAGGUAACUCAGUUUCUAAAUACUUGUGUUUGCUCAUUAGUGAAAUGAACCUAUCUCGCUAGAGAACAUAGAUUUGUAACCUGGAAUCCAUAGAUGGCCUUCUGUGAAACUACAUAUGUAGUUACAUAUUUUUGAAGCCCUUACCCUUGUUUUGGAUUCUCAGAGGAGUCUGUGAACUCCUCUUCCCCACAUUAAUCUCUCUGCCUUGGAAGUUAUUGUGAAUUUGGUAAAAGAUAAUAGGUAAAAAGAGCUUUAGUAAUAUGAAAAACAUCAUUUCAAGUAGAUUAGAAUCACUCUCUGCUGAGACCAUCUAAUUCAUAUUUCCUCUCUUUUGGAACUCCUCAAUAAACACAUCUGUUUUCUUGUAGUACCUCCCUUCUUCCCUCCUCAUCUCUUCCAUCUUUCCAGUUGUGGAAGAUCUAGAAUGGAAAUCUGAGUACAGUUUUCCAGGCUUCAACACUUGUCAGACCUUUAGUUCAGUCUCAGACUGACUUUCCCCGACUGUGCUGUUUCAGCUUCUGCCAGUGCUUUGGUGUGCUGAAAACUGGCUUUAGCGUCUUCGGUUUCCAUAAUAUUCUUCUGGUUGCUUCUGCAUUGGUGGUACUUCAGCCCCACAUUGAUAUAGAGAAAAGACUAAUUUUCUUUUAUUUAAUCCUUUGAAAAAGACACCUUCAGCUGCUUACCCCAUUUGAACUUACUACAUAUUCUCUUAAGUAUAUGAGCUUAUCUUUUGUCAGCCAGAAACAGAAAGUAGAAAAAAAUCACCCUAGAUUUCUUUCAUAAGACUCUUGCAUUCUAACCCAGAUAUAGGGGGAGAUAUAGGGGUGUCUGGGUUGAACAUCGACUCUUGAUUUUGGCUCAGGUCACGCUCUCACGGUCAUGAGAUUGAGCCAUGUGUCAGAGUCUGUGCUGAUAGCACAGCUCUCUCUCUGUCUCUGCCCCUCCCCCACUUGCAUGAGCGGGCUCUUGCUCUCUCUCAAAAUAAAUAAACUUAAAAAAAUAAUAAAAUGAUAGAUCACAUAAAUUUCCUAGUUCUUGGGGCGCCUGGGUGGCGCAGUCGGUUAAGCGUCCGACUUCAGCCAGGUCACGAUCUCGCGUUCCGUGAGUUCGAGCCCCGCGUCAGGCUCUGGGCUGAUGGCUCAGAGCCUGGAGCCUGUUUCCGAUUCUGUGUCUCCCUCUCUCUCUGCCCCUCGCCCGUUCAUGCUCUGUCUCUCUCUGUCCCAAAAAUAAAUAAACGUUGAAAAAAAAAAAUUAAAAAAAAAAAUUUCCUAGUUCUUUGAGUCAUCUAUAAUUACAUAACAAACCAUUCCAAAACUUACUGGAUUAACACAAUUAUUUUACUUGCUCAUGACUCUGUGAGUUGGCUGGGGCUCAGUUGGGUGGUUCUUCUGCUGGUCUCUCUGAUGACCGAGAGUGGUUGCAACAAGAUGAUGGCUGGGGCUGGAAUAUCCAAGACACCUUGGCUCAUGUCCAACCACCUUAAUAGGAUCAUCUGGUAGGUUUUGAUCUCUUUCUCCCUGGCUUGCUUGGUCUUCUGUAUAUGAGAGCCGCCUAUUGGUAGAUAUUUGAGAGGGCAAGCCCCACUGUGCAAAUAUUUACCAAGCUUCUGCUUGCGUCAUGCCUGCACGUACACCCCAUCAGCCCAGCCCAGAGUUGUGUGGGAGGGCACGACACAGGAUGUGAGUACCACAAGUCCCAUGGUUCAUGGGGAGCUGCUAAGAUAACAUGCCACAUUAGCAUAUAGGAGUAGCUCAUUUCCUAUUUUUAUGAAAUGAGUGAUUCAGGUUUUCAACCAGGAUAGUUCACAACUCCAGCGAAAGGGGAAGUAUGUCCUUUGCUCUAAGGAAGCUCAGAUUUAGAAAUCUAAACUAAACAACAAGAUGAAUUUACAGAGCUUGAGGCAAUUGAGUAAGGGAUAAGAUUUUGUUAGAAAUGUUUGUUUUGCAAGUGGUAUUCAUCUAGAACUCCUCAUUAAUAUAUUUUAAGAAUUCAUUAUAAUACACCAUUAAUGGCUUGAUAAAAAGAAAUAGAAAGGGUGGCAAGGGAGGAAAGGGAAUUAAAAAAAAAUUUUUUUUAAGUUUAGGACGUUUUUUUUUAAAUUUCUGGGAGUUGUUGUCAUUUCAGGACAAUCAGAAAUCAAAACUUAAAGCGUCUAUGGUAUUAAAAUCUAUGAAGGAAAACCACUGUGACAUAGUUCGUGUGGAAUCAGUCGUACAGAUUGAUGAAUGUCAGGUCAUUUUCUCAAGGAGAGUCAUAGCCUUUCUCUUCCUUUGAAAUAUCUAAGGAGCAUUUUAAUUUAUGAGAAAGACCUGACAGAUUAGGAGAAAGAUCUGGUUACAGUUAGAGCACAGAAAGCUCACUGUACUGAAGUAUAGUAUUUCUGAUUGUACUUAAGUAGGUUACUUAUGUGUAGUACUUUACUUCGUUUUUAUUUUUUUAAUGUUUAUUUAUUUUUAAGAGAGAGAGAGAGAGGGUGAGCACCAGCAUGCGUGAGGGGAGAGGAGCAGAGAGAAAGGAAGACAGAGGAUCCAGACCAGGCUCUGUGCUGACAGCAGAGAGCCCAACGUCGGGCUCAAACUCAUGAACUACAAGAUCAUAACCUGAGCUAAAGUCGGACGGUUAACUGACUGAGCCACCCAGGCGCUCCCUUCCCCCCCCCCCCGCCACCAUAUAGUACUUCUUAAACUUACAUGUGCAAGCAAAUCUUGGGGAACUUACUACAGUGCACGUUCUGAUUCGGUAGUUCUGGGGUGUUGUACAUUUCUGCUGAGCUUCGGGGUGAUUCGGUAGUGCUCGUCCAACAAGGCUUUAGUAGACCUAACCCUUCUGAGGUUCCUAUCCUGGCCAGGCCUCUCAGGUAAACCCCCUUAAUUCUCAUACACACUGGUAUGUGACUUUUUACUUCUGUCAUUGACCCCCAGCAGGACAAACAGAAGUCCUUUUAGUGUCUUAUCACACAUGCUCAAGCCAUGUAUUUCACAACUAAGGAAUAGGUAUUAAUUUAAAACUACAGUUGGCCCUGGAACAACCUGGCUUUGAACUUUGCAGAUCCACUUAUAUGUAUUUUCUUAUGAUUUUCUUUUUUUUUUUUUAUGAUUUUUUUUUUUUUUUUGGGACAGAGAGAGACAGAGCAUGAACGGGGGAGGGGCAGAGAGAGAGGGAGACACAGAAUCGGAAACAGGCUCCAGGCUCCGAGCCAUCAGCCCAGAGCCUGACGCGGGGCUCGAACUCACGGACCGCGAGAUCGUGACCUGGCUGAAGUCGGACGCUUAACCGACUGCGCCACCCAGGCGCCCCUAUGAUUUUAUUUUUUAAGUAAUCUCUGUACCCAACGUGGGGCUCAAACCCAAGACCCCAGGAUCAAGAGUCACAUGCUCUUCUGACUGAACCAGCCAGGAACCCCCUCUUCCUACUGAUUUUUUUUUUAAUAACAUUUUCUUUUCUGUAGCUUGCUUUAUUUAGGAAUACAGUAUGUAAUGCAUAUAACCUACAAAGUACGUAUGAAUCGAUAGGUGCUUGUUAUCCAUAAGGCUUCCGGUCAGUAGUAGGCUAUUAGUAGUUAAGUUUUGGGAGAGUCAGAAGUUAUGUACAGACUUUUGACUAUUUGGUAUGGGGGGUGGUUACCCCUCAAGUUGUUCAAGGGUCGAUUUUUAGUUCCUUUGGCAUAUGGCAUUAAGUCAUUUGUAUAAAUCUGGCCUUUGUUAAUGGCUGUAACCCGAAAAAAGAAAAUUCUUGGUUUAAAUUGAAUUGAUUAGUCCCUCAGGGAUUUCUUAACCACAACCCUCAUAUCUGGCUAUCAACAAGACUUUUGCUUGUCUCAGAUUCUUCUUGAAAGCCAAGGUAUAUAGAGGGCCAGACACUCUGGUCUGCCAACUUUUGUCAAGUGCUAGCUGGUAAAAUGGGAUCAAAGUGUAUUCACCAGCACUCCCAAGACUCCACGUGAGCCACCGGACCUAGAGGUGUGGCCAUCCUUCCUCACUGUGGUGCGUUCAGUUCUCCAGAACUCUGUUUCUUAUUCUGGGCUUACACAUGUCUCUGGAGGUACUCCAGUCCAACCUGCCUUUUCCUGUGCAGUUUUCAAAGUAUAUCCUUUCUUCCGACCUUCCUCUUCGCAGAGGGAAGCAGUGCAGCCUCAGAGAUCUAGCCCAUCCAAAUAGUCCUACCCAGAAAUUUGUCUUCCAGUUAAAAAAUAUUUUUAAUUGGAAAAUUACGUACUAAUCUUCACCUCAGAAGACACUAAUAGUGGAACUCACUCUUUGAACAAAGGCAAUGUGGGUAAUAGGAGAGGGCUUUGGAACCGGACAAACUUGGAUUUGCACCCUAGCUCAGCUGUUACUAGCCUGAUCUAAAUCAUUUUUCUAAAUCAAAUGAAAUCUGGUGAGGGUUCCCACUUCUCAGGGUGUGUGGGAAAUCCACUCUCAAGUUGUUGUUGGGACCCCUCACUUUCCAGAAUGCGAGCAGGACUUCCAGUCCUCAUCUGUUCAUGGUUGCCACCGUUCAUGCACCUGGCCUGGACCCUUGUCGUCACUCGGAAGGGAGGCUCGUCCGUGUCUCUGCUUCCCUCACGGCUUUGUACAACACCCCAAACCGUGUGUUUACUACAGUGUCCACAAAUACUGUGUCAACAUCUUUAUCUGAAAUCUUGCCCCCGGCAGUGCGUAAAUGGGUCAGGGCUUUGCUCUUCAUGGGACCCUAACCUUCUCCUCUCCCAGUUUGGGGAAAAUCAGGCCUACGGGUUGAAUAACUCACUUUUUCAAUCCCACAAGCCCACAGCCUUCAUACCCAUAGCUUUGGGGGAUUCUAGCACUUUAAUUCCUUUGGCCUCCACCUUUAAAACUCAGAGGUCCCCAGGUUAGUCCACCCAUCCAGAGAAUUUCCCUUUUUGUUAUAAACACCACCAAAGGUAAAAAAAAAAAAAAGUGUGUGUGUGNNNNNNNNNNNNNNNNNNNNNNNNNNNNNNNNNNNNNNNNNNNNNNNNNNNNNNNNNNNNNNNNNNNNNNNNNNNNNNNNNNNNNNNNNNNNNNNNNNNNNNNNNNNNNNNNNNNNNNNNNNNNNNNNNNNNNNNNNNNNNNNNNNNNNNNNNNNNNNNNNNNNNNNNNNNNNNNNNNNNNNNNNNNNNNNNNNNNNNNNNNNNNNNNNNNNNNNNNNNNNNNNNNNNNNNNNNNNNNNNNNNUUUAUAAUAUAUAUAAUAUAUACAUUUGUAAUUAAAAUUUUAAUAUUUAUAUAUUUAUAUAUAAAUAUAUAUAUUUAUAAAAUAUAUGUUAUAUAUAAAUUUAUAUAAACUUAUAAUUAAAAAUUUAAAUAAUACAUAAAUUUAUUAAAUUCAUUUUUAUUUAUUGUUAGAUAAUAAUAUUAUUUUAAUUUAUCUAACAACUCUAAUGGUAUUCCUAUUUUUACAUGGAAGGAAAUUGUGGCUUACGGGAUUUGACCAAGCACCUGUGGCUAGUGAGUGGAAGAAUCUCAGUGUGAGCGGAGAUCUUUGGUUACGAAACCCUGGAAACACGGUGGUUGGGCUCUCACAUUGCCAGUGACUCUUUGAGCUUGCGUAUAUUUGUUAAACGUAUUUCCCUUACCUGAAGACAUUGGCGUCGGGUGGUUGCACUCCAUAGCAUCCUUCCAUCUAAACAGUCUGUGACUCUGCGUAACUGCCGUUUUACUUCCCCUCUUUUUCAGCCAGAAAAGUGACUUUUUACACUGUAAGGUAUACACGGCUGCCGUAGUUCCUCGGGGAAGGGCAGCUCAGUGGGGGAGGUACCCAGGGACUACAGUUACAAAUUAGUGGCUCUGAGCAACUAGUUUGUUGAAGGAGCUUUUGCAGGUAACCUCAGAAGGCCCCAAUGUUGACCGCCUUUGAACAAUCACAGCGAAUUUGAAAGGGGUCAAAUACAGAAGAAAAACCACUUUUGUCCAAAUUUUAAAUGAAGCAAGAGAAUCCGGAAGCUCAGUGGAUCCUUUGACUGUGGCUCACCAGUGGAACAUAGAGUCAGAGAGGUGAUUUAUAAACCUUUAUAAAAAAAGAGGUAUUUAUAAAAUACUUUAGAAAAGUACGCAGUGUUAGGAGGUCCAGCAUGAGCUCACUAGAGGACAGAUAUUAAACUGACUUUGUUUCCUGUUUUGAAAGAGUCCACAUAUUAAGGGUAUGUGGUUGAUGUAUUUUGUCUUGAUUUUACUAAAGCAUUUCACAGAGAAUUCUAUGAAGAUGGUGACAUGUUGAUUAGAUCAGUAGUUUCCUUUUUUUUUUUUUUUUUUUGCUCCCUCCUAAGAACUAGAUUCUCAUCUGUACUCCACACCUAUUGGAAGAAAAUUAUUGAGAAAAGGGCCCAAGAAUCCAUAUGUUAGAAAAGCUUAUCCAGGUCCACUGCUGCCAUUCCAUAGACUGGCAUUUGAGAAACACCAUAGAAGUUUUCAAAUUUGGGGAGAGGGGCAGGGAAUCCCCUGCUCAAAUAAAAUUUUUUAUGAAACUCUACCAUAUAAAACAGAUAAAGUGACAUAUGAUCCUAGUAUAAAUUUUUUUUUUUUUUUGAAAUUUACACUUACAAUUUUUUUUUAAGUUUAUUUAUUUUGAGAGAGAGAGAGAGAGAGAGUGUGCACACCCAAGUUGGGGAAUGGAAAACAAAGAGAGAAUCCCAAGCAGGCUCUGUGCUGUCAGCGUGGAGCCCGAUUCAGGGCUCAAACUCACAAACCGUGAGAUCAUGAGCGGAGCCAAAACCAAGAGUCGGACACUUAACCGACUGAGCUUCCCAGGUGCCCCUGUGUUCAUAAUGUUUACUGAAGAGUCAGAACAAUGAGGCUGUUAAUGAAAAAGUUUAAAUCAGGUGCUGAUAAUCACUGUGUUAUAACUGUGUAUUCACAUCAGCUUCUGUGUUUCAUGAGAUUGUAUACUUUGCUUUAAAUGCAUAAUAUUUAAGAAAUCUGCUCUUACAAUUACUCACAAAUUAUAACCGGGUUUUUUUGGUGUGUGUUUGCUUCGUUUUUAAAUGACUUGCCAUGGAAUCCCAGGAUACUUUUCAAUUCCCCUAACCUAAGGUAGGGAAUAUUUGUUUCAGAACUGUAACCCUGUAAUGAAACCUAUGGAAACAAUUGCUCGCAUUCCUUAUCAUAAAUCUAAAGUCAUACAGGAAACAUCUAACUCCUAGAAUAAAUAUUUAUUCUCUCUCAAAUAGGAUAUUAUCACAAAGGACUUUUUACUGUGAUGAAAGCAAGGCCGUAUAGGUGCCCCUGAGCCUCGCCUGGCAUUUAAUGGAAGCCCACACUUGGGCGUGGUUUUGUGUGUGUGUGCUUACUUGAACAACUUCACGAGAGCGGACUGUGCAUACUGGUGUUUUUCCUAAGACCAAGGGAGGCCUACAACUUCCCUUACCAGUGUCACACUUACAAGAAGCCCAUGUGUGCACAUAGAGGUCCCCCAGCCAGGGUCAUGAGGCAUGACCUGUGUAUCUGCAGUGGGUGACGAGUUUGUAUAUAAGCCAUUUCGGUGUCAUUUAAAACAACUACAGCUUUGAAAAUAUAUAAAAUACAUUCGAACAUUAGGAACAGAGGGUGGUGUCCUCGGAGCACCUCCACCGGAGUGCUCUUUUUGAAAACACGGAUCUAAUAUUGACUGAUUCAUGUUGAGGAAGAUCCUUGAUUUUCUGCAGAAUACACAGAUAAAGUUGGGGACAGCUAGGUAGUUGCAGAUGAGAAAAAUACCACAGUUGAGAAAGUGGAUUUGUGUACACAAAGAAUAGAGUACUGUUGAGUGCAAAUGGGGAAGUGAUCUCUCUUCUGGCCAGAAAAUCAGGGAAGGCUUCCUGGAAGAGAAGACAUCUGACGAGGCCUUUGAGGAUGUUUAGGUCUUGGGUAUGAGAAUUAUGAGGGAGAAGAAAUGAUGUUGUAGGGCAGUUCACCUUUUUGGAGAGUAUGAUUUUAGGCAAAAAUAAUGUACAUGUCACUAUUCUCUUACACAGAUAACCUUCUUCACUAGUAAAUGAGCUGUAUGUGCAUUCAAAGGUAGAAUCCAUUCAGAAUCUGAAAAAAGGACCAUUUUCAUACAUUUACACGUGCCUCAAGUUUCCUUCAAAGUUAUCACUGUCAGACAGUGAUUCACUUGUUCAGAUUUAGACCUUUCCAGUGAUACUUUGCCCAACUUGGCUGCCCCUUUAAUACCUCCAUGCAUCAUAAAUGGACCCUAAACCUGGCCUCUGCAAGAGUUCUAGCCAUUCAUUUAUCCAGCUAUUCGCCCACGCUGGCAUAUUGAGCACCUAUAUAUGUGUAGGUCUUGGUGAGUUCUAGGCACCCAGCAGUGAACAAGUCAGCACUGGAGGGUGAAGUGGGUGCCUGGAAACCACCUAAAGUUCUUAUCGCUGAACUGCAUUUAAGAAGAUAACAAUGCAACUUUUCCCACAAACUGAUAACAGCAUAAAGUGUACACAUGCCAGAGCGUUUACAUUUUAACAAGGAUCAAAGCUUCGCCUCAAACUACUUCUAAUCAGGAGGCGUGUGAGGGGAAUUGUGGUUUGAGCCUUGGGUCUUUUCCAGCUUAUACGGCUUCUUAGGCAGCAGGAUUGGUACUGUCCUAUCUGUACUUUAAGGUGGAGACUGGCUCUGGUAAUAUUCCUCUCAGCAAAGUAGCCUAAAGACAACUCUACAGCAGGAGGGAAAUCAGUUAGAUAGUCCAUAAUGGCAAAGACUCUUUCUGAGGGGCAGGAUUGCAGAGCAUGGAGAGAGGGGGUGUAGCACGGUGGCAGGUGCACAGAGCCCGCUGGUGCAUAGCCCGGCUCUUGGUGGCUGGGUGAGCCAUCCAACCCCUCUGUGCAUCUGGAAAUACAGAUGAUAAUGGUAAUUACCCACCUCAAAGGAUUGCUGAGGGUCAAAUAAGUUAGUAUAGAAAGAGCAUUUAGAAUUGUGCCUGCCGUAGAGUAACUGCAUUAGGUUAAAUUAGCUAUUAUUUCUUUCAGCCAUGUGUUUUUCCAGUUUGCCCAUUUUCUGAGAACAUAGAGUAGCUAUAGAGGAAGAGUGCAUAAUUGGGUGAUGAGUAAUUCCUUCUUUCACCUCUUCACACCCCCCACACUCCUGCUCCACAGACCCCAGAGUUAACUUGUUUUGUAAGGCUAUAACAUCAUAUUUGAAUGUAUGACCUUGAAAUUUUCUGAUUAAGUAGUUCUGGGCAAAGCUCUAAUGGUUGGAAAAUAAAUCAGGCCUCCCACACAUACCUGCUCAGCCAAGAAUUUGUUUGCCCCAGGAACCGUGGGUGGGCGGGAGUGGAAGCAAGUCCACACCCAGGCUUAUGUGAACUCUCUGUUCCUGCUGGAGACUGGGGUCAUCCUUCUCCCUUUGCUUACCAAUGCUUCCUGGUCAUUUCUUUUCAACCUCAGUUGAAGAAAUAGAGAAACAAAUAUUUUCCUUUCUCAUUUUCUCUCUCCCCAGCUCCAGGGGAACACUCCCCCCAUCCCUGCUUGUGUGUUUUCUCUAGUUUGGCUUUGUAUUUGCCCCUUGGUAUUGCACUUGUGCAAAUUUCUCCCAAGCCCAGGGAGACAGCAUACCGUGUCUGAUGAUGGACUGUAGGGGUCCCUGCAUGGUUCCCCAGUUUCAGGGUCUGCGGCAGGGCCCUCCCGGAAGUGCCCUGGAACUUUCUGUUGGUUCUUGUAGCCAGGGAUAGAGAACCCCGCCCCUGCCUUUGCACUGGGACGAGUCACAGGUGCUCCUGCCUUCCGGGAGUGUCUGGGGGACACCUGCUGUCUGCGUCCUGGGGAGACGGGUGAGGGCUCCUCGGAAAUGUGCCAUGUUGAGACCUGUGGUCUGUGUGACCCUCGGGUACUGGUUCCUGGCUUGUUUUGUUUUUCUUUUUGGUCCAUCGUCCUAGUGAAGUCCUCUCGUUAGAGCAGGUAUGCUCUUUUCUGAGCCUGAGAACAGGUGUGUACCAGUCCCUGUCCUGAGGGAGGCAGUCUGGGAUGAGGUGGAAGGAGGGCUUCUCAGACCCGGGGAAAUCUCUUUGGGCAGAGCGAAGCUUAGAAAGUCAUGUGACCUUUCUGAGCCUGUGUGAUCACUCCUUGCCCAUCCGGUGAAUGGGAAGCCAUGCGGGAUGUGGAGAGCUCCCAGGAAUGCGUCCUUCCUUUUCCUCUGUUUCCUUCUCAAAUGGUGGAAUGCAGGCUUAUGGUAGGGAUAGGUAGGUACUGGGUCAAUUUUUUUCUAAUAACCUAAUGGGCUUCAGCAUGGGGGACUGGUAUUUGGGGGCCUUUGCCCUGUAGUCAGACUCCAGAUGAGCCCAUCUCAGGAGAAGCAUCCUUCGCCCUCCUGGCUGGCCGAGGACUCGGAGAAGCAGCAGAAACUCCUUUGGAAUUUUGCCACUUUAUAUCCCCUCUAGUUUGCUCGACUAUAAGGAAGAACUGGCAAAAUUAAAAAUGAAAAAUUGUUUUGAAAAUUACACCCUGUCUACAAACAGCCGCAGAUCAAGAGUAACCACCAGACAUCCUGUUGCUCAGCAUGCUGGCUGGUCGGGGGUUGCUGGGUUCGGGGCUCUGCCUCGGCGUUGGGCCCUGAAACAGGCCCGUGUUCUGGAUCAGUUGGCACAGGCCACCUCUUAACCGCCACUGUAAAACCUGUCGGAUAAAAAGAAGUCAGCACGAUAAAAUCUGCAUCUGGACAGUGUGCUGUGCCUUCCUGCUCAUUUCCAUUUUCCAAAUCUAGGAUAUUUUUUUGUUUUAAAAGAGGUGCUGAAAGAAGUUUAUCUGAUUGUGUGACUUGGUGUGAGGCCAGAAAACUUCUGCUAACGUCUCUGAAAUAUCUCUUUUAAAGCUGUUUUUUAAACCUCCUGAAGUGAACUAAAGACCUUCACUAACUCCUAGACUCUAAAGUUCUCAUUAUGGAGAAGGUCCACCCUGCUUCCUGCUAGAAUAAGGAAAGGGGGUGACAGUUCAUAUGCAAAUGGCCCCACCACCCGCUAGGAGGUGGCCGAAGUGGCUUCCUCAGGCCUUGUCCCAGAGCCACCGGAUUGGAUUGUCUGUGUGGCACCCACAGAGCCCAGGGCAGCUCCACAGGAAACAGUGGGACUACUGGGCGAAGGCUGUCGGGGAGGUAAGGGUGGGGAUGUGUUUACAGUCCCCUGUGAGCAGAAAGUGGGGAGAGGGGAGAAGGCACUCAGUCCGGGCCACCAGUCCUGAUGCGGGACCAGGCUUUGUGGGACAGUUUUCUGGUUUCAGGUGUGGGUUCACCUGUCAACUCUUCUUUCAGAAAGGUGUGGUGAGGUCUGUGGAAAUCCUUCCAAAUAAUAAUUACCAUUAUUAGCGAUGGUUCUGCAGUUGCCCGGUUUAUUCACCUGUCCGUCCCUCCCCUGAGAAAUCCCAGUCAGAAUGGCCCUCCAUCUGAGUGACCACAGAGCAUGUACUUGUCAUGAUUUGAGUGUUGCCAGUGGUCCGAUAAGAAGCAGAUUAACUUGGGUGAAGAUUCUUAAGAAAACAAGAACAAGAGGUGAAAUGUAAUUCCCUUUAUUGGUAUUAAUUAGUAAUUAGGGUAAAGGCUAAUUUCGGGAAAAGUUUGGUGACACCAUUGGCAUUUCUGGUAUGCAGAGUUUUAGCACAAAGGCUCAUAAAUAUUUUUUUUAAUUAGUUUUGAGAGAGAGACAGAGGGAGAGGUGGAGAACACAAGUGGGGAAAGGGCAGAGAGAGAACGAGACAGAAUCCAAAGCUGGCUCCGGGCUCUGAGCUGUCAGCACAGAGCCCAAGGCGGGGCUCGAACCCACUUCGUAAAUAUAAAGUAUUGCCAAGGUGUUUUGCCAGUAGUGGCCUCCGUACCUGCUUUAAUGAUAUACUUACUCCAAACUUUAGGGAAAUGCCAUGGGCAUAUUUUCUGCAAGUUUCCCAGUAACUGUGAAAGAUCGUUUCUUGUGUACAAAUUAAUAGGGAAAACCAUUUGUAUUACUAAGUAAUAAGUAUAUAUGGGUAUUUAUAUGCACAAGCAAAAGCAAAAUUUGGGGAUUGUUUCUAAGCAAUUACUAGAUUAAACAAUAAUUAGAUUAAAACAUGCAUGAAAUGAUAUACCUUAAUGAAUGUUGCAGUACUUUCUGUCUCUCUACAUAGGGUAGGUUCAUUCAGACUACCUUCCCUCUCAGUACCAGAAGUCCCUCUAUGAUAAACAUGACAGAUAAUAAUUUAGGCAUCAGAUCCCCUCUCUUCACUUCCCUCCCAUUCUCUUCCUCCUUCUCUCCCUCCCUCCACUUUUCAUCUUAUACUGGGCCCAGGUCACUGUGGUUGGCACUGCAGAGACACAGGUAAGUAGCCAGGAUGCUGCCCUCGGAGGCCUCACUGUAGAGAGUGUGUAGAGCAGAGUGAGUUUGCACGGGCUGGUGUGUGAUGCUCUCUGCACAAGGGGCGGGCUCUGGACCUGCUCUCAGAAGAGAGACCGCACGGGACUCAGAGGUUAUGCGGAAGCUAAAGUCUCCAGACCGAAGAGGUGGCCUGGGAACGAAGAGCCAUUCUAGGCACAGCGCUUGUGAUGCCCAGUGUCGUGAAACCGUGUUUGGGGACCGGCGUGCAGCCUGGCUCCGUUGUGACGAGUGAUACCUGGGAGGGGCAGGGCGGCAGAAAGAGGCUGGCUCAGUGAUGAUGGGAGCUCACUACUUGGCAAACAACAACAACAGAACAAAACACAAAAAAGGUGCUGUGACUGAGGAAGUGUAUUGUGUUAGAAAGUUUUACCUUAUAUUGUGCCGAAUUUGUCCCCUUUUCUAUUUUACUGUUGGGUUAGAACCUCAGGAGCCAGCACAGAAUGAACCUGUCCACUCUUUGCCACACGCCUUUAUGUGUAGGUGAUGUUUCGCUUCUUUAAGUCUUGCCCCAAGCUGUGUCUGCUACCUUCAUUUAUCCUUUUAAAUAGGUUUUGGUCGGGGAGCCUUGGUGGCUCAGUUGGUUGAGUGUCUGACUCUUGGUUUCGGCUCAGGUCACGAUCUCACAGUUCAUGAGUUUGAGCCCCACAUCAUGCUCUGCGCUGGCAUUGCGGAACGUGCUUGGGAUUCUCUGUCUCCCUCUCUGUCUCCACUCCUCCCCUGCUUGUGCUCUCUCUCUCUCUCUAAGUAAAUGAAUAAAAAACUUAAAAAAUAUAUAAAUAGGUUUUGGUUAAUAGUUUGUUUCUUUAACAUAAGCCAGCAGUAAUUCUAGUUGGUUCUUUCAGAGUCUGCGAACAAGUGAUUAUGAUCUCCUGCAUUGAUCUACAUCUCCAAAACAGUUUCUGCCGCUACACCCUUUUGUCAGUUGGCACCUUUCUGCCGGGUUCCUCCCCCUGUGGUUUUACAGGAUCCCUGAGCAGGGAAGCAGUCAGGGAUUGUGGGUCCGGCCUCUCGUCUGCGUCCUUAACAGUCUCCUCUUUCCGCCACCUGAUUUCCUUUUGUCAUCUUAGGGCUNNNNNNNNNNNNNNNNNNNNNNNNNNNNNNNNNNNNNNNNNNNNNNNNNNNNNNNNNNCCGUCUCACCACUUUUAUCUUCUACUUCAGAAGGAAACUAACAAAUACAUACCUGUGAAAUGGUGAUAAAAAUUAUUGAGGAUGAACUAAAAUAUUAGCACAGGGCUGAGGGCUGAGAGAGGUAUGCCAUAGCUCAGGUUACAUUUUCACACGAAUUAUCUGGAAUUAGAAAAUACCAGCUAUAUUCUGAAGGAGAGAUUUGGCCAUGUGUGUAAUAUGGGACCCAUCUGCUUGACAGGGUAGGGGUCGGCUCCAACGAAGGGCUCUCUAGGGCUGAUUGUUGAUAGAAGCCAGUAGUGCUGGUGCCUGAAGCAAUCAGUUGGCCAUCCACUUUCCCUCUUGAUAAACAUGGCAUGCUUUCCCAGCCUUCCCAGCCAUACCACAGUUACCUGUGGCUUAGCUUCUUUGCAAAAAAAGGAGGAGAUGGAAAAUGUUGAGUGACUUCGGUUCUCUCACACCCUCACCUCAUGCUGAAGCUGGGAGCUUACCUAUAGCAAUGGUCCUUUUUGGGGACCAUUCUUCCCCAUGGGGAGGGGAUGAGUGAAGAGAAAGACAGCCUUAUGUGUUUGGUCAAGUGGGAAUUUCAGAUUGAAUCUGUUAGCCAAGGAGGCCCCAGAAAAGACUGGGAUGUUGCUGGGAUUUAAUUAUCCUAUACCACGGAGGGCAGAUUCUUAUUUUUGGCCCAGAGUGAAACAGUCUUAAAUGCCGAUGUCUCAGUCUCUGCCCCUGGUACUUCAAAGGGAAUAGAAGGGAGAGGGGAAGGAGACAGGACAAUAACACUCUGCUGUGUACUCGGAUUGUGGUCCACUGACCAGCAGCAUCAGCUUCACCAGAGAGCCUUCUAGAAAUGCCGACUUUCAAGCCCCAACCCAGAGGUACCAAGUCAGAACCUGCAUUUUGCAGGGUACCUGCGAUUCCUGGGGACCUUGAAGUUUUGGAAAAAACACGGCUUUAGGAGGCAGUGACCGUAGUCGAUUGACAGACCAUGAGCAAUGUACCUGUCUUCGCACACUUGGAGAAAUACUGAACAAAUGUGGCGUAUCAACUAUGGGUAUUAAAUGCUGACAAUCAAAGUUUAAUUUUGUUUGCAGCUAGAGACCAGGCCCACUGAUCCUGUUUGACUAAACAGCAGCAUUCUGUUCAGGGAAAGACAGGGGUUUGUUUAGGACACAGAUGACUGCCCCUGGCUUGCUGAUAGCAAGUGAAGAGUUGCUUCCUUGCCCUGGGGCAGAAUGGUUUCCGGGACAACAGUGAAGCCACGCUCUCCUCCCCCCACCCCCUCCCCCCACAUUAACCGUAGAGCAGAGAAUAAAAAGAGCACUUAAUUUUUUUUUUUUUUUCCACAUCACGUUAUUAUCAUGGGUUUCUCAGGGAGAAAAUUUGCAAGAAAGAAAAUCUGCACAUUCUUUAGUGAUGUGCCAAGCAUUUUUUUUUUUUUUCUGGUUUGAACUCAAACUGAUACACCUGACACACGUCAGGGUUAGAUUAUAUUGAUCUAAGUCUGAUUUUAAAACUGUAUCUGUUUGUAAUUCUUCCACACUGUGAUGCAAAGAUUUUUUUGUGUGUUGGUUUUUUCCACUCUCUGUGAUGAUCAUAUGUUACUUCGCUAUAGAUAACAAUCCACUAAGUUUUCUUUUAUAAAAGUAAGAAUUAAGACCAAAAAAACCCCAAAACCCUGUUAUCGAUAAAAGGAUUAAGACUACUAGAAUCAGUCAAGUUGAGGGAGUUAGGGUUAAUCCCAGGGCAUUUCCUUCAAGUGCCAUGAAGAACCCAUCAGCUUGUUAGAAGCCCGUCCACGGCUGUACUCUAGUUGUAGCAGCUGUACUGUCUGGCCUGGGUUAUUUCUGUAGCCCACUAACUGGUCUUGCUCUCUCUUCAGUCUGUUCUCAGCCCAGCCAGAGCAUAUUUGCCUCUGCCCAAAACAGUUGGCUUCCAGGGCUCUCAGAAGAAAACCCAAAGGCCUCAUAGUGUCCUAAGAGGCCCAUCGCUUACCUCUCUGACCCCAUAUCCUAUUACCAUCUCCCUUGCAUAUCCCAGUUAGCAGGCCACACUUCUGCCUCAGGGCCUUUGCACUUACUGAUCCCUCUGUCCGGAACUGUCUUUCUCCAUAUAUUUACAUAACUGUAUCCCAAACUUUCUUUAGGUCUUUGUUCAUAUGUCAGUUUCUCAGCGAGGCUUUUUUUGACUAAUAUAUGUGUUCAUUGUUUGUCUCCUUCUAGAAUAUUACUUCGUUGAGAAGAAGGGAUUUUGUCUUGUUCGUCUUGUGUUCACAGCACUUAAAAUGAUGCCUGGCUUAUUCAAGGUGCAUUGUGUUUGUGGUUUGAAUGAGUGAAGUUGCCCCUUUCCAGCUCCCUGACUAGACAUGAAUUUAGAUCCGAGGGCAUUGUGGGACUUCUUGCUCCCAGUUCUGUUCUCAUUCACGUCACAUAAGAGGGCUAAAACGUUAGGAGAACAUCUUUAAAAUAUUAACCACAGCUGUGAGCCAUUGAAAGCAUUCUACACAGUGAGGAAAUGGCAGCUAAUUGUUGAUUUGUAAGGCAAAUGGGAGAAUAACCCAGCACCAUCCAGGUCCCCUGUGUGCCCGCACCUGGGGAAUAGGAGGGAGGAGCAGUGUCUGGGGCCUCGGUCAGGAGUCGUCACACUUUCUUGCAUGGGCCCUUUGCUUGUGCCUUAUCCCACUCAGUCUCUCGCGUCCCCUCCUCCGAGGAUUAGGCUUUGGGUGUUUGUGUGCACGCGGGUGUGUAUGUACAUUUGUUUGCCAGUGCUGUCUCAUCAGGGGCUUCCUUUGGCCACAGUUUAUGUUUUCCUUUUUGUUUACAGCGUUUCUUAGUAACUCGCUGCCACAAGUCCUCUGCACAGAGUUGCUACCCAAACGUAUCUUGAACUUCGUGCUAUUUCUCUUCUAGUAUCUUAAGAUUUAUUGUGGCCAUGGAAGUCUAGGAAACCGUAAUGUUACAGAAGUGAAUGUAGACAGUGCCCAUAUGACUGUCAUCAUCACAGGGGUAGGAGGACAUCUGGGGAGGACGGAACCCAAACGGGGAAGCCGUAUGGUCUACCUGACAGAAUGGUUCCUGUUUCGGUGAUGGAUGCAGCAGCUUCUAACAGCCCAAAGCCAUCCUUCCUUCGACAAAAUAUCUCUUGAAUGUCCGUGCUUGUGGAAUGUGCUAAUAAAAUGAGCACAGCAUCCACCCGCAUGGAGCUUCUCAUACUCUAAUGAGAGGAAUAAACAAAAUCACGUCACUGUGUAAUUGUAAACUGUGAUAAAUGCUGUGAAGGAGAAAAUCACGGUGCUAUGGGAGCUUAAAAUAGGGGCAUUUGUCCCAGUCUUGGGGUCAGGUCACAUUCGAGCCCAGACUCGCAGGUUACUAGGCACGUGUGUGCUUUGGCAAGGUGGGGGGGGGGGGGGGCAGAAUAUUGUGCCUUAAUUUCCAGGCAGAGGAAAUGAGGUGUGCAAAAUCUCCGAGGUGUUGAGGGUUUUUAUGUAUUGGAGAGAUUGAAAGGAGACCAGCAUGGCUGAAGUGGUUGUGAGGAUGACGGGGACGGUGGUGCCGGAGGAGGCCGGGCAGGUCAGCCAGGGACAGGCGAGGCUUUGGCGUGCACUUUCGGGUCUUUAUCAUGAGCUCAGUGUACAGCCCUAAAGGGGUUUAAGUAAGGCUGAGCCAUGACCUAUUUUCUGUCUUUGAAGGUAUACUCUGUACACAGGGUGGAUCGUGGACUGGAAAAGGAAGAGAGUGGAAGCUGGGCAAAUACCUGCAAGUAUCCUGCGUUUCUCCAGGAGAAGGAUGAUAGGGCGAGAAUGGUGGUGGCACGGUAGCUAGGAACACUUGUCCGGAGGGAGAAUGUUGGAGGCCAGCGGCAUCGAGAUUGUGAUUGCUCUCAUUUGCUCACUGAACAAUCUUCUGUUCGUUUGGCUUGAUCUUAACCUGCCUGUAAGGUGCCGAUACCUGGGAUUUCAGGAAAUACUUGUUGGCUAAAGAAAUGUGAAUACAUUGGUCAAGCUGGACGUAGCAGGUGUCCAGAUUGUCUGGCAAUUACGCUUUUCAUUGUAAAUGAAUAUAAAGGCAGUAUAGCUUUAUGUAUCAGUCUCUUCUGAGCUUUCUUAGCAUGCAUCAGUACUGAUAAACGUAAUCAUUUCUGGAACCUCACUGAGAUAGACUUUUGGAGCCAAGAAAUUUGAAAGACAGUCCUGAAUUACCCGUCAGUCCUGAAUUCUCCGAGGUGAACGUCACCCUGUGGAGACUCUCUGAACAGCUACCUUUCCCUGGCAGUAUCGUCUAUUUUGAUCAAUGCUUUUCCAUUGUCCUUUUUAAAAAAUUUAAGUAAGCCCAAGAUAGUUAUAUCCACGAAUUGUUUCUGUCUCUAGAAUAGCAAUUAUUCCACCCAGUGUGGGAAGGUGCUGCCCACCUAUAAAAAAAGAACUAUAGAAUUUGAUUGUUUAAAAGGCAUAUUAAAUGUAGAAAGAUUGAGAGUCAAGGAGAACCUUGUUCUAAAUUGUUUCCCUGUGCACCUAACUUUUUAUUAUGGCACGUUGAUUUCCUAUGAAACUUAAAGUUUUUGUUUUUCAAAUCAUCUGUUAUCGAGACAUCCGGUGAUACUUGUCUGAAUGGCUCUACCUAGGAACUCUGGGAAGUUGGGCAGCUGAAAUAAUUGUCUAAGGUUUAAUGAAGCCCUUUUGGAGCUCCUGAGUUCAGAAGAUGUCAAAGAAUGGUAUAAAACACAUGUGCACAUUUAUGGCUGACUAUAUUUUCCUCAUCUUUUGCAGGACAAAAAUGGAAGAAACAGAGGUCCUUUUAGAUGGAGCAAAGUGAGCCACUGAACAGGUAGAUAAUUGAAAAUAGCAGGGUGUGUGUAUGCAUUAGCUCAAUGAAUUAGUAUUUGUGAAGUCCUUGGUAGAGUACCCAGUGCAUAGUAAAUACUGUAUGGAAGUAUUUGCUCUUAUGAAAUUCUUUCAAAUGUAACUGAGCCCAAAACAAACCAGUUGUGCAACCAAGAAAGUACCCCACAAAAGCAAGCCUUUGCUCCUAAAGCAACUGAGAACAUCGUCGGUAAAUUCUUUUUUUUAAUCAUUGGUAAAUUCUGACAUGGUCUCUGUGUGACCUGUCAUGCUGGCCUGAGAGACUUAUGGUCUUCUUAAUCUUGGAACACCCAAAGUGUUUGAACACUCAUCCAUUUUUGAAUUUGAGCAUUCGUUCAUCAUGGAUGACCUAUUAAGUGUCAGGUCCAUUUCACUUUUGAAACAAAACAAACUUUUAAAAAAAUUCUUGAAGUAGUUCCUUACCGUUUGGGGAAUGAGAUCACGGAAUUUGAACUGUCCCCUUCCUUGGCCCCUGUGCCUACUUCUCUGGAUCUGCACAGUUCCUGCCUUCUUGCCUCGCUGUGGGGAGACCUGGGUGUCCUGGUGCUCUAGAAUCCCACCUUCCCUCUCAUUUCAGCUCCUCUGUUCCCCUGCCUCCUCAAUAGGUCAGCUCCGUUCAGGACAGGGAGGAAACGCUGGGAGUGGGGCCCACAGUCUGAUUAGGUAGAGCUAGACAUUUCUCUAGAUGGCAUUCAUAUUGCACCUCCUCUCCCCCUGCCCCAGCUUCUGUUUUACAAUUUCUGUAGUUUAUUCUUUUUUUUUUUUUUAAAUUUUUAAUGCUUAUUUAUUUUUGAGAGAGAGAGAGAGAGAGAGAGAGAGAGACAGAAUGUGAGUGGGGGAGGGGCAGAGAGAGAGGGAGACACAGAAUCCGAAACAGGCUUCAGUCCCCGAGCUGUCAGCACAGAGCCCGAUGCGGGGCUCCAAACUCACGAACUGUGAGAUCAUGACCUGAGCCCAAGUCGGAUGCUUAACCGACUGAGCCACCCCGACGCCUUGUAGUUUACUCUAAAUAUUCUGUUGUUUUAUGUUUUGUCAUGUCUCCCUUCUGCGAUUUUUGGAUAUUACCUUUGGAAAUUAACUCUUCUGUUUGGAGAUGUUCCCGAUGACAUUGUUUACUUGUGAGAGCUGGGCGCUGGUGGAGCACUCGGUAUGUCCGUGGCUUUCAGACCUUUAUGUUGGAAGCCCACAGGAAGGGACCACGUGCUGCACCAGGAGCCAGUGCACACCUUCGUGCACGUGGCUGUACGGUUUCCCGAAGUCAUACCUUCGCUGUUUGUGAAUUGUGAUAGAAUGUCCUAGUCUGUUGUAUUUGAUCCCUUUUUUUUUUUUUUUCUCUUUUUUCUCACGUCUUUUCUCUUUAAUGCUUUGCAUAACCUACAACUGCUGGUCAGUUGUACUCUGACAGGCUUGCAGUAUUUUUAGGUGGUGGCAGGGGCACAUGCUUUCUUCCUGGCCAUAUUCUGUAGUAAUGUGCACAGGUCUCUUUUACCCCUACGCACUCCUUCAGACUUGCCUUAUUUUCAUUCCUUAUGUGCAAACCUUCUCUUUCCUUUUGUAACUAAGCUUCUGUUUCUAUUCCACGUACUCCUCACUUCUCAGCUUUCUUUCUGUUUGAACUUUGAUUUCCUCUCCUGACCGAUAGCCAAGAAUCAUUUUACCACUUUUUAAAAAAUCUUAUUUUUUAUUUUUUAAUUUUUUUUUCAACGUUUAUUUAUUUUUGGGACAGAGAGAGACAGAGCAUGAACGGGGGAGGGGCAGAGAGAGAGGGAGACACAGAAUCGGAAACAGGCUCCAGGCUCUGAGCCAUCAGCCCAGAGCCCGACGCGGGGCUCGAACUCACGGACCGCGAGAUCGUGACCUGGCUGAAGUCGGACGUUUAACCUUAAGACUGCGCCACCCAGGCGCCCCAAAAAAUCUUAUUUUUAAGUAAUCUCUACAUGGAGCUUGAAUUCAACAACCCCGAGAUCAAGAGUCGCACACUCCACUGACAGAGCCAGCCAGGCACCCCUCAUUUUACCAUUUUGAAUGAAACAGAUUCCUAUGUACUAUUAGGUCUUGCAUAUUAAAUGUAAUUUUCAAAAAGUAACACUUAUUUUUCAUUAAUUCCUGUAUUUGCUUAUAUCCCCAUAUGCAGUUUUUCAGAAGCCUUACUUUUCUGACGGUCUGCUCUCACAAUUCAUGCCCUUGCACGGUCCAGGGAUCACAGAAGUCUAGUAAUGCGGGAGUCUUCUCUACCCUGUUAUCUUUUGGGUUGGUGUCAUGGGUUACAGAGAGACAUCUGCUGGCUCAAAUGUAGUGUUGCAUUGUUUUUCUAUCCUGAAGUUUAGUGUAUUGUCAUUUUUAGGACCUUAAAGUUUCAUAGUGCGCAGGUAAGCUUUUCCAUUGGAAUGCAUUGAAGUCAUUCACCUAAUCCCUUCAAGCGUUUUUUUUAGGAUUUCCAGCUCAGCAUGUAAUGAACUGAAAAGUACUGGUAUCAUACCACCCAGUCAAGAAGCUGACACCUAAUGGGGAAAAGGAUUUCAUGGCCAAACUAGAUUCCUUCCCUUCAUGUGCUCUUAGUGGGACCACAAAAUGAUAGUUUAGUAAAACACCCAGUAAGCCAAGAUCCAUUUAAAACUUCUGGAAAUGAGAAUUCACUUUUCCAAGAUAGUUAAGACCUUAAGUUUUACACGGUUUAGGUUUGCAGCUUGGUUGUAUACGAGUGGUACAUUUGGUUCUGGUUAUAGGACUAGUGCUGGAAAGCAGGAAUCUAAAAUCUAUUGCUUAUUUAUUUGGAAGCUGUAAUUGGAAUAUUGUAAUGGCUUCUGUGCAGCGCUUGUAGCAAAAUUUUUGUUCAUUUCAGAGGCGAGUUUAUUUCUCUAGGAAUCAUAAUUAUAUACACCUAAGAUUACUCAGUGCACACAACAGCUUUUAAAGAUUAUAGUGUGCAAAGUGGUUCUUUUGAACAAAAGUAGUAUUCACCUGUCUUUGAGGAAUAUUUCUAAGGUUUUGUAGGCAAUAAAGGAGGCAGCAUGCUCCAGUUUUCUGUCCUUGUUUACUCCUGGUACACAAUCCAUGCCUGGAAGCCAGUGAAAAAACACCAGAAUUUGUGUGUCCGUUCCUUUAAUCAAGGGCUUUGAGAGCGUACAGGAGAGAGAGCUAAAACCGUGCCCUGCCAUGGCUCCAGCUCACAGCAGUUGUCUCUUCUCCCGUCCAUUUCAAAAGAUAAACUAAGUGUCAUCGAACAAGAUCAUACCGGCUUCGGGGAAAGGCAGAAAAGGAUGUUAUUAAUCGUCCAAGAGGACAAAUUACGGCAGAAAUCUAAACAGUAUCUGGGAACAUCAAAUACUGUGUUUGAAUUUAACAACCCCACACAAGAAGAACGACACGCAUUUUUUAAAGUAUUUCAUACUUGGGGCGCCUGGGUGGCGCAGUCGGUUAAGCGUCCGACUUCAGCCAGGUCACGAUCUCGCGGUCCGUGAGUUCGAGCCCCGCGUCGGGCUCUGGGCUGAUGGCUCAGAGCCUGGAGCCUGUUUCCGAUUCUGUGUCUCCCUCUCUCUCUGCCCCUCCCCCGUUCAUGCUCUGUCUCUCUCUGUCCCAAAAAUAAAUAAACGUUGAAAAAAAAAAUUUUUUUUUAAAGUAUUUCAUACUUGCCUAAUUUUUCUGGCCAUCUUCCUUUAUGCCUGUUCGGAGAGGGGAACCUGAGAAGAAAAUAGAAACUAUUUUUCCCUUAAUCAAGGCACCUAGAUUGUCAUGAGAAGUGGGAGAAGUCACAUCAGGUAGCCAAGCACUUCUUCUAAAAGCAUGAAGGAAAGAAACAAGACAGCAAACAACAAGAUCUGAAACAAAGUGUGUUAUGGGUUGUGAGUUUUGAACUUCAGUGCUAAAGUUGGCUUAUGGUAUUGUCAUGAAACAAGAUGCGUGAAAUGCUUGGAACACGGUCAGCGCUCAGUGGGUAGCAGCCGCUGUUGCAGUGCACGAAGGUACUCCGUGGCACCCUCCGUAAAUUCUUCUAGUUGUGUUUCUUCUAGGCAGGGAUGGAUUUGUUUUGAUCCAGCCUAUAUUUUUCGUGAUGGUGUGUAUGGCAAAGGAAACAAUAAUGUUAAUGGCAUUUAUUAUUUUCCCACAUUCUAAGCCUUGCGUGAAGAGCGUGAGGGAAGAUAGUGCGCCAUCCCGGUUUUACAGAAUGUGCGUGUUAUAAGAAGGCUUAGUUAGACUAGCGUGUGGAAGAACUCUGUUACCUAGCCCCUGUUGGGAAUCAGCACUAGCCAGUCUCAUCAGAACCAUAUGCUGGUUGGCUCUGAAUAAUGUUGCAGCUGUAUAUAAGCUUUAAAAAAAACUUUGUUUUACAUUGUUCAUUAGCUGUGAUAGCCAGAAGGGAAAGUACCAGUUACUGAAAGAAAGUGGGGUUUAAUAACAGAAUUAAAAAGUAACUCAGAGGGGCGCCUGGGUGGCUCGGUCGGUUAAGCAUCUGACUUCAGCUCAGGUCAUGAUCUCGUGGUCCGUGAGUUCGAGCCCCGUGUCGGGCUCUGUGCUAACUGCUCAGAGCCUGGAGCCUGUUUCAGAUUCUGUGUCUCCCUCUCUCUCUGCCCCUCCCCUGUUCAUGCUCUGUCUCUCUCUGUCUCAAAAAUAAAUAAAUGUUUAAAAAAAAAAAAAGUAACUCAGAGGGGCGCCUGCCUGGCUCAGUUGGUUAAGCAUCUGACUUCAGCUCAGGUCGUGAUCUCAUGGUCCGUGAGUUCGAGCCCCGCAUCAGGCUCUUUGCUGACAGCUCAGAGCCUGGAGCCUGUUUCAGAUUCUGUGUCUCUCUCUCUCUGCCCCUUCCCCGCUCAUGCCCUGUCUCUCUCUGUCUCUCAAAAAUGAAUAAACAUUAAAAAAAAUAAAAAAGUAACUCAGUUUUCUAAGUUUGGAGCAUUGCUUUUUACAGUCUACUGGUUAGUCCUCAGGGAUAGAGUAGUGGUAAUAUUUUCUAAAAAGUUAAAAGUAGCCUCUUUUAAAAUGUGCGUAAUCAGAAUAUCCUCGUGUUUUCAGAUGUACUUAGUAUAUCUUGCUAUUUCAGUAGGAAAUGGUCUUUUUAAGGUAGACAGAUUCCAAAGGAUUUCAGUAUUUUGGGUAUGUCUACAUCAAUAAUGGGAAGAAAAUAAAUCCAGGACCUCUGAUUGAAGAGGCAAAUAACUAUGUAUCUAUAACCAAUUUUCAGUUUACCGCCUUCAUAGCAUGAGUAAUCAAAAAUUCCCUUUUCGCGAUAACUUACUUUCUUGUUUAGUUUUUGCUUUGGGGUUCUUUGUUUUCUGGAGUGCAGAGGAACUGCCAGUGGGUUCAGAAGUGGCUUGUAUAGGGGCGCCUGGGUGGCUCAGUCGGUUGAGCGUCCGACUUCGGCUCAGGUCACGAUCUCAUGGUUUGUGAGUUCGAGCCCCGCGUGGGGCUCUGUGCUGACAGCUCAGAGCCUGGAGCCUGCUUCCGAUUCUGUGUCUCCCUCGCCCACUUGCACUCUGUCUCUGUCUCUGUCUCUCUCUCAAAAAUAGAUAAAUGUAUAAAAAAAUUUAAAAAAAAAGAAGUGGCUCAUAUGUAUCUGUGGAAGAGAGGAAUAUCCCUGUAACUUAAAAUAUAUCGCAGAUAUUGCCAGGUGUCAGAAGUAAUGCAUUGGGAGUUUAUUACAUUUCAUAUUCAUUUGCCUAAUCCUAAAACUAUGAAAGUCUAGGGCAAAGCAGGAGUUUAACGAGACAAUCUGCUUGAGGAGCUCUCUUGGCCCCCCUCCCCUCCUCUUCCCAUCUUUUUUUUUCUUUUCUUUUAAGAUGAAAUUAAUGUAGGAUUAAGAUCAAAGAUACUUGAAGGGGAAAAUAAGUUGCAAAAUAAAUUAAGCUUGUGAAUUUGGAAUUGAAAGGUAGGUUAGAGGAUGUUUACCUUAACGUUUUCAAUUUGCAGGUAAGGAAAGUGAGUUUCCCAGAGCUCCUGGGGCUCGCACAAGGCCACGGAGCUAAUAAGAGGUGAAACUGAUCCUGACACAUAGAUAGGACUUAUUCAACCAGAAACUUCAAUGGGAUUUUUUUUUCACCUUUAUUGAGGUAUAGUUGACAAAUAAUAUGGUAAAACAAAGCGUACAACAGCGAUUUGACAGAUGUAUACCUGGUCAAAGGAUUUCUUUCACUUGAAUAAUUUUCAAAAACGGCUAUUUAACUCAGCCUCCUUUUGCCUUUUGUUUUUUGUUCUUUAACAUACUAUUUGGAAAGUAUGGGUCUUAGCAGAAUGUCCUGGAAAGCAGAGCCUACUCAUAUACCCAGUGCUGUUUUUUCCACUCUGCUACAUUGAGGGUGGCCUGACAUGUGCACAGACAGGAGAGGAAGAGAGAAGCCCAAUCUUUGCCUCAGUGACCAUGACGCUGGUGUGGGAUAACUUGUAAACCUGGAACCACUUCCUUUUCUAACAGUGGUUGCUCCCUGGGAAGUUCUGUGUCUCUCUCAGCUGGUGUACCCCUAUUCAGCCUAGAAAACAACACCCCUAAUUCCUGUAAUCUAGGGAGGCAUCCAGCAGAUCCCCUCAAUAAACAAAAUGCUCCUGUUUGGAAGGUUCUUAUCCAUAUUAUUUUUUACUGGUGUAGAAGCAUCUGGAUGGCUGUCUUAAAAUGAAAGUGCUCUUGGUCCCAAGUAAUGAAACAGAGUAAUUGGGCAGCAAAAUGAGCAUCACCACCAAGAAAAGUCCCACUAUGUAAUACCACUAGUAAAAAGUGUCAUAUUCUACCCACAGGCUGUAUCUUUUUUAGAAACUGCUCAACUAGAUUGGUACAUACUUGAAUCAUCCUUUUUUUUUUAACUAUAGAAAAUGUACCCUAACCCAUGUGAAAAGUAUUGGUUUUAGAUGCAGUGAAUACCUGUUAGAAAUCUAAUCUGACCUAGAAAAGAAGUACCUUUGAAUAUACCUAAAAAUAACCUAAAAUUAUUAUAGUGAUAAAUAGUAAAAUCCUAUUUCUGGCUUUUGCUAUGACUUUGACACAGGCAUCCACACAGUUACUAUUCAAUUAGAAAUUUUAUUUUGACAGAACUCUACCUUAUAUGUAUUUUUAAAAGUGUUACAUUGCCUUACUUUUUUUCUUUGGUUGACUGAUUGGUAAGUAAUCUUCUAAACCCAGUGUGGGCCUGAAUUCACAACCCCCAGAUCAAGAGUCAUAUGCUCUUGCCACUGAGCCAGUCAGUACCUCCACCAUUGUGUUACUUUUUUCUUUUUAAGUUUAUUUAUUUUGGGAGGCGGAGGGGCCAAGAGAGGGAGAGAGAGAAUCCCAAGCAGCCUCUGCACUGACAACUCAGGUUCGAUCUCAUGACCUGUGAGCUCUUGACCUGAGCCAAAAUCAAGAGCCCGUCACUUAACCCACUGAGUCACCCAGUUGACCCCGUUGUUUUACUUUCAAUAGACUUUUUGGAGUAUGUAAUAUGUAAACAGAGUAUGAGAAAGCGUUGUCACAAUACACUUAGGCCUCAGAUUUUAACUUUGUUAUCGGAGUAUUUCAUUGCAUUUUGAAAGAAUCCUGAAUUACUUGAAUAAUUGAAUUCUCCACAUACAGUACAUUAUUAUGCAUUAAUUUUUUAAUAGCUUUUUUAAGUUUGAAAGAUAAUCCUGUUUGGCCACAAGGCAUUUUUAUGAGGAAAGUUUCAGAUUAUGUGGCCGAGGUGUGGGGGUCAGAUGAAGAUCCAAACAUGGUUUCCCUUUGGUUCUGGGAUUCAUUUGCAUGGGCCGUUUUAAUUCAGAUGGUAUAGGAAGAGGAACAGUACUUUUCUUCUGCUUCCAGUGUGGAGAAGCACAUUGUGUUUGCUCAGCACUUAAACAGUGCUGUGUCAGUUUCUUACUCGUGAACCUGGUAGCUGGGAAUGCUAACCUUGCUACCGAGGAUAGUGUCGAUUUUUAUUUAUUUUACUGUCUGUCUAGGCUCCGCGUGCACAGCUUACUCUAUUUACCUGAUGGCAAAGCUGGGUAGAUUGGAGGAAAAAGAAAGCUUUGGUUUAUAAUGCUUUCAUACUUUUCUGAAAGAUGAUGGUGCACCUGUCACGGUGUGUAUUAUACCUGCGAUAUCUUUGGAUCUUGUUUGAAACCCGUGUGUAGAAUAACAUAAGUGGAUGCAAAGAAGGAAGCACUCCUCAGAGCUCUGUGUAACCCAGACUGGCAGUAAACACAAGGGCUGCCGGCUGCCCGCUGGUUUGUGGAGAUAAGACACGGAAGGAAUGUGUUAGAAAUGAUUGGCUAGGGGGCGCCGGGGUUGGCUCCGUUGGGUAAGUGUCCGACCUCAGGUCAGGUCGUGAUCUCAUGGUUCGUGGGUUCGGGCCCUGCGUCGGGCUCUGUGCUGACAGCUUAGACCCUGGAGCCUGCUUCAAAUUCUGUGUGUGUGUCUCUCUCUCUGCCCCCACCCCCCCGCCUCUGUCAAACAUAAAUAAAUAUUAAAAAAAAAAAAUGAUUGGCUAAUAGGAAAGUUUAAGCAUCCAAUAAUGAAUUCUUUUUAACUUUAAAUAAAUAAAGGAAGCUCGAGGCGCCUGGGUGGCUCAGUCGGUUGAGCGUCCGACUUCAUCUCAGGUCAUGAUCUCACAGUCCGGGAGUUUGAGCCCCUCGUCGGGCUCCGUGCUGACAGCUUGGAGCCUGGAACCUGCUUCGGAUUCUGUGUCUCCCUCUCUCUCUGCCCCUCCCCAGCUCAUGCUCUGUCUCUCUCUCUCUGUCAAAAGUAGAUAAACAUUAAAAAAAAAUUUUUUUUUAAAUAAAUAAGAGCUCAACUCAUUACCGAAAAGCAGGGACACACUCAGUUGCAUUUUUACAUGUUUUCUCAGGAGGGAAAGAAGAGAUGGAGUUUGAACUAAUUUGUUGGGAAGCGUGUUCAGAUGCAUCAGGGUAUCAGAGUGUAAAAGAGGCUAACUCUCUGUGGCAUAGAUGAUGGACUUGAACCGCAGGAGAAAGAAGCAGGACAUCGAAGCCCAGGCAGUAGUGUUAGGAGCAUAAGUUUGCCUUUGGGUGUAUUUAUUCCCUGCUUCCUCCCUGUCACAGACUUACCUCUAUUAGGGAUGACUGUGGAAUGAACUGUUAAGGAUGCCAUACAACAAAGAGGGAAGGCUCGAGAUCCAGACUUCUGGGUUGAGAUAUGGCUCUGCCUCAAAGGCAGAUAACUUAAUUCUCAGUCUCCUCAUCCGUAAAACAUGGAGAGCAUUAGUAUUUACCUUUGUGGGGUUCUUGGGAGGAUCAAAUGAGUUAAUGACAUGUGAAGUGCUUAGAACCCUGUCGGGCGUGUAAUAAGCAUUGGGCGUGUGUUAACUAUUCCUAUACGAUGUGACCUUACUUAAUUUUUUAAAAUAAUUUCACCCUCUCUCCAUAGCCUCUGCCUAGAGAGAAUAGACACUAAACUGAUGAAUGAGUGGAUAAUGACUUGAAUGGUAUCUUUACGGUGGUUGACUGGUAAUGUAAAUGCAUCUUCCGUUGUGGGUCACUUUCCAAGAUGAGGCCAUGUAAGCACAGCACGGAUUAAGUUAAAUCCACACAUGUAUCCCUCCCACCUGUUUUCAAACAUGAUCUUUAAUCUUCUUUGCUAAUAAACCAUUUUCUUUCCUAGGACUCAAAGAAAGGAUUAUGUUUGUGAAAAAGUAGCACAUAACACACACACACACACACUAAAGUAACAACUAUUUUAUGAAACAGUAAUUACACUAAGUGUGAAAAACUCUUUUCUGUUUUAUUCUAUUCUCUGCUUAUAGUGCAUCUAAUUUAUUUUACAAGCCACUAAUGGAUUACCCUGCAGUUUGAAGAACCCUACAUUAGACAAGUUUGACUCUUGUCCAGAACCAAAUAGGGAUUGUAACCCAUAUUCCCUUCCUUUUCAUUCUCUUUCCAUAAUUGUCCUAUAAUGGAACUGGAAUUCACCAGCUUUAGACAUACACGGUCACACUCACUCAAAAAUGCCGUCCCAUCUAUUCAGUAAGUCCAGAUUUUGUGUUGUCAUAAGAAAGAGCUUUAAAUAUUACUGUAUUUCAGAUUUCCUUUUAGCACGUUUAUAACAUUAAAAAGGCAUAUAGCUUGGGAUACCUGGCUGACUCAGUCGGUGGGGUAUGCAACUCUUGAUCUCAGGGUUGUGAGUUCGAGCCCCACACUGGGCAUAGAGCUUACUUGAAAAAAAUUUCAUGGGGCUCAUAUCACUAUAAGACAGGGUCCAGUAAGCAUUGUCAGGAGACCGUUUAAGGUUAGGUAUGAUAAUAGUAACCGAUGUCUCAGAUAAUGAUAAUAUAACUUCAGUUCCAUCCCACCCUCCCCGAUUAAAUAAGGAAUUAACUGUGUUGUACAGAAAAAUGAUUUUAUUGUUAGAACAGAGCUCCAGAGAGCUGUUAUCCUGUAUGGUCGGUCUAUAGGCUUGGUUUGUUCCUUCUUUUUGGCCAGCAUCGGUUGCUUGGGAGCCUGCUGCUUAGAGCUCUUCAUGCCCCGUGGCCAUGAAGCUGAACACACACCACUCACUACCCCAUGCUGAGCCUUGACUCUAUUCUCAUCGACUGAGUCCCCAGCCAGGCCAAAUAACUGCUUCUUUUGAAAGAUUGACAACCAAAUUCUUACCAGAUUGAAAAUGCGAAGCCUUCCUAGAUUGUAAACACUUGGCUUUGUACACAUUCUGGUCACAUUCAUGACCAUUUGCACGUUGCCUUUGGUCAGUCUUCCGUACGCUCUGCUCCACACAAUAGCCAGACUGUCCUGGCUCAGCUGGAGAAGUCUAAUCCAACAUUUUCCCAUCUUAUUUGGCAGAACUCUAUUAAAUUCUCUUCUUUCCCCAUCCCCUUUUUAGGUUAUAGUCUUCAUUAAUUCCCUCCAUUCAUGCUACCAUGUUUCCCUAUAUUUCAAGUAAAUCUCUCUUUUUCUAAGCUUUUUUUUCUUUCUUCCCUCUGUUAAGUUUUGGAGAGCCCCCAGUGAUGCUAGUCGUAGCUAUAAGCUCAAGGGUAGGGAUAUAAUAGUGGUCAAGAGAGAAGAAUGGAGUAUAUUUGGAGGUACAAUAAGGCAUAGUAACCAAUGUCAUCAACUUUUGAAUGAUUUUAAUUGUCUUAGUGUAGCCAUCCUCUUCUGAUUAAACUUUCUCACACUUGCAUAUAGAAAAAUCAAAAUCAUUCUUAUUUGUAUUAGUUUAUUCCUUAUGUAAUUACUAGUGUUGUUACAUAGUUACAAUAUACAUUUCAUUUCAGGUGCAUAGUAUUACAGAUACCUUAUAAGUGAAAUAAGUUUCUGUGGUGGGAUCUGUGCACUAUCACUAACAGCAUCAUUCCUAAGGGAAAAGUAACACCAGUUCUGAACCCCAACCCUGGUUUGGGUAACAUAACCAGGUAUUUGAGGACUGUUUACUGUCCUUAUUUCUCUUAACCAUGCUUUUUGUUCCUGGAAAGAGGUUGACUAUUUUAAAAUCAUCUAAGUACUACUAGAGUGCUUCCAUAAUUACUUUUAAUAAUCAAUUAAAAUGAAAAUCAUGGGAGAAUUCACAGUAUUUUGAAAUGAGAAAUAUGGUUAAUCAUGGAUUUUGAAAUGACAAGUCGCUUUUAUUCUUUAUAUGUAUGUGAAUGUUUAGGAUACAGUCUCAGACCUAGAGUUUGCUACUUUUAAACACUGUGUUUAUUCUGAGGGACAGAACUUCCCCCCCGAUUCAAGUUACUGGUUCCAGGUGACCCUGGCCAUUUUCUCGCAUGAACACCAGAAAUAUGUUGUCUUUGCCUGAUGAGACACAAUAACCUUUUUAAAUAAGACUGGGGAACAGCAGCCAGAAAAUGCUUAAAAAUAGAAAAGGCUAUUACACUUUCUUGUUAGCAGAAUAUUAGAAGCAUUGACUCUUCAUAAGGGCAUUUCAGUCUUUGUUCUCUGUGCUGAUCUGGUAUUACACUUUUUAAAAUAAUGAUUACCUGGCAACACUUUAAAUCCAUUUUCAUACUAAAUCUCAAGGUAGUAUUUUUUUGUUUUUGGCUUGAGUUUUAUAGUAUAUAGUCUGAAACUUACCGUAUCAUAAGUGGCAAGCUAAUGGUCACUGGUGAAAGUAGGAUCAGAGCAGGGGAUCUUACAUGUCCUGGUGAUGUUCUUACUCAUUUAAAAUGAAUUAUCUUGGGGCACCUGGGUGGCUCAGUUGGUUAAGCAUCUGACUUCAGCUCAGGUCAUGAUCUCAUGGUUUAUGGGUUCAAGCCCUGCAUCAGGCUCUGGGCUGAGAGCUCAGAGCCUGGAGCCUGCUUCAGAUUCUGUCUCUUUCUCUCUGCCCCUCCCGUGCUCACUCUCUGUCUCUCAAAAAUAAACAUUAAAAAAAAAAAACAACCUUUAAAAGAUAAAAUUAAAUUAAAUUAAAUUAAAAUAAAAUAAAAUGCAUUAUCUUGACAAGAUUUUGUGUUUAUAAAAUGACUUUGAACUUGCAAAUAUCCUAAGGAUAUUGUUGCCAAAGAGAUACAAAUAAAGACCAUAAUUUAAGCCAAAUAUGACAUAGAAUUACUGAGUUUAGUGUAGUAAGCAGCAUUUGAAAUGUGAUUUGAUGCUUAAGAAAUUGUGCCCGACUUGGAGACACAAAGGCAUACAUAGAAUAAAAUACAGUAUGAGUUUUAAGAUGGCACCAAGGUAUGGGAUGGGAAGAGAUAAAAUAGAGCCUUUCGGGUUUGGCAGCGUUGCCUCAGUAGCCACCUUGGGGGGGAUAAUGAGUAAAGUGGGCCCAAAAAACCCCCAGGGAGGGACUUUGCACCCUCAGGUCUUCCACAUCUACUAAGGACAUUCCGCUUUCAUCUGGUGCACGGAUGGAGCUUUCUCCUAAGGUUUUAUUUGGGGGAAUAAGAGUAGUUCCAGUGCUCACAUCUAGUUUGAGAACCAUUGUCCUGCCAGGUGUAGAUUUUCCUGUUAGGCAAAAUACUUGGAGCACCAGAUACACCAGACCAGCUCAUCGUAAGGAGGAAAGGUAUAAAGUCAGUGUCCUUAUUGUCAGAUGCCACAUGUGCUGGUCAUCCUGAUGCACAGAGGGGGAGCGAGCACUGGAGAGCUUAUUUUGAAAUGUUUUGCUUUCUAAGUUGGGGUCCCCAUAUCCAGAAAAAUUCCUUAGAAACUUUGUAUGUAUUGGAGGAAAAGGUAAAACCCUUUUUUAUUAAAGUAAGACAUAAUUUUCAUACUUGUUGGUGAUGUUCAAAAAAACAUUUUUUUUUUUUUUUGUUCAUGUUAUAAUGAUAGGGUUUCCCCCCAGCACUUUGCACUGAAGUAAAUUGACUGGACAAAAUGGAGAACAGGUGAUUUGAAAACCAUUGUAAAUAUUCUGAAAGUCCCCACAAUGUUAGGUUGGAUAAAGAAUGUACCAAGAACAAGAAAUAUGGAAGUGUGGCACCAUUUCAGAUACAUUUCUCAGUUUCUUUUUUAAAAAAUCUUUUUUAAACAACAUUUAUUUAUUUAUUUUGAGACGAGGAGGGGCAGAGAGAGAGGAGAGAGAGAGAAUCCCAAGCAGGCCCUUUGCUGUCAAUGCAGAGCCCGAUGCGGGGCUAUGACGCAGGGCUCGAUCUCACAAACCAUGAGAUCGUGCCCCGAGCCGAAAUCAAGAGUUGGAUGCCUAACCGAGACCCCCAGGCGCCCUGAAAAUAUCUUUUAUGUGCAGGGGGUAAUGGGGUGGAAGUAGGCACAGGGGGCCAGUGCAAAGUCAGUCGUAGGCAACGCGCUGCUGGUGUUCCUGCUGUUAGAUGUAGACUCCUGAGCAUAUGUAUUAGUACACUUUUGCAGAAGUUAUUUUUUGUUGAGACUUUUAUGGCAGACAGAACUGGCAGAAAGUUCUUCGUCUGGUGCCUGGAGCAUAGUAAGCAAUCAGUAAACAUUAGUGUCCUCUCUUCUUCUGUUUCUCCCUCUUGUUUUUAGCAGUGUAUUUUAUCUUGUUUUCCAGUGGCAGCGUCUUUUAAUGUAAUGUUCAUUUCACCCUUGAGCACUGCAUUUUUCAGGUUCUGAAGCUCAAGCUUUUCUCCCUUAAUAGAGGGAUAGAGAGGUGGGGGGGGGGCAGCGGCAGGUGGAGGUCAGGUGAACCCAGUCUGGCUCUCCUUUUCCCAGUUAAAGCCACAGAUUGUUCUGGGGAGGCUUUAGUGUUCUUAUUGCUUCUGAUUUCAACAGUAAUCGAAGACAAAACAAUUGAAUAAGAAAGGAAAGUGGCAGCAACUGUUAUCAGUUGUUCAGUCCCAUUGUCAGGAAGACCUACAAUCUACUUGCCAUGCAGAUUCCUGGGUUCUACCCCCAGAGACUCUGAGUCCACUCUCAGGUCAUUCUAACGCGCAUGGUCCAAGGACUACGUGCUGAAAACCUCUUAAUUCUAGAAAGAUCCGUUUACACCAUUGCUCCAUUAUUCUUGUUUUCAUUCCUUGGUUGAUCAUUACUGUAGCACAAAGAUCAGAUUUCUUUUGAGAGUUUUCACCACUCCUUGGUAAUUCUGAGCCUCCAAACCAUGGCUCAGAAUUCUUGGCUUAAAAAUAAUGUGUACCAUGCCUAUACCAAUGCAUAACUCUUACGCCGUCAUAUAACAGGAGAAACUUUGGCGGUGGUUUGAGAUUAAUUUGUAAAUUGCCGGUGUUGACACAAUAAUUCUUUCUUUCAUUGGCAUUGCCUAGUGAAGCAGUCUCACUGUGGUUUGUUCUCCUCGUGGUUUCCGUAGUGUUAGAGAUUCUGCUACAGAAAAACGAACCCUUUCUGGUUUUGAAUCACUCAGGAGUUACUCUUGACUCUUUAUAUAAGAGGCAUGUCCUGGGAGGGGGCAAAUCAGACCUCCACACGCGUUGCCCUCUCCUAGCCAAUAGCUUGCUGAGAACGUGGAUAUUACAACGUGCAGUUUCAUUCAUCAAGGGGAUUUUCAGGCUCUAGCAGCAAACUGCUUUGAGUUUUUGGGUGAAUGCUGGGCUUUUGGGUCUUUGCAUUAACUCUGCCGUAGAAUCAAGCAGGUGCAUCUGGCUGUUAGAAGAAUUAAUGAUCGUGAUUCAGGUAAGGAUAAAUUGGAGAAGUUACUUUCUUUUUUUCCCUUUGGGUGGGUUUGAGAUUUUAGAAGAAUUAGUCCUCUCUUUGAGAAGAGCUCAGAACUAUUUAAGUUAGUCCCUCUGAAUUGCUUUAUAGUGUUACUCAGUGUAUCAUCGUUUUAAUGUGAAAUCCACCCUCUUCAAAAUGUAGUUUCAUUUUCAAACAUUAAAGUGAGGAUUCCGUUUUACUUUCUGUGCAUGAAAUUUUUUAAAUGAAAGAACUAUAGUUGCUAAGAUACUAAUUACACAUAGUUUCCUGGUUUGGAGCUGAAGUCUUAUAAUUUUAGAAAGUAUGCUUUAAAGGUUGGGCAGGGGAAAUCGAUGGGUUUGCAUUUGAUUUAUAAAACAAUGAUGUUACAUGUGUGUCAGACUUUUCCCUAUUAAAGGCCAAAUUUUGAGAUAGACCGCUUAAUCUGUUCUGACGUGAGAUUCCCCCACCCCCCAUCUCUCCUCUCUCCGUGUUUCCUGGUGGUGGGAUCCACUCAGCUCCUCCGCUCAGGCAUGUGGUUUAGUCUGUGUACAUUCAGUGCAGUGGCAUUUUUCUUGAAAAAGUGACUAAGGCUUCUUGGAUGAAUUCUGUCUUUGAAAGAGGUGGUAGAGUUGCAUCAGAAAAGCAUUUACAGUAAAUGGCUCCCCCCCCUUUCCUGUAAUGACCACAUGUGAAAGAAUGCAUUAAUUCUUGUUUUGAGGAAAUGAGAGUUGUAGAAUUCUAUGAAAAACUCCCUUUUUAUCAUUAAUUAACCAGAUUUGAAUGUUAAAAAUUCUAAAAUCUGAACCACUUUCUGCUGUGUAAAUAAAUGUCGCAAAAAUAUCCAGUUUUUCACUCCAUAUUCUAUAUGGAGUAACCACUUAUAUUGAGUUCAAGAAGAGAGGAAAUAAUGUUGACGAUGGCACUAGUUAAAGCAUACGCCUAACCUAAAUUAGUUUCUUCAUAGUCAUUUUCCAUAUUAAAUUAAUAAUUUCUUACGUGUGUUGCUGAUUUGUUUCAGGAUUUGUUUCUCUGUGUGGUAGAAGCUGAAUCUAGAAGGAAACUCCCAUAGCUCAUCUAGCCAGGGGUUCUCUUGGGAAAAGUACCGCCCCCUAGGGGACCUGCUAGGAAUGAGAUAGUGUUUGGUUCUGCAGUGAAGGGCUUUUAAUGGAUGGGAGCCUUGAGAUUUUAGAUGUUCCACCGCGGAAAAGACAGAAAGAGCUGUCCUUUAUCCCCCGUGACUUUCAACUGUCAUUUUGGAUAUAAAAAUAUGUUUAUAAUUACUUGAGCCUUGAGUUAAGUCCAUUUUAUGUAAGGAUGCAGGAUAACAUUUACAUACUUUUAUUUUUUUUUUUUAACGUUUAUUUAUUUUUAAGAGAGAAAGAGACAGAGUGGGAAUGGGGGGGUGGGGGCAGAGAGAGAGGGAGACACAGAAUCUGAAGCAGGCUCCAGGCUCUGAGCUGUCAGCACAGAGCCCAAUGCGGGGUGCGAACUCACAAACUGCAAAAUCAUGAUCUGAGCCGGAAGUCGAAAGCUUAACCGACUGAGCCACCCAGGCACCCCUUGCAUACUUUUAAUAUACACAGAAUAUACUUAUUUUCAUCCUUUGGCCCACCCGUACCUCUCCUAUUUCGUUUUCCAGUACUUUUAAGAUGGAAGGCUUCUGACUUGGCUCCUCUGAAUCCAAGCUGUUCUUUAUAAGUAAGUUGUAAGCAUUUCAUUACAUAGUUAAUUGGACCUAAAAAUUAUUUAUAUAUUAUUUGUAUAUUGGGUAUAUAGUGUUUUAUUAUAAAUUGUUUUUCUUUUACUUUCUCCUUUAUAUUACAUUUAGAGCAUUAUAUUGAUGUUUUAAAGGUUAUAUGUAUGCUAGUUACUAUUUAUUAAUGAAUUUUAUUUCAGAAUAGCAAAUAGGGCGUUACAGAAUUUUUGGUUCUAAAAACAGGGCUUUGGGACUAGUAGGGUUUUGAACCAAUAAUCCAUUCUGUCUCUCUACUUUCAGGAGGGACAGUAUGCAUGCAAGCCACCCAGGUGGGAGGGAUGUUUAUCUUCUCUGUGAAGUUCUCCGAGGAAGACUGCACAUGUACCUCAUUAAUAUGUUUUAGUAUCUUGAAGACUUCAUAUUAAGCUAGUUCUUCCUUAGUAAUAAUUUCCAGGAGUCUUCAUUAUGUCACUGGAAAAACACGACCUUUGGUUUUCCCUCUUUUUGUAGGAAAGGACAGACAGGUAUUGAGAGACGCUUAUAAGUCAUGCUGCAAGCUAGCAGAGGAGUUAAAAACAGACUCAGGUCAGGCCGCCUGGGUGACUCAGUCAUUUAAGCGUCUGACUUCAGCUCAGGUCAUGAUCUCACGGUUUGUGAGUUCGAGCCCCGCGUUGGGGUCUGUGCUGACAGCUCAGAGCCAGGAGCCUGCUUCGGAUUCUGUGUCUCCCUCUCUCUCAGCCCCUUGCCUGCUCACGCUCUAUCUCUGUCUCUCAAAAAUAAAUAAACAUUAAAAAAAAUUUAAAAAGAAAAAACAGACUCAGGUUUUCUUGAACAAUGGUCUUGGCCUCAUUGUCUCCUUACCGUGAACAUGUUCUACAUGUGCGAUUCUGAUUUCUGACUGUGCUGUAAGAAUAGCACAUCAUGGGUAACUGUUGUCAGUGUAGUAGAAUUAAAUCACCAGAAUCAUAGCUGUGAGCUUAUGGUUCCUGGGCACAUGCCCGUGGUGUUCACUCAGACCUGUUGUUUGGGGCCACACUUUUAAUUUGGUAGAUCUUUUUCUUGGAUUGUUAGUCCUUGUGGUAUUUUGUUGUCAUUGUUUUUCUUGUUAUGUCGACGUGAUGUUAAUUAUUGCUUCUCAAUAUUUCUAGGGAAGCUAAUAAUUAAUAAAGUUGUCUUUUGAGUUCUUUAUAAAGUGUCUUCACUCCCUUGAAUUUUCUGUUUCUUCCAGGGUCUUUCUGUUGUUUAUCUUAGUUUUCCGCUUUGCGUCGCAGGCUUUCUUUAAAUGUAUUCCUGCCCUUGACACUUCGUUCACAUAAAGAUGAGGUGGCACGAAGGCUGACCGGGGCUCUGUGCACGUGGGCACGUCUUGCCACUGGCAGCCUCCCCUCUGGUGGCACAGAAGCAGCUCUCAUGUUGGGGAGCCACCAAGCGUCAGAGGAAAGAGGGCUUGACUUUGGGGUUCUCAGAACCACACUAGCGGUUAGUCCUCACCCGACUUUUUGUUUAGUUUCUUUGGAGAGUUAACUUUUCAUUUUGAGUUUUUGCCUGGCGGCCUGUAAGAUUUGUUGUUUUGAGAUAGACCGCUUUUGAGAUAGACCUGAUAAACACAGGAAUUAGGCCUGGGAGGAACGAUUGUUGACACCGGACUUUUCAGUUCAUCUUCUCCUUUCUGCCGUUCUCGAUGUUUCUUUCCCAUAUUGCGUUUGCUUUUUCUUUUCUUUCUUUUUUUUUUUAAUUUAUUUAUUUUGAGAGUGAGUGAGAGAAUGAGCAGGAGAGGGGCAGAGAGAGGGAGAGCAAGAAUCCCAAGCGUGCUCCAAGCUGUCAGCACCCAGAGCCCAGUGUGGGGCUCAAACUCCCAAUCCAUGAGAUCAUGACCUGAGUCGAAGUCAAGAGUCGGAUGCUCAACCGACUGAGCUACCCAGGCACCCCUGUUCUUGCUUUUUCUGGGUCUAGAGCCUCUUUGGGGUUUCACUGGGGAAGUCAGUCCCCACCCCAACCCCCGCCCCGCCGUCUCAGCAGCAACCCUCCGAGAACUCUUUGGGCGGUAAGCUGCCUCUGCUCAACUUUAUCACUCAGUACUUCUCCGUCAUUUUCUGGCUUCCAGACAUUUCUUGAAAUCUCUCAGGCCCCUGAUAGUCUUUUUAUUGUUGUGGGUGUAUAUAAUUUUUGUUUUUAUAACUGCAGUGGGGUCUUUCAUGCGCCCUGACUACUAUUUUGAAAUGGUGUCUUAGUAUAGGUUACUACAACAAAGUACUGUAGACUGGGUGGCUUACAAACAAUGGAAAUUUACUCCUCACAGUCCUGGAGGCUGGCUCAUAGACAGCCAUCUUCUUGCUGUGACCUCCUUUGGUGGAAGGAGGAAGAGAGCUCUCUGGGAUCUCCUUUAUAAGCACACUAAUCCCAUUCCUCAGAGCUCCACCCUCAUGGCCUAAUCACUUCCCAGAGGCCCCACCUCCCAGUGCCAUCAGAUUAGUAUUCUGACUUGGGAAUUUUGGGGCAGACGGGAAGGUCUUUCAUUUGUUGAUUUGUCAGAAGUAUAUCUGAAGAUGGGGCCCUGGGUGGCUCAGUCAGUUAAGAGUCCACCUCUUGAUCUCAGCUCAGAUCUUGAUCUCAGGGUCGUUAGUUCAAGCCCCACGUUGGUCUCCACCCUGGGCGUGAAGCCUACUUAACAAAGAAAAGAAAAGAAGUAUAUUUGAAGAAUUAAAUCAGCCUGGGGAAAGAUUUGAUGGGGGCACAAGAACUGCAGUGAGUAUUGGGUUUGGGGAAACUACUUCUUAGAAUAAGUUGGCUGGGAAGGAACAAUGAGCUGAUGUUGUUAUACAGAUAUGCUUUCCAGCCACGGAGGCUAUCACCAUUAAUCACAGAGCUCUCUCAAGAGGCUCUUCUGGCUCUGUUGCUAGAAGACAAGAUGUGUCUUGUCAAACAUCCAGCUUCGUCGUUAAAAAAAUAUAUAUAUAAAUGUAGUGGUAGUUGUUUCUGAUCAUAAUACAAAUGUAAAUGUGGAUAUGCUUACUUUUCAAUUUCUUCUCUGCCCUUUGGCAUAGGAGUUCCUGAGAGAAUCUACUAUUCCUUCAUUUCUAGAACUUCUAUUCCUUAGGGGAUAGACCCUCCUACUACUUCUCCCCUUUCUUGUAAGAAGCAUCUCAUAUUCUUCCUUCCCAUUUCCUUUGUGGAAAAAAAAAAUCCAAAUUCUUAUCGAUCGUUGUGUUUGUUGUGUAGUACCUGCAAAUGGAUAGCAGAAACAAUGAAGAUGGGAAAAAUUAGGUGUUCGCUGAUUAGUGCUUUAACUUCCCUGACAAAGUGGUAUCCAUUUGUGUCUUAGAAGAAACUCCGAAUUGAUGUUUCCAAUCUUACCAUUAACUCAUUUUACUUGGAAAAAAAAAAUAGCCAUUUUCUUGUGAAAAAUCCUGGAGAUCUUCUCUAGAGGUCCUCCAUAGUUAGGGAUGGUGGCCCUAACAUAAUCUAACCUGAAGCAGAAUCUUCUCAGGCCUGUCUGAUCUCUGGAAGAGUACCAGGAGCCCCAAGUCUACCUCUGGCGUUUGCAAAGUAGUUCAGUUAGAUGCUAAUUAUUCUUUGCGUAGUGGCAUAGAGGCAGUUGAAGAUAGUAAAGGUCCUUACUUACAGGAAACAGUAAGUUGUUCAGCUUAGAGCCUUUGGAGCAGUCCUAGAUCCUAGGGCAGGCCCCCUGAGACCGUGCCCCUGGAAGCGGAUACGGAGAAUACUGAAAUGUCCUGAGCUCCCAGGGAAGCAGGACAUACUUGUAAUUUUACUUCUGGUAUUGGCCAGAAUGAGUAUUAUCAGCCUGUUCUAAGUAACUUUCUUCCCAAAUUUACUUUCUUUUAUCUAUCCCCCUUAACCUGCUGGCGGUGAGGAAUGUGUUGAAUACAGGUUAUCACUUGUAUACUGAAAAAUGGUGAACCUAAAAAGGACCUUCUGUGAGCAUUUAGAACACGCUUACUUUGGUUUUUAGAACCUGGGAUAUUGAUUGGCUUUUACUGUUGGAUGAGAGGAAACCCAGCAAAUUCCUUCUUUUUCCUUUGGAGAAAAUACCGUCUGUAGGUGGUCCCAAAGAAAUGAGACAGCCACAAUAGUUGUCAAACUGGUUGUCUGUUACUCAGAGUAGUUCAGAUAUAGUCUCCCUUUGUUGGGGCCAAGGGAUACAAAUCAAAUCCCAUUCUUCAGGGGGACUUGGGGAUAUAAAGACAUUCAGGGAGCCCUCCCAGCCCUCCUUUUUAAUAGGUGUAAAAUUUACAUGUGGAAAAAUGCACUGAUGUCAAAUGUAGUCCUGUAACCGAACCACAGUUAACAUGUAGAACAUUUCUACCCUCCAGGUUCUCUCAUGCCCCCAUCCAGUCCCUCUCCAUCCCCAUUGACAAAUGCUUUCUGAUUUGUCAUAAUAGAAUUUUUUUCUCCUGUUACUGACCUUUAUAUAGAUGGACUCCACAUGUACUUUUUCAGGCUUGGCCUCUCACCCCAGUUUUAUGUUUUUGUGUGGAUCAGGUGUUCUUUCUUCCUUUAUUGCCAGGUGGUAUUCUGUCAUACGAAUACACCCAAUUUGUCACUCCACUUUCCUAUUGACAGACGUUUGGGUUGUCUUCAUCUUUUCGGCUGUUGGGAAUCUGAAGCUGUUGUGAGAGCUCACUCACCCCUCUUUGUAGAUCCAGGCUUAAUUGCUGGGCCGUACCGUGCACGUAUGUCUUUAUGAGAAACUUCCAAGCAGUUUUGCAAAGUAAUUGUGCCUUUUAUGCCCCAGCCAGCAGUCGACGAGAGUUCCAGGUGUUCUGGUUCCUUUUUAGCAUUUGUAUAUUGUUGGUUCUUCUGAUUUUAGCCAUUCUUCUGGAUAUGAAGUGGUUUCUCAUUGUGGUUUUUAAUUUGUAUUUCCUUGAUGACCAACAUAUUCUUACUGGGCGUUUGUAGACUUUCCUUUUUGGAGUAUCUGUAUAAUAUUUUACCCAUUUUUUUUUAAUUUUUGAAGGGGCCAUUUUAUAUUGUAUGUCUUACUAUUAUAGAUUGGUAAGAGAUUUUAUAUAUAUAUAAAAUCUGGAGAGAUAUAUAUGGAUUAUAUAUAUAUAUAUAUAUAUAUAUGCAUAUGUAUAUAUAUCAGAAAACUGUGAUGCAAAUGUAUUCCAGUCUGUGGCUUACCUUUCAUUGUCUUAAAAAUGUCUUAAGGUAGAAGUGAAGGUUCCUUUUUUUGCACGUUUCUCGAGUUGUUCCAGUACAAUCUAUUGAAAAGACUUUCUUGUCCCCAUUGAAUUGCGUUGGCGCCUUUGUUGCAAAUCCGUUGUCCAUAUAUGUGUUGGUCUUUUCAAAGGAACCUGAAGAAUGUUUGCAUAGACCACGUGUGGCAUGCACUUAAGUCUAGGAAAUGAGUUCACAUUGGCCAACUGUAAUAAGCCUCAAGUGGCUGACUGCCUUAAACUUCUGUAUCAUGGAACAUUUGCGUUAAAGGUCACUGACAGACACAUAUGGGGGGCACUUUUUGCUUGCUAACCCAGCUGAGACUUCCAGAAGUUCCAGUGUUCCCACACUAAAUAUAAGGCUCUUAUCUGCAAAGAGAGAAUACCGUCAAGUCUGUGAGACCCAGCCUCAGCCUGCAGGCAACUUCGCAGAGAACUAAAUAGUAAUUUUUCUUAUUUGAAAACUGGAUAUGCAUGAAUUUAACAUAACUGAUUUGGAACUCAUUAUAGUUAUGUGUGGGUCCGACUAAAAAAAUAUUACUCUUAAGAAGGAGAUUUUUCAUAAUGUAAAGAAGCUUGUGAAGAAAAAUUUGUUCUAAUAACUUGUGCACAUUGUGUGCAGAAAUAGAUUUGCUGACUUUAAACGAGUGUUGCCUAUGAGUAGAAUCUCUACCUGGAAAGGUUUUUGUAAACAGUUUUACAUAGUAUUUUUACUUGAAUAUAGUAAAUAAAAAAAAAUUUAUUUUAAAAGAUGCCUUAAUUUGAAAACCAAAGGAUGAAUAGAGGAAACAUACCAAAGUUACCCAGGUAGAAUAAAUGGUGAUAGUCUCUUUUUUGAUACCUUGAUUUUUAGAAUCUUAGCAUUCGUGUUUUCAUGGUAUGGCACUGGAGCUCAGCGCUUGAGCACAUGACUGACGCUGGCCUGUCUGGGUUGGGCCACCAGCUCUCCUAGUCCUCACAGGCAACGGACUUAAGCCUCUGUGUCUCCCCCCUAAAACUCGGAGAAUAAGAGUGUCUGAAGGAAGUUCAGACUUAGAGCUGAGCAGGCUCAUAGUGAACCCUAUGUAACUUUUGGCCAGUCGUAACAUUAUAUUACUUUCAUGAUAAAAACAUAUGCAGAAAGGAAAUUUUUUUAGAAAGAAAAAGCCAGGAAGCAAAAGUAAAUUACAGUAUCCUAUGGUUCAGACACCUCGCUGUUCAUAGUAGACUUCCCAGUUGGUUGAGUUGGUCAGAUUUUACUGUUAAUUCCCAUUCUCCCCCAGAAGGGGGUAGAACUAAGGGAUUUUCUUUUGAGCUCCUUGGGAGAUGUUUGCCCUGAAAAUACAAGAGGCACUCCAUGCUAAUUGCUAGACUUACUCUUGUCUCCAUAAAAAGAUUUUACAAGGAAAGCUAUUCUUUCAAGCUCAUGUCUUCCUCUCCUCCUGCUUUGCUCAGUUAACUCAAGUAUAACACAUCCACUCACUUGAAAUACCACUUUCCCUAGUCCUGUGUUUGGACUUGCACAGCCGUGCUCAGCUCCUGGCCCCUGUUUUUGCUUUCUCCAGCAAUUUCCCGGUCAGAGCGGGAACUAGAGCCGAGUCUCGGAAAAGUGGCCGCGAUGGGCCUUUUUGCCCGCUCGUCUUCCCCACGGGACGUUGGAAGGGGGGAGGUGUCUGACCCUCACUGUAAUCCUGUGGGCACACGUAGCAGGGUUGAUGAUACCCGGCAGCAAAAUCCAGCUGGGGCUAAACGUGAAGGUUGCUAACGCACUGUUGAUGAUGUAAUUCCAGGUGAGAUACGAUGUUUUUGUCACACGUACAAACCAGGUUUGCCCAUAGAAGGAAGUGUGAGCCUUCUCCACAUGGUCACAGGAUGGCCAUCAUAGUUCCUGUGAAGCAUUUGUCUUUGUUGUGCACAUGUGGUUAAGGCUUGAGGAAAACUGAUACUAUUACGGCUGACUUACCUGAUCUUACGAUAUUGGAGAUGAGACUUCUCAUGAGGUCUGCUCAAUGCAAUCCAGUUCUUGUUUAUGUUCUCGGUGAUUUUUGGUAAAGGCUACAGGUGCAUAGAAUCCUUGCCUGUGGCUCUCCUGAGCUGACAUUCUGCAAGGUGACUUUUCCUCCCUGCUGUCCCCGCCCAUCUCGUCCCCCAGCAGCUCCUGCAAGCACUUGUUAGCUCGCUCCUCCACCUCACUUCCUUCUGCAGCCGCUCCUACGUCACAGGCGAGCUCACUUGGUUGGGUUCUCGCCCUGUCAACAAGCUUCGUCCGCGCCUGCCUCGCCUCUGGUUGCAGCGGAAGAGGAGUCUUUCCUUAUGCCCACAGCUCCAGAUCCCAGCCCCAGCUUCCCGCACCUUCUCAGAGACGUUCUCUCUGACCUGAUACCUGCCAUUCACUUUUUCCUAUGCACAUUUAAGCCUACACAUGUCUCGGGGCGCCUGGGUGGCUCAGUCGGUUGAGCGUCCAACUUCGGCUCAGGUCAUGAUCUCGAGGUUUGUGAGUUCGAGCCCCACGUCGGGCUCUGUGCUGACCGCUCAGAGCCUGGAGCCUGCUUCAGAUUCUGUGUCUCUGUCUCUGUCUGCCCCUUUCCUGCUCACACUCUGUCUCUCUCUCAAAAAUAAACAUGAAAAAAAAAUUUAAACCUACGCAUCUCACUAAACGCACUCGGGCGCGCGCACACACACACACACACACACACACAUACACAGGACUUCAGUAUUGCCUUGCUUUUUGGCUCCCUCUCUGUUUACUUGUCCUGCUAGGGCCAAACUUCUUGGAAGAAUUGCCUCUAUUGCUGCCUCCUCUUUCUCUCACUCCCACCCCCUCCUCCGGGUGCUCCAGGUUGGCUCUCGUAUCUGUGACCAAACUGGUACUGCUCCAGCCAGAGCUGGAGGCGGCCUUCCUAUCCUGCUGUUGCCACGUGGACCAGAUACGUUUGGAUUCUUACCUUCCAGGACCUGACGACAGUGACGGUGUUUGGUGUCCUGUCCUCUUUGGCCUCCAGGACCCCGCCUUGCCCCUUCAGCUUGUUCUCCCUGUUGCCUUCGUUCUUUCCAGCUGUCUCUAAGCUCCAUGCUUUGUGUUCAGAUGCUAAUGGGACAUUUCCACUUUGAUAUCUUGCUGGCAUCUCCUAUCCAGCAGGUUCCAAACGGAUCCAAGUUACCCAGGCUUGAAACCUGCGGCUUCCUGACCCUUCUCUCUCCUCCCCUUCCAAAUCCACAAAGAAACCAAGUCUGGUCAAGUUCUUGAAUCCAUCCGCUUUGUCUGCACUGUGUCCUUCCUGUUUUUCAUCACCUUUGACCACAGUUCUUGCCUUUGCACCUGUCUCCCUGCGAUUGGUAUUCUCUCCCAAUCCACUCUGCAUUUAGGGGUCUUCCUGACUGCAUCCAGAGUGAGGCCUCUAAAAAGCAUCUGUGUUGUGUCACUUCAUUCCCUGAAUUCUUCCCCGUUUCUAUGAUCUCUUCUCCCCAAAUUGACUGGGGCCUCUGCGAGGCUUGCAUCCUCACCCCGUGCAUAAAGAAGUCAUCAAAUCACUUGGGAUUUACUCAGAGAUGGAGAACAGAGUUACUUUCCCCUCCACACAGCAGAAUUUCAUGAAAACCCUCACUGGACGUCAGUCCCUCCACCCUCCAGAAUUCCUAAUUGCUCCCAGCCCUCCACCCUUCCCCCCACUCACCUGUCUGUGCUUCCCAGCCCCGGCCUCCCCCUACCCGUAGUUCUCCUGCCGUUUCCCCACUUCUCUUUUUGUACUCCAAGCAGCUCCGCCCUUUGCUGAACGUUCUGAUCUGAGUUGCAUCCCUGUCUUAGAUUGGGUUCUAAUUAAUUGGUUCAUGGACAGUGCCUAAAACUGUGUGACUCAUAGUAGUGAUCAGUCAGACUUGCCCCAAUGAUAAUAAUAACAUUUGCUAUUGACAGUAUUACUUCCAACAGGUUUCCAGACCUGUAGACCAGAUGGGAGCCCCCUUUGGGUGUGCCAGUAGCGCCUUGUGCCUCCAUUAAAUCAUAAUAGCCAGUUCUCUGAGGGAAGGGUGACGACACCCCGCUCGCCAUCCAGCGCCUAGCCCAGUGCCUGGUGUGGAGUGCACAGUGUGGACUGUGGACGCCAUAAAUACUUCUUGAACAGGUUUAAUAAAAUGACUCACAGAAAGAACAUUCCAGUUCUGUUCUUAUCUUUAAUAAGGCACUCUUUAAAAAAUAAGACUUAACGAACGAAACAUACGUGUGUUCUAGGAGUUUGUCACUAAAUCCCGUGUUACUGAGUGAGCCUGGGCAAACUCUCUGGGUGUCUGUGUCCCCCGAACAGCUUUACCUAAGGGCCUUUGUCCAGCUCCAAAACUCUUCAGGUCUGCAGCUGGAGUUCUCAGUAAGGAUGGAGUACAUUUCUAGGACCCAGAGUUUCCUGUGUUCCUUCCCGUUAGCUGAUGAGAAGACGUCAUUGUGUUGCUUGGGCUUGCAGGUUCUUUCCUAGUUGUGGGGAAUUUUUCAAGCUGGCUGUAAUGAGAGGGUCUCAAAAAACCACAGAGAGGUCUGGUAUGUUCUCUUCAAGUGAAACACGACGUCCCUUCUUAUUUUCAGUUUUGAUCUUCUGUGUUACGGAGCUGACUUCUGUAAUUAUCCCUGAAGAAUCUAGUAUUAGAAAUAAGGUCUAGUUUAUUUCAAUACCUGUGCCUUUGACAUCCUUUAAACUCUUCUUUCAUCGCCAAAUCAGAAGCCUUCUUCGGGACUUCUGAUUCUAACGAUUUUGGUUCUUUCAAGUAUAUAUAUGUAUAAUUAAUUGUAAAAUAUGUACAGCAUAAAAUGCAGUCUUCACAUUUGUAAGUGUGCAGGUCCGGGGCAUCGAGUACAUUCACAUUGUUGAACAGCUGUCAGCAUCAUCUAUCUCCAGAACCCUUUGGUCUUGCAAGACUGAAACUCCACACCCAUUAAGCGCUAACUCCUCUUUUCCCCUCCCCCAGCCCCGGGCAACCACUAUUCUGCUUUCUGUCUAUGGAUUGACUACUGUAGGUACCUCAUUUCAGUGGAGUCACACAGUCCUUGUCCUCUUGCCACUGGCUUAUUUCACUUCGCACAGUAUCCUCAAGGUUCACCCUUAUCGUGGCAGGUGUCAGAGUUGCCUUACUGUCUAGGGCUGAAUAAUAUUCCAUCGCGUUUAUAGACCACAUUGUGUUUAUCCGUUCAUUCGCUGGUGGGCACUUGGGUUGCUUCCAUCUUUUGGCUGUUAGGAGUAAUGCUGCUGUGAACAUAGAUACGCAUGUAUCUCUUCGAGACCCUUCGAAAUAUUUUGGAUAAUGAUUUUUUUGAACCUUCUGUCUUGAUGCUUCUGUUGUUUUCAUGAACUCCUGCCCUUCCUCUUUUGGCCACUAAACUACCCCACUCCCAUCAGCUUUCUUCACUAUUUCCCUAAUAAUGUCCUGCUGUUGGGAUGGAUCCUCAUGCUUCAAGAUGACCCUCACAGAACCACUGCAUGGAGAAACACUGACGUCUGAGAAGUAGGAUUUGUUCGCACCUCCGACAUUCCCAUCGAUUCCUGCUGUUUUCUGAAAGGUGUGCCACUGGUUCUUAAAGUGAAAAAAAUAAAAAUCCCUUAGUCAUGGGGCAGAUUUUUGUGACUAUAGGCCUUCUGUAUUUUGAAAUUUAACUGUUAAUAGUAGUAUCUUCUUGAUAUAUCAAUCUUUUUUUUUUUUUAAUAUGAAAUGUAUUGUCAGAUUGGUUUCCAUACAACACCCAGUGCUCAUCCCCAAAGGUGCCCUCCUCAAUACCCAUCACCCACCCUCCCCUCCCUCCCACCCCCCAUCAACCCUCAGUUUGUUCUGUUUUUAAGAGUCUCUUAUGCUUUGGCUCUCUCCCACUUUAACCUCUUUUUUUUUUCUUCCCCUCCCCCAUAGACUUCUGUUAAGUUUCUCAGGAUCCACAUAAGAUGAAAACAUAUGGUAUCUGUCUUUCUCUGUAUGGCUUAUUUCACUUAACAUAACACUCUCCAGUUCCAUCCACGUUGCUACAAAAGGCCAUAUUGCAUUCUUUCUCGUUGCCAAGUAGUAUUCCAUUGUGUAUAUAAACCACAAUUUCUUUAUCCAUUCGUCAGUUGAUGGACAUUUAGGCUCUUUCCAUAAUUUGGCUAUUGUUGAGAGUGCUGCUAUAAACAUUGGGGUACAAGUGCCCCUAUGCAUCAGCACUCCUGUAUCCCUUGGGUAAAUUCCUAGCAGUGCUAUUGCUGGGUCAUAGGGUAGGUCUAUUUUUAAUUUUCUGAGGAACCUCCACACUGUUUUCCAAAGUGGCUGCACCAGUUUGCAUUCCCACCAACAGUGCAAGAGGGUUCCCAUUUCUCCACAUCCUCUCCAGCAUCUAUGGUCUCCUGAUUUGUUCAUUUUGGCCACUCUGACUGGUGUGAGGUAAUAUCUGAGUGUGGUUUUGAUUUGUAUUUUCCUGAUGAGGAGCAACGUUGAGCAUCUUUUCAUGUGAUAUAUCCGUCUUAUAAUUGUGAUACUGACAUUUAUUUAUUGUCAUGGAAGCAAUAUAUGACAAGGGUAGAGAACAUGUAAGAUACAGAAAAAAAAAAUCACACACAGAAGCACUUACUGAAAGGUGACCAUUAUUAACAUCAUGUUGCAUAUUCUUCUGGUCUUUUUAAUGUGAAUUUUUGCAUAUUUAAGAUCCUACUGUUUUGUAUUUCUUUUUUGCACAUAAUAAUAAGGUAUAAGCAUUCUUUUGUUAAGAAGGUCUUUGUAAAUAAUUACGUUAUGUGACUGAAAAUAUUUAUAGGGUGCUGACUAGCUUACAUAACAUUUUUCCAGUUAUAAAAAUAAGAUUUCCUUUAGAAAAUGUCAUAUAUAAAUAUCUUAAUAUUGUAAAGAAGUAACAAAAAAUCUAAAUUGCCUGCCCCUUCUUAAUCUUCUAAAAUUACUCUUUUCUAGUAUCUUUUUGAGAUUAGCUUUUGUAUACCCCAUUUGUCCGUGCUUCCUUCUCUCUCCGCUUUCCUUUCUUACUAAGCAAUGUUGAUACCAUCUUCAUACACAAUUUUAAUUUCUUUUUAAAUUUUUUUUCAACGUUUAUUUCUGAGAGACAGAGAGAAACAAAGCAUGAGGAGGGGAGGGGCAGAGAGAGAGGGAGACACAGAAUUCGAAGCAGGCUCCAGGCUCUGAGCUGUCAGCACCGAGCCCGAUGCGGGGCUUGAACCCACAAACCAUGAGAUCAUGACCCAGGCUGAAGUCAGACACUUAACUGACUGAGCCACCCAGGCGCCCUCACAAUUUUAAUUUUUUUUUAAUGUUUAUUUAUUUUUGAGAGAGAGAGAUAGAGUGAAAGCAGAGGAGGAGCAGAGAGAGAGGGAGAGACAGAAUCUGAAGCAGGCUCCAGGCUCUGAGCUGUCAGCACAGAGCCCGACGCAGGGCUCGAACCCACGAACCGUGAGAUCAUGACCUGAGCUGAAGUUGGAAGGUUAACUGACUGAGCCACCCAGGUGCCCCCAUACACAGUUUUAUAUCCAGCAGUUUCAUCCAACCUGUAUCCUGCUAUUUCCAAUGUCAUUAAGUACUCUCCAUUAAACACAUGAAUUUACCUACUGAGUCAGAUGCUCCCCUCCAUGUUUAAUAGCAAUUUUAGGUGAUUGUAAGUAUGUCCUUGUACAGUUACCUUCCUGUGUAUCUGUGAUUGUUUCUUGAGGUGGUAUUUAUAGAGCUGUUCUGAGUCAGAACAGUUUUAAGGCUUUAUAAAAAGAUACUGCUUGGUUUCCUGAAAGGAUGCUCUCACCUCACUCUGCCAGCUUAACUCUUUGUUGUCCAUCUUUGUGAAUUUGGUGGUUGUUUGCUAGUGAAAUCCAACUCUGUUUCAUGUUAAUUGGCCAUUUAUAUUUUGGAGUGAAUUGUCUGUUAAUAACUUUUACCUUAUACAUUUAUAAAUGAUAUGAGGUUUAUUGCCCUGUUGCAAGUAUUUUGUUUUUUUCUUUACCUUUCACUUCAGUUGCUUUUGGACUUAUAGGUCAUACAUGUUCACAUAAAUGUGUUUACAUAAACAUUUUAAUGUAGUCAGAUUGAUUUCCCAUUAUAUUGCCUUUUGUUACUUUUUUCGUUACUUCUUUUCCUAUCUCUGAUUCAGAAAUGUCUCCUAAUUGUAUUCUUUUCCCCCUUCCUACAUUUAACUCUUUAAUCUCCACAGAAUUAAUUUUGGUGAAGGUUGUAAAGUAGGAGCUCAUAUUAGUUGUUCUAGAAUAUCCUCUUACUCCCAUGUGUGUCCCAAAAUCCCAGCGAAGCUGCAGCGUGCACCAAAACAUGUGCUUUUUCUUACUUUAGUGUCUUGAUCUUCCCACUGGACAAGAGGAGGAGGCUCUGAUGUAUACCUGUGAAGGGAGGAGCCAGGAAGAGGGCCUGGGACCAGCUCUCAGAGCUCUACCCCCAGUCCAGAACUUGCCCUGUCUCUGUCCAGCUCAGGAAGGUACUCCGCACACACUGCCGGAGGACCGAGAUAACAGUGACAAGGGUCAGGGGGCCCGUGAGUUAGGGACUGAGUGGCCCAGGGUGAGCCCCUCUCAGUCUUGACCCUGCUUCAGUUAUUCACAACUACGAUAAGCAACCAGGACUGUGCUCGUUGGAGACUUUACCUGAACCUCCAACUGUAGAUGGAAGGCAGCACGUGGUGAAGAAGAGCCCUAACCUAGGAAAGCCAGAAAGUUUGGGUCCUGUUGCAGCUGUCAGUCAACGGUGCAACCUAGGAAAGUCUCUGAACUUCUCUAAUUUCCUGACUUACAGAAUUACGGAGCUGAGAUGUAUGUUCUCUGAGGUGUCUUCUCAGUAAAUUAUGGUCUAGGCAAGUGGCAGAGCUAGAUCGUGCUGUGAAUCUGUUGGGGGAUCUUUCUUGAGAACUAAUUCAUCCUUCCUUAAUUCAGCCAACCAGUGUGAUACCGGAGAUUAGGAUCAUUUAACAAUGUCAUUUAGUACUCUACCUUGGAGAAUUUGUGCUUUUUACCUUUCCUAACUUUUCCUUAAUCUACCUCAGGCUUCCUUGCCGAAAGACAUCUGUUUUUCCUAACAAUUUCUUCUUUUGCCCAGCCACAUCUUGUGUUUAGGAAUUAAAGAAAGAUGACCUAGUUAUCAAGUACCCAGAACUGAUUCCUGUCACUGACCUUGCCCUACCACUUGCCCGAAGCCGUGACACACAUUUUUCUAAAAAGCUGAAAUAAAAAUGGGAAAACCAUUUUUGAAAACUGUGAAGCAUUAAUAAGGUGAUAAAAGUAGUAUCUAUGAGACACAAAUACCUGCUCUCAACCAUGUUAAUUGCUUACUAUUGGUAUUCAUAAAUCAUUUAUUAACAUGUCAGUAACUGAAAUUGCAUUGAGAAACAACCAACCACAGGCCAAACCUUUGGAAUUUCACGUAUCUUUAUAUUAACAUACUUUAUUUUAGAGAAGUAGCACAGAGAAUAUGUCUUAAGUAGCUCUUGUAUAAUAGAGUCAUCUGUCAGUCGGUCCAUUGUAGUCAGAUGUGUUUUAACACACAUCUCCCACUUUUUGAUUUCCAGAGCAAGUGAACGUGGUCUGAUAUGUGUGGCAUAACUUAUUUAACACAUAAGGAUAAUUCAGAUUCUAUCUAAUGGUGAUCUUUUUACUAGUUUCGAGGCUGCAGAUGAAAAUUUCAGUGCACUGGCAUUUUCCUCUGGAGGAUGUUAUUUGCUGUACUAAAACACAGUGACCACUUGAAAUCUGUAGAACUUGGGCGGAGACUGGAUGAAUCUAAACAGCUUUCUCCUUUGUGCUCCAGGAACACAGAACACUAUAUAUUAAUACGUAUAUUAUUUCUUUAAUGUAUCCUUUAUGUGUUUAUACACAGCUGCAGCUGAUGUUUUGUUCGAUUACAAUUCUGUAUUGCCUGAUCUUCAGAUAACAUGGAAAAAUAGCCUUCAAAGUAAACCUUGAAUGGAUAUGAUCUUCAGAGAAAACCUUUCCUUUAUUAAUUAAACUUUCACUUCUCACUGUGCAUUGCUUUGAUCUCAUAGUUUUAAAAAUGUCCCGAGGCCUUAUUUUCAAGGCUUCCAAACAGAUUAUUACUUCUCAAAAGCCAUACUAUAUUCAUGGCUCAAUGAAUCCUAAAGACAGUAUUUUUAAAACCCUCUUAAGCUUAUUUUUCUUAUGUGCUCGUCUACUGCAUAAUUUUCGUUGCUAUGGGUCACAUGAUCCUUCCCGUCUGUAACACAGGCACUUAAAAUUUUUACUUCCUGAUUGAGCCAUCAAGAUUACGUAAAAUGUAAAUCGGUCUAAAUACCCCAAAGCAGGAAUUUUAAGGAAAAGAUGUUUUUUUCCUCUGUUUCUUUAUUGACGCCUAAAAAAUCAGAGUGAGCGUGUGCCUGCCUAUCUGUACUUGGAAAUGAGAGACGGUUAGGGAUUUUUUGUGUGUCCCGUCCCCUUUCACAUUGAAUCAGACUUUGCUUUCAUUAUAAAAAUAAUGUAGCAACUAGAUAGACCGUGGGAGUGGUGUAGUUGCAGGGCUGAAAUCAAAAUGGUUCCCAUUACUGAGAGAGCUGUUCAUUUACUUAUUACUCCUUUCAUGAUCUGAGUGAAGGUACAGCAUCUCUCAGAAGGUAACGAUCUGAUGCUUCAGAAUUGUAAAUGGCCAUUUAGUCUUGCUUGCUGCCUGAUAGAAAUGAAAGUAAUUUCCAGAAGGCUGGACGACACUUGUUUUAUCAUGGAUCUUAAAAUCCUUCACAUUUUCUCAGAGCAGCUUUGAAGUUGUCAUAGUAACAGCAUGACAUUUGAAGAGUCUUUUAAGUAGUUCUUUAGCUAGAGUUAAUUAAUUUUAUUAACUCUAGAUGUUUUUCUUCUUACUUCUCUCUGACAAACAGGGGCCGUAAUUGCUCAAAUAUGUAUUUCAUGUUCUUUAUUUCUUGGUGACUACAAUUUGAGAACUUGAUGUUUUGUUAAGCUGUUUCAGGAAAAGAACGAGAAUGUCACCGAUUGACUUCAGAAAGGUUAAACUUGGGGUUUUAGUUACUCGUCUGUAAAAUUGCACUACCACGAUAGGACCAGAACUUGGUUUUAUUUAAAGAGGUGGAUUAUGGGAGAUGUCCCCCCAAAUUUAAUGGUGAUUUGCUCCAGGGAUUAUAGCUAUCCUUUGGUUUGAUUUGGAUAUAUUUAAAAUAAGAAUUGAAGAACACGGAAGGGGGAAUGUGUCAGACUUACAGGAGAAAAUUAUUUCUUUAAAAAUGCAACACUCAGAUACAUCACCAAAAGCAUAUUCCACAAAAGAAAAAAAAAUGGAAUAAUCUGACUUUGUCAAAAUUAAAAAUGUAAUAAUACUCUUUGGGACUCUAAAAUCUGCUAAAAUAAAUGAUCCUCUAGGAAAGUUUGUGGGAACCUUCUACCGGGAGAAAGUAGGUCGGGAUCUUCUGUUUGUAAAGCUCCAUGGCAGAAAUUCUUGCCAUUAUGGUGAUUGGUGAGAAAGGGUCAGGUGGAGGGUCAGAAGAAAUAAUGAUCCGUACUAGGUCUGGAAGCUGGAACUUUAAAAAGUAUCAGGUGGUCGGUGCUUUUGUUUGCUUGUAAGAGUGACCAGAGAGGUGAAUACAGAAGGUAUCAUGUGAGCUCUGGGGGUUUAAUGCUGAGGCCGGUAUCCUUCCUGUCCUGGGGAGUAUUUGUUCAGGCAGGGGCAACUGAAGACCAAGGGGACAGCAGCGUGUGCCCCCGACAGCAGUAAAGGUGCUAAUGCACAUCCAGUGAUGUCAGGAGUUACGAGCCAGUGGUUUCAAAACACUGCAGUAAACAGGGUCAAAGUGUCCCGGUUUUGCUGGAAGAAGGUUUGUUUUUAUGAGCUGGACAGUACGUGGAUGAAGUAAUUUUUCAAAACAAACCAAAUUUAUACGCUUUUUGUUUGUUUGUUUUACUUUGUGGGUUUUAAAAAAAUUAACCAGAUGAGGUUUAGUAAGGGUUACAUUUUUAAACAAAAUUAUACUUUUUCCCUUUUUUAAAAAAAAAAAAACGGUUUUCUAUGGUUUUCACAGAGGAAAUGAAAAUACCUCCGAUCUAGGAUUUUUAAAUGGAGUUUUAGAGAGCAAGCUGGAAGCCAGUGUGCAGCAACCGCCAAUCACAAUCACUAGUAAAAUAUUCCUUGUAAUUUUGUACCUUCUGCUCUUCUUUAGACAGGCAUUUAAGUACCAGAAAGUUAAUGGCACAGAAUACUGCUGACUGCGUGGUUCUCGUCUUAAUGCAUUUUCCAACCUUGAACCUGAGAAUACCAGAGGCUGGGGACUCUGGACACUCCUCUGCGCAGUUUUCUGCCGGUGGCCUGGUUCCUGAGGUAACAAGUGGGUGUCCCGGGCGUGUGUGUGUGUUAACAACAGCAGUGAUGCCACGUGGUGCCCAGAGGUCGCCGCGAUCUGUCCCGGGGGUUCCUGGUCCUCGGGGCUUCUGAGAUGAACUGUGAACUUGGGGCAUCCUGAGAAGUACAGGCGUUUUGGAGUGUGCCACAGCAAAUCUGGAUGUCGGCAUAAACACAGCUCUCAAAGUGAAAGCAGGGGCCUCGAGGAAGGAAUUACCCUCAUCUCAUUCCCGACCUGCUUACUGUGCUGGAAAACAAAGUAAGUUUUGUUUGUUUCUUUGUUAGUCAGUCGCUGCUACAUGUUUUCUCUUGCUAACAUUGUAUUAGACACUCCAUAUCUGGCAAACGCCAAGUUUUUCCCCCCUCAUUGGGAAGUAGGAUAUGAAGUUUGUUAAAUAGCUACUUGCUUCUUUAAUCUUUUCUGUCUCUCUUCCUAUAUCUAGCGUGCUGGCUUCCUUGUUGGAGAUCGUAUGAGACUGAAAUUUAUUAUCAAUGAGAAAACACAAAGUUCUUUUUUUCUUCUUCUUUUUUUAAACAAUCCAAGAACCUUGCUGUUAAUUAAAGGACAGUGACACAGGCAAAACUUUUUUUACGUGGUGCAGCCAGCAGCAUAUCUAGCAAAAGAGCCCCAGUUCACCGUCCUUAUUUCCAUUGGGAAGCAGAAAGGGUUCCUGUACGAGACUUAUGUGAAAAUAGAGUGUCCCCCCUGUGGGAACGGCAGACACUGGCUGGGAGUGGUGCCUGAACAAGAGGCCGUAACUUAAAGACCUGUUGGGAAAUGGGAAGGAGCUGAAGAAUACGAAUUAUUUAGUGAUGUUGGGGGAAAAAAAAAAACCCACAAACAAACAGACUUUCUAUAAGAAUGGGAUAAAAUGUAUAAAGACCUAAAGUUGUCGAGGAAACUGAUGUUUUCCUUCAAGUUAGAAAGAUUCAUGUUUUGUAGGUUUAUAGAAGAUGUGUGGCUUUCAGAAAAUAAGAGGCAUCACCACCUGUGCAGAUUUUAGGACACCAGCCUAAAUCUGACACUUGACCCCUGUCUUCCAUUUGUGUUUGUUUGUGUUUUAUCUGAUCCUAGCUCCAGAGCUGUGGCAUGGCUCAGUAAAUUAAUACAAAGCUCUAUGGUUUUGAAAAUGCAAAACAAAUGGAAAUGCAGAGUAGUUUAUGAUUUGUAAUUAGAUUAUCCCUCCUCAUAAAAUGGACUGUUUUUACCGUAGAGUUUUCUGGACUUUUCUCAACUCCCAACGGUAACACUUUAAAGGUAGAAGGAGGCAUUGUAACUACGGAGUGGCAUUGGAAGAGCAGAAAUCAGGAAUCUUCCUUCUAAAUCUCGUAUGGAGUACUGAGUGAAUUUAAGUUAGGGCUCCUGUGCCGUGGGAAUUCACGUUUUAUCUCAACGUGGUGGUGGUAGGACGUGGGGUGUCCGUUUUUCAUUUAAAACCCUCCAGGCUCCUUUUAUGAAUGUCUGUGGAUUAUUCAGCAAACUUCCUUUAAACACCUUUUUGCAGAGUACUGUACUCAGAGCUGCAGUUUGUCACAAUUAAACCUACCAAGAUUUGGUUUGUCAAUUAAAGAUCCAGAACAGUUUGAAGCCAGGGUGAAUGAGCAGAGCAUUCCCCUCGGAACGGUUUGUUAGAGAUGGUGCCACAUGAGCUGGGCUCUCCGCUUCUGAGCUGCCCUCCUAAUUAAAGGGGAAGGUGCCUGCCAUCUGUCUGCUUUCAUUCAGGGCAGUAGGGGGCCUGGGGUGGAAGGAAGCCACCCCCCUUUAUUUUUUCUCCCACUCUUUUUUACAGUCCUCUUUCUCCCUAGUCAGUGACCCAGAAGGUCAUUGAUGAUCUGUCUAUCUCAGACUGAAUAGUAACAUAAGCAUGCAAGGCACUUGCAAAAAAAAAAAGUUUAUAACGUGUGCUUAUCCAUUUAGAAUCCUGCUUGAAUUAUGUCUGGGAGCAUUGUAAUUUCUAUCUUCGUGUCUUUGCUCCUGUUAACUGAGGGCACUACUGGCAGAAAAGUAGGGAUUUUUAGUUUUACUGAUUUUGCUUUUUGUGUGAAAAAAUUGUUUACACUUCACUGGGCAUAAUCAGAAGAUGGCAGCAUCGUAACUGUGCGGUGGGGAUGUACAGAAAUACCGUUCUGAACAAAACCAGGGCUACCUGUUGACUGUGAUACGCACGCGUCAUCACAAGGGAGGUUGUGCACAGGGGUGUUAACACGUGUCCGUGUUACUGAGCGGUGUGCUGAGGCUUCCUGGGCCAAUCAUUGAAAUAAUUCAUGGUAUUUAUCCUUUAGUUAGGCAAUAAGCCUUUUAGCCCCUUUCUCAUGAGAAUAGAUUAUUGGAGAAUUUGGUUUGGGGUCAUGGCUUUUAAUUGUUUUUGAAAUGUAGGGUGCUCUAACUAAAUGAUUGAGCUUUCUUGCCUCAGUUUCCAAACCCUGGAAGAAAUCUGUGCUGCUUUCAGAAACAUUUAAGAGAAUAUGAAAUAAAAUUUUGUCCUCGAUAAAAACUUUAUUAUCACUGAAAAUUUCUAAAAUCUGCGGUGGUUUCUCUUUUCUGUUCUUACGUACUUGAGCAAAGUGUCAGCCGUCAUUUAAAAAGAGUCAGUCCUGGGGCGCCUGGGUGGCGCGGUCGGUUAAGCGUCCGACUUCAGCCAGGUCACGAUCUCGCGGUCCGGGAGUUCGAGCCCCGCGUCGGGCUCUGGGCUGAUGGCUCAGAGCCUGGAGCCUGUUUCCGAUUCUGUGUCUCCCUCUCUCUCUGCCCCUCUCCCGUUCAUGCUCUGUCUCUCUCUGUCCCAAAAAUAAAUAAACGUUGAAAAAAAAAUUAAAAAAAUAAAAAAAUAAAAAAAAAUAAAAAGAGUCAGUCCUGACACACACUGUUGAGCUACCCAGGCAGUAGAUUUGGACUUUCCAGAAUUUACUGGGUUUUGGAACUUUCUGUGACCAGGAACUGUGGUGUCUCUUAAGCCCUCCAUGUUUGGAAAGCCCAAAUGUGAGAGUCGUGUCUGUAAUUUUAUUUAAAGGUUUUUUUUUUCCAAUUUGUCAUCAACUUAUAAUGAGCUUCCUCGUCGAUGUGCUUAUGUUGUUCAAUCUGGGAAGAGCAGCAUGUAGGUUCUGGAGACAGUGACGUCAGUCUGCAUGAUUGGAUGACCAUGAAAAGUAGAUCGUUUCCCAGGCGCUGACGGGUGCACAGUGCCGAAUAGGCAGGUCUUUUCAUCUUUUUUAUGUAACAGUUUUAGAUACCCAGCGAGGUACUUCGCUAACUGUCGUCUCUAAGGUGUGAUUUAAAGCUAAUUUGGUUUCACUCAUCUUGUAUUUACUUCGGGGGAUCUAAGUAAACAAUUUAAAUGAAUCCCAUCUAGAAAGCGUUCCUUCAAAGUAACGCAAUUAAUAUUUUAACGCACGUAGCAAAAGACACACAGACAUGCAAAUGAAUGUUGCCUCCUUAAGUACCGAGUCAGCUAGGAAGAAGUUAAGCCGCUGCUUAACUGCAGCCAUGUCAUGUCUUUGCCAGGGACACGCUUAGAACUUGCCGUUUGCUGGUGCCUUGAGAGCCUUCCAUCCUUUUUUAUUGCCCACUGUGGUAGAAAUUCUCUGUCCUUUGAGGACAGGAAGGAGACAGUAAUCAGGUCUGAUGAACAGACUUAUGAUCACGUAACUGACUGGUGUCGUUGGUUCAUGUAAACGUUUACGGAGGCACCUACUACAUUCCAGCCAUGAGGACUGCAGUUUCAGAAAUGGACGUGCCACGGACCUGGCCCUCCAGGAAGACACAGCUCAGUGGGGUAAAUGAUGUCUGAGGAGGUAACGCUACAUACCGACAAGGACUGUGACAGAGGCACACGUGGUGUUGCGAGGGCCCAGAGAUGGGGUUAAAACCAAACUUGUUGGAAAAACGAGAGUUGUACACGUGAUUUAUAAAGGGCAUUACAUAAUAGCAUUUGGGAAAUGAAAGCCCUGGGAGCUGGGGGGAGGGGGGACCUUUUCUAUUUUAAGGAUGAGGAGCUUGGAAUUCAUUUCUGCAGUAAAUUCUCAGCCGUUUGAAAGCCUUUUGAGAAAAGGUGUUUCGUUCUGUAAUAAACAUCCUUCUUUUUCACCAGAAGAAAUCGUGGCUGUAUAAAAGGGGGGAGGUCUAAAAUUUUUUUUGGACUUUGUGAGAAUACUUCUGUCAUUCUCCAAAGGAGACUGUUUUGAAGAAUGGUUUUUAUUUACAUAUUAAAAUCAGGUACUUCUGAAAUACUCAAGAUACCAAAGCAUGACGUGCCAUGGUUAUUGCUGAGAUUAGCUGUGUAGCUUGUGGGAGACAUGAAACUUACGGCAUCUCUAAGUAUAACUUGGAAAAGAAAAGGCUUCUUCAUGUCCUCUCUCAUGUUUCCUGCCCUAGAGACAGAAUUUCUGUCCUGUAGCCAAUAGUAGAUCUUCCUGUGGAUAAGUUCAUUUAACAGUUACUUGUGGCGUGUCCCUCAAUGCCAGGUACAGUUCUAGGAGCUGAUCAGAAGCUGAGCUGAUUAGCUAUAGACCCUGGAUGCUGGUGCUACUCAGAAGGACUCUGUAGGGUUGCCACCGUUUCCUGGGUGUUUUUUCUGAGCAUGGCAGUGUGGGCGUGGCCACGAUGCUAUCCUUGUAGAACUUGGAGUAAGAUUCCGUGCACAGGUGACAGGAUGAAUGUAUUAACAUAGAGAGCUAACUAAACAUACCACGUGUCUGCAGAAAAGAAAGCUUGUCUGUGACCAGGAUGAUCACGAAAUCAUUUAUGGAUUAAGGAGCAUUUGAGCUGGACAUUGAAAGAAGACUCAGGGAGCAUGUUCCAGUCCAGGGAAAGCCAGGCAAAGGCCUAGAGCGGGAUGGGAAAUUCCAGUGUACCGAGCAGGCAGUAACUGAUUCGUUGUUGCUGGGCAACCAUGUGUGCAAAAGUGACUAAUGAGAGGAUAAGGCCGCCAAGGUCCCUUGAGGCCAGAUCCGGGUGGACCAUGUAUGUCCAACAACUAAAUGCUUUAAACUUGAUCCUGAGCCAUCGGGGAGCAGUGGAAGUGUCCCGGUCAGGAGAGUGACAGUGGGAUCUCUCCUGCAGGAAGCCUUGUCUGAUGUCAGUGUGGGGGGUGGUUGGCCAGGGAGAGAAUCCAAGCGGAAGGCAUGUGAGCUGCUGAGACACAGUCCAGGACAGAGGGGAAGAGGGUCCGGGUGAGGGGGGACGACUGGAAUGGAGAAAACUAGACAGGUUAAAGAGGUGGGCUUUAGGAACUGCCUGGAUAACAGAGAUUAGCUGGUGGGGAGGUGGGAGCAAAAAUAACUCCAGAUUUUAGAACCAGGCUCUGUUUAUUACUUCUCGGCCACUCGCCAGGCAUUUCACAUAGAUCAGUUCAUUCAGGUGUAUCCUAAUUCUAUAAGGUUGGUAUUUUUGUCCGUAUUUCAGAGAUGUAGAAAACCAAGGCUCAGAGAAAGAUUUGUCUAAAGUUGUCCAGAAGCUAAUAGGAUAUUGAACAGGGCGUUGCAGGUGUUCCUGAUUUCCAUGCCUGUGUUCUCUCUACUGGGUUUGGAAGAGAGCAGGCGUGAGAGAAAAGGUGAUCUCUCGUUGUUUUGCACAUAUUCAGUGUAGAUGCUGGUGAGAUGUCCGUCAGGUGACUGGAGACACAGAACCAAAUCUCUAGGACAAAGUCAGGAGGACCAGAGCUUAAGAGCCAACUGUAUGUUUAUUUAGCAAAUACUUGUUGAGUGUCCUUUGGACCAGUGCUGCAUGGCAGGAGUACACUGGAAAGCAAACAGGCCAUAGUCUUGAUUCACAGACCCGCAGGCCAGGGAGUGAGACGCCACCCUGUGGGUUGAGUAUAAUGCAGGGGGAAGUGCAGAUUUGCCACGGGAAGAGCCACUGAGGGGAAGCGAACCACGUCUGGAGACACAGAAGGCCUCGGAAGAGGUUGUAGCACUUAACAUGACUCUCGAUGAUGAGUGCCAAGAUAAAGUGGAAAAAGGCCUAUUUGAGGCAGGGGACCUAGAAUGUACUACACCCAGAGGCAAGAGAGAAACACAGUACGUCUGAGGAACUGGACAUGGUAUGCGUGGAACGAGAGAGGAGUAAACCAGAUAAGUUAGAGAGGUGGGCGGCAGCUAGGUUAGGAAAUGCCCCAGAAGAACAAAGGUCAGCAUGCAAGUUUCUGAAGGCAGCCGUGUUGUUGCUGGUACCUGCGGGCGGGGGGGGGGGGGGGGGGGGGGGUGUCAGAUUUGGGGCUUAGAAUUGUUAGGUUUGGUUAUCCUGAGUAACCAGUGGCCUAAAUAAUUGGUGAAUACAGUAAUGGAGAGCUCAAGGACACGAGGUUGCGGCCGAGAGUGGGAUGUCCAGAUUUAUUAUUGCUCAAGUGCAGCCGUUGGAGGGAUGAUGAGAGAAGAAGGUCAUGAGAGCGGGUGGGUGAAGCGGAGGGCAGAGGCCGGCUGUGGGAGGUGAGGGGGUUGAGGAACUAAGAGACUCCGUCCUGUGCUGGAUGUGGGGUUCACGGAGGUUGUCGGCCCGACUUGGAGCAGAGAAGGUCAGCGUGAAGGUCGGCUGAGGAGGCGUGGAGGCCGGGCACUGAGGUGGGCCCUGAAAACGUGAUUUCCGCAGAUCGUGUGACGGCGUUAGUGAACGAAGACAAGCAAGGGCACAAAGACAGAGUGAGUAGGACCUGGGGCCAGGGGUGGGAGGAGAUCAGGAAGGCGUUUUCAAAGAGGAAAACAGGGAAGUUCAGAGUCCCGAAGGCCAGAGGAGGUCCGUGCCAAAGAAGGAGGCGUUGAGCAGCAGCCACUAACUCAGGGCUCAGGAGGAAAGGACUGGCGAGGGACCCUCCGGCCGGCGAGCGCAGAGCGUUCGUUGACUUAAGGAGUGUAAGGGAAUCCCCAAGUACAGGCAGCGAGUAUAACCCCCACUUGCAACACAUUUUUGGUUGGAAGAAAAGAAGAAGAGGCCUAUGGUAGCUUGAGAAGUAAAUCUACUGUAGCAACGAGUCUUGUUACUUUGUUAUUUCUUUGACAGUCUUCUAGGACUCUCCACUGUGUGUCCUGUUGCUGGUCAAACUGUUUACCCUUUCCAUGCUUCGUUUGUCAAACGAGUACCUGCCUCAUGGGGCUGUCUGUCAUAAGGAGUAAAUAAAUGGGUUGUAAAGCGCUGCCUUGGACACAGUAAGUGAUACACAAAUGAAGGUGACAGAAAGCAAAGAAGGAAGCAGAUACAUACGUUACAAUAAUCGAUCAUAUGUAUUAUAUGUAACAUGUAACAUGCACACAUGCACCCUCGCAUUUUAGGCACUUAUCCCUGAGUAUUCACGAUAAUUCUGUAAUGUGAGUGAAACAGAGGCCCUGAGAGUUGCAGGGAACUUAUUCCAGGGCGUGCUGCUGACGAGCGGUCAUCCCGGGAGACAGGGCCCCGUCUCCCGACUCAGAGUCGGUGGCCCUCGCACUGAGCCAGGCUGCGUCCUUGGGCUGUUGCAGGAAGAGUGCUGGACCUGCAGCUUCACAGAAGCAGCUCUUCUGUAUGUGGUGUGCACUGUGCUCUCCACACAGCCCCCGCCCCGUUGGUGUCACCCCUCUGUGCUGCGUACUCGGCUGGUACCGGUGCUGAGUUUGCAACCUUUGUUCCAAAGGCUUGGUCCCCGGUGACUGGAGUGCCUUCCUUCUCCUGACUGAUCCUGCCGUGCAGAUGCCAUCAUCUUCUGCAUCUCCUUUGUAGGGUUUCUUCAGACUUAGAAUUCACCUCUAAAGAAGGGGGUGCCUCGUCAGAAUUUCUUGCCUCUAAUCUCAUCUCAGAGUGAAAUUGCUGUGCGUUCUAGAGAAUUUUCCCACUGGAAGGAACCGUCUGAACAUAUCUCUUUUGCAAGGAUGGUGUGAUGGUCAAUCUUAUGUGUCAGCUUUAGCUAGGUCACGGUACCCAGCUAUCUGGUGAAACCCCAGUGUGCGUGUCACAGUGCAGAUAGACAUCAUUUAGUUUUAGAUGAGGUUGAACAUUGAAGGCAGUAGACUCUGAGUAAAGCAAAUGAUCCUGUAUAAUUACCCUCAUCCAGUUGUGACAGCCUUAGAGAAAAAGAUUGGUCCCCCUGCCCCCACCACCACCAAGGAAGAGGGAAUUCUGUCUCCAGACAGCCCUCCAGCUUGGACUGCAACACAGCUCUUCUCUGGGUCACCAUCCUGAGUGUGGGUUUGCCAACCCCCAUAAUCGCCUGAGCCAGUUCCUUAAAAUAAAUCUCUCCGUCAUUCUCCAUCUCUCUCUCCACCAUACGUGCACACUGAGACAGACAGACACACACACACACACACACACGUGCACACAUCCUAUUUGUUUCUCUGGAGAACCUUUAUUAUAGAUAGGAAAAUACAGAAAUUGAAAUUGCUCAGCUGCUGUUGAUAGUAGCAAAAAGCUGCAUCAGCUCUCUCGGCAUUCUUGGUGUACAUGUGUGUGCAUGUGUAUAUACAUACAUAUGUAUACAUACAUGUACUUAUAUAUAUAUACACACACUUUUAUUUAUGUAUAAUUUGUUUUAUAGAUGGGAAAGUGAAUUGUAGAAAGGAUGUGGGGUACUCAGUGUGAUGCAUAAACUUGAUGGGAGAGUUAAAGAAAGAACUUGAUUUCCUCUGGUGUGGUUCAGUUGUUGUCUUGCUAUUUGGCUCUCAUGUUUUUGUUAGCAAGAUAAUAAAGUUCCUGGGUUUGCCAUACAUAAUUAUUGCUAACAUUUAUGGAAUAUUUUCUAUAUGUUGGGUACUAAUCUAAUUGCUUUAUAGCUGUUUAUGAUUUUUAUCCAUACAACUACCCAGUGAGAUAGGAUCUAAUAUUAUCCUCAUAUUACAGAUUUUUUUAAUGUUUAUUUAUUUUUGAGAGAGAGAGAGAGGCAGAGUGCAAGUGGGGGAGGGACAGUGAGAGAGGGAGACACAGAAUCCGAAGCAGGCUCCAGGCUCCGAGCUGUCAGCACAGAGCCCGAUAUAGGGCUCGAACUCAAGGACUGCUAGAUCAUGACCUGAGUCAAAGUCAGACACUUAACCGACUGAGCCACCCAGGCGCCCCCCUCAUAUUACAGAUUUGAAACACUGAGUCCCAGUGAGCAACAUGGUCACUGCUGUGGAGAACUGAGUGAUGGAGAGUGCUUAGGGCCCCGGCAGCCUGGCUCCAGAGGUUAUGUUCCUAACCAUUCCUUCUGCCCUACUGCUUCUCAGCAUAAGACGUCUUGAGCAGAGCUCUUCAUCUGUCCUUGUGGAGUCAUCAUCCAGAACAGUCUUUAUGGUAGCGGUACUUUCCGUAGGGUUUGUUUUAAAAGAGAAAAUGCUUGGGGUGCCUGGGUGGCUCAGUCUGUUAAGCGUCCGACUUCGGCUCAGGUCGUGAUCUCGCGGUUCGUGAAUUCAAGCCCCACGUUGGGCUCUGUGCUGACAGCUCGGCACCUGGAGCCUGCUUCGCAUUCUAUGUCUCCCUCUCUCUCUCUGCCCCUCCCCUGCUCAUGCUCAUGCUCUGUCUUCGUCUCUGUCUCUGUCAAAGAUAAAUAACAUUAAAAAGAUAAAAAAUAAUAAAAGAGAAAAUACUUAUAAGUUAUAUCAGUUAUAAGAGGCCAUCUAAUACCUGCAUGCUACCUCCUUGAGAAACAGAGAACAUACCCAUUGCAACAAUGGUAUGGGCCUCUUGCUGGGGUAAACUUUUAGCAACUAGACUUUCCUGUCUAGCUUGGUAACCAUCUAAUUUGUAAAAAUCAUACAGAAAUGUGAUAAAGUGGUGAUGUGGUUUAGUUUCUUGUCCAGCAAUUUGGUGAGUGUCCCGGGGAAGGAGAUGGCAUGCUUCUGUGUAUAUGUCCCUUGGUUCUCUGCAGCAAUAACCAUCAAAACUGCCAUUUACUGGGCCUUGUGUGCACCAGGAACUGCUACAAGUGCUUUACAAACAUGCCUCAUGGAGUCUUCUCAACAUUAUCCUUCCAUUUUACAUUUAAAUAAGGCAGUGACGAGGGAGUUCAAGAACGUUUCUGCGGUAAGUGGCACAGCAGGACUUAAACUUCAUCUUAAUGACACCAGCCAGUGCUCUCAGUCUCUCUGCUGUAUAUCCCUGAGACCCACUACUCUUCCCUGCUAGACUGUAAGCUCCGUGAGGACAGGAACUUUUUGUUUCACUGGGUUCACCAGCAUAUUUGAGCAUCUACCAAGUGCACUGCCUGACACAUAGUAGGUACUUAGCGCCCGAUGUUGAGCAACGAACUCACUGUGUUCUCUGUGAUCGCCACCAGCCAGCUAUGGGCCAGGUAGAGAGCACCGACCUGGGAAGGGUACUGUGGACUCCUGCAGAUUCAGCCCUCAGGUACCUGUUGGAGGAUAUUUUCUCUGUGUCUCAAGAUGAGCAUAUCAGCCUGACCUUCAGGUAGAUACUGCAUAGCUCUGUCAAUAGUCUCCUUCGCCAGAGAAAUCUAAAUGAUGUUAUGUACGUCCCUGUCAUUAGAAUUCAGGACUGAUAUUUUAUAGCUUGUACUCUACACUGAUCUGGACAACAUCUGAAUAAUAUUGGUGCUUUUUAAGGAAACAUCAAAUUAUAAAUUACAUAUAAAUAGUUUUAAUUUCUAAUGAAUUUUUUUCUUUUUUUUUUUAGAGAGAGAGUGAGAAAGUGAGCAGGGGAGGGGCAGAGAGAGGGGGACAGAGGAUCCAAAGCAGGUUCUGUAUUGACAGCAGCAAGCCCAGUGUGGGCUCAAACUCAUGAACUGUGAGAUCAUGACCUGAGCCAAAGUUGGAUGCUCAAACCGACUGAGCUACCCAGGUGCCCCAUCAAAUUACAUGUUCUUAAGACAUUCCCAAAGGUCUCUGUUUCUUCCAUUUUUCCAGAUCUCUCCCUCUCUCUUGUGUCUUUCUUUCUUCACACAUGCACUCGCACACACACACCCGCACUCAAACAUGCACUCACACACACACUCACACACUACUCAUACAUGUACACGCAUGUACAUGUGCUCACACACACAUGCAUUCACACUCAUACCCCUUAGUUUCUCACUAAUUAACGAAUCUUCUUUGUAAAUACUUUGUAACCACUUUAUAAACCAAAACUGCAUUACUUGUAUUUGUAUUUUGUCCCAUUUUUUUUCCUUAAAGUUUAGUUUCUUUGCUUCGCAUAACUGGACACUAAGUAUUGCAAUCUGCACCAUUAUAUAAGCUUGUUUUUCCUCUUGGAAGUAGUAAAUUAUGAUGAGUUUGAUAAAAAAUAGAAAUCAGAAUAAGCAGCAUUCAGUACUUAGCCUUCUAGUCUAGCCUAUAUUUGUGCAGGUGUAUGAUUAUUUAUGCAGACCUAUAGUAAAUAGUGUGAAUUUUCUUUGCAAAACAAAUGGUACGGUCCAGAAGAACCACCUCUGGGCUUGUAUGUUUUGUAAACUACGUGGGUCUGUAUACACACUUGACUUGUGAGCCACGGCUUACACCUUUUAUAAUUUUUUUCACCUUAAAAAAACCCUGCAUGGCAAGAAACUCCAUUAUUAUUAUUAGUAUAAAAAGCCUUAUAAUUUAUAGCCAAAUCAAGCCCAGGAAAGAAUGCAGAUUCACUCAGUAAAAACUCGUUAACAGCCUGCUCUGUACCAGAAUGCACUUCCUUGUAGCUUUGGAAAGCCUCAUAGUAGGGCGGUUUCUGUUUGAGAAUGAACAGUCACAAGAGCAAGGCAGAUAUAGACAAGAAUGUAAUUUUCCAAAAUUUAAAUGAGGGGUGGUAGAGUAUACAUCCAAACAAAAUACAGGGGCAGGCACCUGGGUUCUCAUCUGACUUCAGUUUAGGUCAUGAUCUCAUGGUUCGUGAAUUCAAGUCCCACAUCAGGUGAACAUGAAUCCUGCUUUGGGUGAGCCCUCCUUCUCUCUCUCUUUCUCUCUCUGUCUCUCUCCCCCCACCCCCACCCUCCUCUCACUCUCUCUCUCUCUGCCCCUCGUGGGAUUCUCUCUCUCUCCCUUUCUCUCUCCCUCUCUCUACCCCUUGCUCACUUGCGCCCUCUCUCUCUCAAAACAAAACAAAAUACAGUCCUAUUAGAGUUACAAAAGUAAUAGAUAAAUUUGAAAAAAAUGUACCUUUGCAGUCUUCUCAAACUUAAAUUUUUUCUGGCAUUCCUCUUUUUGAAUCUGUAUGCUGAAUUGUUUAUUCUUUUUUUUAGUAGGAAGGAAGAAAACGUUCUCUUUAGGAAUUCAUUAGAAAUUAAAAUUAAUUUCAGCAUUUAGUAUUCUUUAGACUCUGGUGGAGGCUGAUUUGAAAGGGUGUGUUUAGUUGGAUCGGCCAUGGAGAAAGAGAACAAGCAGUUGUCCUGGCCAGUACAUCUUUGCUAUGAUGGGGAAAUGGCGUCGCUUUAACGUUCAUUUAUUUUUGAGAGAGACAGAGACAGAGUGCCAGCUGGGGAGGGGCAGAGAGAGAGGGAGACACAGAAUCUGAAGCAGGCUGUGGGCUCUGAGCUGCCAGUACAGGGCCCGAUGUGGGAUUUGAACUCAUGAACCUUGAGAUCAUGACCUGAGUUGAAGUCGGACGCUUAACUGACUGAGCCACCCAGGCGCUCCGAGAAAUGGCGUUGCUUUAAUUGCAACUCUUUCAUUGCCUUCCUUGCCAAGCCCAGUGGCUCCUGUUAUAACAUGUGGUGACUUUUCCCUUGGAGACUAACUCGCUCCAAGUUACCGUAAUAUUUAGGACCAGCUACAAAGACAUUUCUUCCCCUAAACCCAUGCCAAAUCUAAAUCAAACUAUCGUCUCCUCCCUGGCCACUCAAAUAGACCCGGCUCAUAUUUGAAAAGGACAAGAAAUGCACAGGCCUCUCAUGCCUGUUUGAACAGAUAGAUAAACAAGGCACAUCAUGCCUAGUGUUGCUUUGAGCUUGGUCAUUUCCUUCUAAAAUAGACUCUGAUACUAUGUUCACUUAAGACUUGGAACUUAGAUGUUCUAGAAAGAAGCAUAUUUUAAGUCUAGCUACAGCAAAUUUAGUCUGCUGUCAGUGCUGAUGCAGGAAAGAGGAGUAAAUCUAAAAUCAUGGGCCUUCAAUAGGUGUGGCUCUGAGCUUCUCCUACACAAACCUCAGUCUCGAGUGCGGGCGGGUCAGCUAGACGUCCCCAUCCUUAGUGGCCGCAGGUUGUCUGCUCACCACAGGUAACGCUAAACAAAUAAUGCUAAUCCAUUUUGUUUUGAAGAAGGCAAGACUGGGUGGCUCAGUCGGUUGAGCGUCUGGCUUCAGCUCAGGUCAUGAUCUCACUGUUUGUGGGUGCGAGCCCCACAUCGGGCUCUGUCCUGACAGCUCAGAGCCUGGAGCCUGCUUCGAACUUUGUGUCUCCCUUUCUCUCUACUCCUCCCCUGCUCAUGCUCUGUUUCUCUCUCUCCUUCAAAAAUAAAUAAAAACAUUGAAAAGAAGAAAAAGAAAAAAAAUUUUUUUAAAAAAGAAGGCAAGUCUAGCAAAAUAGGAAAAAUAUUCCUGAUAAAUAAAUUUGUUCUGACCUGUAAACCUGGUGUAUUUCAGUCAUCCUUGAUCAAGUAGUUCUGUUCCAUAACCAGCAUUAUUAGCAUACAUUAAUUUCUUCCUAGUUUUAGCAAGAUUGACUUCCUGUGCUGCUUAGCUUAUCGUUUUGAAAUGUAACUUUCAACACAAUUCAGGUUUAUAGGUUGUAUUUCUUUUUAAUUGAUUGAUUAUUUUACAUAUACAAAAGAUUAUGUGUAACAUCUAUAAGCGAGCGCUAAAAAUAAUUUCAAAAAAAAUGUGCUCCAGUGAACCACCACCCAAUUUAAGAAUUUAGAACAUGACAGUUUUGGAUCUCUACUUCAUUCUGUCCAUUCUCUGCCUUCCUCACAAUUCUGAAAUUUGUAUUUAGAAUUCUCUUGAGUGUUUUUAACAAAUAUAUAUUUCAUCAGAUAAAUGUACAUUGCUGCAGGUGUUUUGAGAUGGGUAGACGGGUACGCAGUUUUUUGCAGCUUAUGAAAAUUUUCCUCCAUAUUAUGUUUAUAAAAUUCAUUCGUGUUGUCGGGGGCGUGGAGUAGCUGUUCCCUCAUAUACAUUGCUGCAGCAUUCCAGUGUGUGUGCAUAUAUCCUGAUUCACCCGUUGUCUUGUUUACGGGGGGGAGGAGAACAAAACAAGGAGUCUCGUUUUGGACAUGUUGACUUUGAGACGUCUGUUAAAUCCUCAGGGAGACGCCGGGUUGACGGUGGAUAUUGAGGUCUAUAAUUCAGGAGAGAGAUCUGAGCCAGAGAUACCAGCACGUGGACGGCAUGGAAAUCGUUACUUCCCCAGCUGUUCCUAGAGUCUCCAUUGAGAUACUUACUUAAGAGACUUUUUUUUUUUCUUAAAACUUCUUUUCGGUUUUGUUUUUUCCAAUCUGCCUGGUGUCUUUGCCGAAGUGUGACUUGUGAGAGAAUAAAUGAGAAUAUGAGCUUCAGAGAAAAUAGGGAAAGUGUUCUGCAAACUCUGAAGGGUCGUGUAAAGGUUAGGUGGUGUUAUUAUUACCUGUCUCACAGAGUCGCGUGAGGUACAAAUGAAACUGUAUAUAUAAAAUGGCUUUGUAAUAUGGAAAAAUACAUAAUUAUACUUGAUUUUUAUGCCUUGUUAACUUUUGGCUAUGAGCUAAUACUCGCCUCCCCGAGUGCAGACAAUAACUCAGCGAAUCUUCACAACCAUGUGUGACCAAUAGAUACUAUUUCUUCCUAUUUUACAGAUGCGCAAACUAAAGCUCAUAAAUGGUGGACCCAGGAUUCAAAUCCGUAGAAUUGGCUCCUAAAAGCUGUGCUCUUGGCUGCUAUGUGGGACUGCCCCCCUUUUAAAUAAGUUUCAUCCAGUUUCUUCAGCUUCAAGAUGUAAAAAAUUUUAGGGACGUAUUUCAGGGUGGCCACUUAGAACCCGGCUAAAACAUGGCGCUCCAGGCAGGGGCUCCUGGCAAAGGGCUUUGUCUGUACUGAGUUUCACCAUUGAACCUGGCCUCAGACCUCACAGAGCACUGCCCACCUACCAAGUGUCCAUUCUGUGCCUGUUGAAUGUGAUGUCUACUUGAUUUAAGCGAAUUUGCCUGCAGCCACCCAGUGAGUCAGUAGUGGGCCAGGGACUAGAAUCUGGGUCUCCUGCCUUUCAAGCAUCACAUUUGUUUGGUAUUAAUAAACCAUAUUUCUCCAGGGGAUCUGGCAGAAAUUUGAAAGUGCUUAAUUUUACUGCAAUAAAUACUAAGAAUCCUUUUUAAAGCAAGGAAGCCAAGCCCCAACCAGGGAAAACCCGAUUUGCUCUGAGGGCCUUUGACAAACCCACACUGGCACUAGGGUUAGAUCAUAGAUUAUUGGCUUCGAUUCCAUCUCCCUCCAGGGCUUUCUGCAGGGGUUAAGACCUCUGUUAUGGCCACAGGCCGCAGCUGGACCAGGAAAUACUCUUGCACAUGAAGCUGGAAUGCACAGUGUUCUAUCCACAGAGUCAGCAGGUCACGGCCGAUUGCCAGCAGGAGGGCGUGAUGGCAAAGGUUACAUUCCUGGCACACUGCUGAUGCAGGUCGGGACCCAGGUGAAUUAGCCCGGCUGUCAGAAGGGAGACCUCUCUGCCUUUCCCACUGUGAUGGGUGCUGUGCUGUUAGCUUCCUGUGUUUGUGAGUGCAUGGUAUUUUCUGAAGCCACAUCCGGCAAGGAAAAGGUGUGGGCAUCCAGGAGGAGGGAGAGGAGCAUCUGAGUUACAAACGACUUGAGUGCAGAGAGUGAAGGGGGUGAUUUAUUUUGUCAUCAGAAGACUGCUAGACAUGCGGUGGACCCUCAGCUAACAGUUGAUUUUGAUAAAUCGAUUGAGAAGCAACUGAGAGAAAGGUUUCGGCAAGAUGAAAGCUGGAUUUCCAAGGUUGGUCUGACUGCGUUCAGACGGGAGCUGGGUUUGAAUGUAUUUUUCACAAGGGAGAUUACCACGGGAGACCCACAGUAUUGGGGUACAAAAGGCACGCGUUCUUUCUUUUAAUUCUCACGAUUCCCAGGGCAGGUGACAGAAGGUUACGUCUGUCUCUGUCUCAACAGAAGGGCUUCAGGCAGUUGUGGCAAAAGCGGACCAGAUGAGGGCUGUUCUCAGCUCAGCGGGUUGUGUUUUCUGCCACUAACCGUUCCUGGACAAGAUACUUCAAACCAUACUGGUCUGUUUGGACUUUUCCUUUCCCUGAAGAAAAAGUCAGCGUUCACAUUUUCUCUGUGGUGCACGUGAUUUUGCCGCCACUUCCUGCCGCCCAUGUCACCUGCAGAGACUGAGCAGUGAGGCCCACAAGGAGGCGUGCGCAGCCUCAGAUCUGGGGCUUUGUGAGCCUGGCGAGUCCUUACCUGUCCUGCGUGGAUCACACUGCCCACUUGGGGUAUGUUGUGUGAAGGGGAACACUGCGGGGCUCCCUCUCGGAGCCAGGCGCCUGAUCAGGGUUCACAAGGAUCCCCUUGGAGACAUAAUCGCCUUCCUAGCCGUUGAGUCUGAGGUUGUCCUGACCCCAGUGACCCUGCUUAUUGUUGGCAUAUGGUUUGCUCAUUGACCGGGGUCUUAUGUGAGUAGUAAAAAUGGAAAGGAUUUUUUUUUUAAUCUCUAUAUUUUUUAAGUAGCAGUAUUGAAUUUUUUUUAAUGUUUAUUUGGAGAGAGAGAAAGAGAUAUGGAGAGAGUAGGAAAGAGAGAGAGAGGGAGGGGGAGAGAGAGAAUCUCAAGUCGGCUCCACGCUGUCAGUGCAGAGCCCAACGCUCGAUCCCACGAACCGUGAGGUCAUGACCUGAGUCGAAACCAAGAGUUGGACGCUCAACCGACUGAACCACCCGUGUGCCCCGGGAAGGGUUUCUGGAGAACUAGUUCUUCCUGCACAUAAAUUGAUCCAAAGUUAAAAGUGGGGCUUUGUGUUUCCAAUAUACGUUGAAUGAAUAAAAAGGGAAGAAACUCUCGACCUUUAUCACAAUUUUAAACCAUCCACUUAGAGAAACGGCUCUGUAUUUACAAACAGGUAACUUGAAAGGUCAGUAAGCAGAGCAACCUGCUUUAAGUGGCUGUUGUAUAGACACAACGUAAAAGAUGUAGGAGCAAAUUAUUCCUCACUUCCGUGCUUCUGUGUCAUAAAUAAUCAUUUUAAUUUAAUGCUAAAAGAUCCCUUGGGGUUAUGAGAUUUUAUGAGGUAAUAGUUACAGAGACUUUUAAAAUCAAUGAGUGUAAAAUCUGAUGAAACUGUGAAAGUCUUCCUUCUGUUUACUGAAGCUGGAACUAGCAUGGCUCCUGUUGAGACACGUCUUCCCUUCCUUUCCACUUCUCUCUUCUUCCCUCCUCCCCUCCCCCUUCCUUUCCCUUCCUUUCCCUUCCUUUCCCUUCCUUUCCCUUCCCUUCCCUUUCCCUUUCUCUUUCCCUUUCCCUUUCCCUUUCCCUUCCCCUUCCCCUUCCCCUUCCCCUUCCCCUUCCCCGUUGCAUCCAGCCACAGUGUUGAUCCAAAGAUAACACAGACAUUACUGCUGCCUUCGUGGGAUUCACAAGCUAGUGGAAGAAGCAGGUGGCAUACAAGCAUGCAAAGGCAGCUGCAGGUUAUGAUGUGCCAUGAAGGACAAGACCAUUACGGACAAAUCUAGAGAACACCGGCAUGUUACUCAUUGUGAACAUACUCAGAACCUCAGGGUAAUGACAGAACUGAUCUCUUGUUACCUAUUAGAGGGUAGAUUUGUAAGCAUAAAGACCUUGGUUUUAUAAAGUAUCUAGUAAAGAAACACUCUUGGAGAUUAGUAUUAUGAGUUUGUUUUCCUAUAGGUAAAGAAUACAUAGGUAGGUACACUGAUACACAGAUGUAAACGUACAUAGACAUUUAACAUCCAGAGUUUUUUUAAAUUUUUUUUAAACUUUUUUUUUUCAACGUUUAUUUAUUUUUUGGGGGACAGAGAGAGACAGAGCAUGAACGGGGGAGGGGCAGAGAGAGAGGGAGACACAGAAUCAGAAACAGGCUCCAGGCUCCAAGCCAUCAGCCCAGAGCCUGACGCGGGGCUCGAACUCACGGACCGCGAGAUCGUGACCUGGCUGAAGUCGGACGCUCAACCGACUGCGCCACCCAGGCGCCCCCAAAGUUUUUUCUAAUAAGCACAAGUGACAGUGUAUGGAAACUUAAUUUUUCAUGUGUGCAUUGUAGGAUCAGAUGAUGGCAUUGGUUGAGUUGUGAUAGACUGGAGGAGAAAGAUCUUUUAAAAUUUUUUUUUUUUUUUUUUUUACAAAUACAGUUAGAGCUCUACCAUUUUCAAAGAGGAAUUGGAAAAAAGAGCGGUCAUUUCUGUGGUGUUUACAAUGGCUGUCUGUUCUAAAGAAACAAUACAUACAAUACCAUCAAUGCCCUUAGACGGAAAACAGGGAUCAGGUCUGCUGUUCAUACAAGACUCAAUGGGCGAGAGAGCGUGGAUGGAUGUAAGGAAGGCACCAUCCCUGAGGGUGGCCACCCUGGGUGGCAGGUCGGCCGGCACAGGAAUACCUUCUAAACACGGGUACCUUUGCACGUGUGCUGGGGGCUGCUCGGCCCUGCGCAUUUCCGAUUUCCUGUUGGAAAGAGGGGUUUGGCCUCAGGUUCUUCCCAGUCGUCACUCAUCAUGCUUAAAGUAAGCAGAAAACAGUGCCUUCAGCUCAGGGAAUGGGUCCGCUGUCCAUUAAUUCUCAGGUCUGUCUUUGAGUCCCCUGGGGGACAAAUGUUGUGUCUUUUUCUUUGGCCUCCCGACUAAACGCAGCCAGGGUUUUUAAACCCACUAAUUUUCAAAGAUUUGCUAACAGAGUAGCAAUAGGAGUGGAAUACUCGACCUUUGAAAGCUGGUUCAUGUUUGUGGUUGAUGCUGUAUUUUUAAGUGAUUUAAAAACAAACACCUCAUUUUAAUAAUAGUUCACUUCACUGUCCUUCUCACCACCGUCAUUUCCAUGAGGUUCUAGGUCUUUUGUGAGCAAAUUAAACACGGUACUUUCUUUAUGGCAUGAAUUAAAUCUAGACCCCAAUGAUAUUUGGCACUUUCUAAAUACCCAGAUGGGCACAGCGUUUGCCUUGAAGUGAAGACGUGCGCAGGGUUUUAAUCAACAUCAUGUUUUAUUUUUUCCUCUUUUAAAUAUCGCCUUUUCAAUAGUUGCUCCUUAAUGAAUGACUGAUUGUUUACUGUGGUUUAUAACCAGAAAUUUGAACAUCAGAAAAUUCUAACCAAGAUCAGGAUGAAAAAAAAUUUCCCCUCUCAUUCUCUCAUCCCUUACAUUAGACAAAAAUAAAUUGUCUUCCUUAAGUUUGAGAAAUCCCUUCGUUGUCUUCUUGAAAGCUUAAGUGUAAUAAAUCAGAGGAAGUUUAAUUAUAGUUCUUAAACCAUAAAAAGUUCUUAUAAAAUAAAAACAGAGGUAGGGCUAGAAUAAGUUUCAUGAACUCUUGAGUGUAACCAGCACUUGAAAGAAAAUGUAGUUAAAAAUCUAUUUUUGCUGCAUCUUCUCCAUUAUUUUUCCAUUAUUUGAUCACUGUGAACAUAACUUGGGGGUUUUUUAACAGUAGAAACAAGACACGGAGUUUGUUACCUACUCAGGUAAGAUCAUCUGAGUCCAAAGACCAGAUUCCAGAACAGGGCUCAGACACCUGUCGAGGGUGAGGGUUGUUCAGGACAGCCUGAAGGCAGAAGGGCGGUAUUGUUGUAGGGGGUCUUAAAUGAGAGUUUGGGAUCAGAAUUGUACCCUCUUUUAUCUUUGAAAGUAAUAAGUGAAUCUUCGUAGCAGAUUAUUCUCUUGAAGCAGAUUGACUUGAUGACCACAUUGGAAGUGAAGUGCCCAUCUAAUUAAGAAAAGAAAUAGCUGAUUAAAAAAAAAAAAGGCCAGGUAGCUGAGAAAUGGUGUUUCUUCUGCUGAACUUCUUUUCCAAACGUGAACACAGAGUCAUGGAAGCAGGUGAUCCCAUUGCUAUCCGUGUGUUGUGCUUUGCCACACGUCACACACACGCACACACACACACACACGCACACCCUCACAGACAGCCUCUCAGCCCUUGGUUUUCCAGCUUCAUCUGUCCCAGAGGGCCCCAUGCACUGUGGGUUUAGGCUAGGGCUUGGGUUUGGUGACAGUCAGUGCUCCCAAGGCAGAGGACUGAACUUAGGGCAGACGUGACAACAGAAAACUUGUCUGCACUUUGCCUGGUAUGUCUGUAGUCAGCAUUGCAUUUAUAAUGGAAAUAAAUGAUCCGACACUCACCUAGAUAAAUAUAAUUUAUAAUUUUGAUGUAAGGUCGAAACAGGAAAGAUUAUGCUUUUCAAACUGCUCUGAGGACUAACCCACACCACUCAUUUUAAAUAGUGGUGAGCUGAACCUGGCAGCAUCUGAAACAGUGUUCACCAUUUGGUCAAACACCUGCAGUUGGGUACUAAUGUGCAUGUUUAAUUGCUUGAACUUAAGUGAUAAAAUCCCUAAAAGGGUGUUCUUACCCCAGAAAACAAGACAAGUCUAUUGCAAAGACUGUCUGCCCGCUCUUACAAGCUCCAUGCGUUUCAUAGGACUUAACACUCCAGUCCCUCUUAGAAGAGCCCUGUUUUGAAAUACAGGAAGUUUAGCUCUUGAGGGAAAAGCCCAGAUGGCUGAACCAUCAGCAGAAUCCCUGCAUACGCUCCCUUGAGAAGUGUCCUCUGUCCGAAACACGUUCAGUUCAGGAGCUGUAGUUCUGUGGGUUUCUUGAAGGUGCUGAUUAGCGUGGCCAGAAGUCUGUUUCAUCAGCCCGGAGACUGCCGUUAUUUUCACCUCCAGCCCCUCACCUCCGCUCGUGUUGACUCUCUGGGGCCAGAGGAGAUACCAGAAGGCGAUUAAAGCAGCCCUGCAACAGAGCAGGGCGCUCUUGGCUUGUGCCUUGUUAUCUGUCCCUCCAGCGGUUCCUCACUGUUGUGACGUCAAGGCCGCCAUUCAAGGCAGAGAAAAAGGAAACCGUGGCCUCUCUCCGCAUCAGUAGCCCGGACAAGCUGUCGUUUCUCAGGCAUGCAGAACGCUCUCUGUCUGGCAGAGCUGUGCAUUCCAUGCCUGGGUGACCUGGUUACAUGGAGGAAACCAAAUGCUCUCCACUGGAUGCUCUCCAAAACAAGCUUUCCACCCUGAGCUCCUGAAGCAAGGGCUUCGCGGCUCCUGAGGACUGCAGAUGGAACGGCAGCACGGCCGUGCGUCGUCUACUUGAUCUUGGGCUUCUGGUUUGUCUUAAAAGACAGAAUACCCUUAUCAGUGGCCUUCGCUAAUCUACUCUGCAGCAGCAUCCUGAUGCUACCCUUUGGACCAGUGCUAGAAAAUCCUGUUUGGAAAACCAGUCCUGUGUUACAUGUCUUCUGGAAUCAUGGUCAGAGGUCCAGAACCGUUGACCUGCCACCUCUUCCCUCCCAUCCCACUUCUGCUCACCCCCGUUCCCUGGUUCCAGACUGCUGGAUUCCAGAAAGGCUCUCGGAUAUACUCACAUAUUAAUUUUGACUCUGUAUCACUCAGUUUCUGUACCCUUUGCACGUAGGAGAAAGGAGCUCUGCUAUGAUGUGUCAGUCACCGGCUCUCGAUUUUUCUCAAUGAAGAGUAAGACUUUUGCUUUUCAGAGGGAAGGAGCUAUUUGAAAGUGUCACAGACCUGCUGUCUCUUUAGGAACAGGCCAAGAUCGCUACAGAGGAUAAUAAUUUUGCAAGGCGAGAAACUCACUGGUAGUGUUCUGAUUGCUGACACAAUUUACCAACUUAAGAAUCCGUCUUCUGAGGGCACACCUUCUUGGGUUUCUUUCUGGCAUGGGAGACCACAUUAUUUUAUUAGAUUUCUUGGAAGUGGACAUUAUAGUCACUAGAAAAAGCACAACAACCACAAUUUGUUUCCAGAGUCGUCCUGGUUAAGUCAAUAUGCAUUUGAGGUUUUAUAUUAUAAAUCCCAUUAAAUCAUUCUCAAAAUAGCCCUUUGGCGAACCUAUGAUUGAAGGAUAUUUGCAGGAACCCCAACCAUUUAGUUGUAUUUUUUCUCAUCAUGGUAAGUGUACUCUUUAAUCCCCACCCUGUUUCCCCCCACUCUACCACCCCCUUCUGGUAACCAUCAAUUUUUUCUCUAUAGUUAAGAGUCUGUUUUUUACCACCGCCCCCCUUUGCUUAUUUGUUUUGUUUCUUAAAUUCCACAUAUGAGUGAGAUCAUAUGGUACUUGUCUUUCUCUGAAAGAGUCUUAGCAUUAUACUCUCUAGCUCCAUCCAUGUGGUUCCAGGUGUUAAGAUUUCCUUCUUUUUUAUGGCUGAAUGAUAUUCCAUUGUAUAUAUAUAUAUAUAUAUAUAUACCACCUCUUCUUUUUCUUAGUGUUUGUUUAUUUUGAGAAAGAGAAAGAGCACAUAAGCAAGGGAGGGGCAGAGAGAGAGGGAGAGAGAGAAUCCCAAGCAGGCUCUGCACUCUGUCAGAACGGAGCUCGACACGAGGCUCAAACCCAUGAACCAUGAUACCAUGACUUGAGCUGACAUCAAGUUGGAUGCUUAACCAGCUGAGCCACCCAGGGGCCCCCAAAACCAUUUAGUUUUAUAUAUGAGCAUAUAUACAAGUUUUUUGUUGGGAAGGAUUUGGAUACAGUGGGGCCUUUUUAAAGUGAAUUCUUACAAGACAGAAUUCUUUCAGAUUAUAAACUCUUGUCUUCCGGGGGGAAAAAAAAGUAAAAAUCAUCAGGAAACUGGGUAAAGAUGGAAUGGAUGGGGGUGAGUCUUAUAACGUUGGGACUUAAACUAAGUUUACUGGACUGCAAUCUAGCUUCACAUAGACAGUCAGACUUGACAUAUGAUGCCACACCUGUGCCCCCAUAGAUGCAGUGAGGGGAGCGGGGCAGGAGCUGAUGAGCGUAGCUUCUUCAUGGGUGCCUUGGACUAGGGGAGCCUGAGAAUCUUGAAGUGAGAGGAAAACUAGGACGUUACUUUUCCUUUGUGGACCAGAGAAGUUCUCCCUUUUUUUGUUGACUGCCAUUUGCCCAUCAAUAAUCCCUUCAUUCUUCUUUUUCUAUCCCUGCCAUUUCAGAAGGUCCUUAUUAUCUGAAGAGAACUGGCACCAGAAAACUGCUUUAAGAGAGUCAACUUAAAACUGAAUCAGAUAUUUGAAACAAACAGUAAGAAAAAACUAUUUUAAGAGAUUGGUAUUAGGACUAAGCCUUGAAAAGUUAAAAAUAAGCGGAAUCUAAAUUUGUCUUAUAUUAUAGAAAAGAAACUUGGGAUACGAUGCGCCAAUAUGUUACUUCUUAGAACAAAACUGCACGGUGACUUCUGCCACAGAAUCGUAAAGACGGUGAUUUUGGUGUAAGCGUUCAAAGUUUCCCAAGGGCCUCUCUUAGCCUUUGGAUAUACAAACCAUGGUCUUGAAGAGGCUCCCUCUCAUGAAAUCACCUCUUGUUGACUUUGACUUCCUUCGUCGUCAACUAUUCAGCACAAGUGAACCACAUUGCAUUUGCGUUCUGUGAUACGUAGCAACCAAAGAGUGAGCCAGAAUAGAUGCUGAUGUUGAGGACUAAGCAUUAAGUGAUCACUUUAUUUGUCAGUGUUUUCAUGUUAUGAUGACAUUUGCUUCCUUGUGCAGCCUGGUCACCACAGAGACCCAGAAUGAUUACUGAAGUAAUCAUGGACCGUUCCAUAUUAUGUUACAUCUAAAGCGCUCAGUACGGCUUAGUGGGCUUGAUAAUCAAACACACGUACGUGUGUAUGCACUUCCCUGGCACUUAACGAGGUUCUAGAACCCUGGGUAAGUUAUUCACAGAACCUCAAUCAGGUUCUUGAUAUGUAAUGUAGAGUAAUAAAACCAGCCUUUCAGACUGGUCAUGGAAAUUCGAGCCCAUGGAUAUAAAACUCCUGGGUACUACAUAGCACAUGCAAGUCAAAAUGAGAAAUGUUCCCUGUUAGGGUUCGUGUUGCAUUUGUGUGGUGCCUUCCGGUUUAUGUAAGACUCUCACGUUUAAUUCAGACUGAAGAACUGAAAUUUUAGGAAAAUCACUAAAGAUUUUUAAGGUCUACAGUGACCUGAGGAAUCUAAAUUUUGGAAGACUAUAUUCGGCGACCCUGUACGUCAUGGAUUAGGCCACAUGAUUUGAUCACCAUUUCCUUCAUGCUGUAGGUGGGAACAGUGAGGCCCAAGGAAAUUACACAACUUUCUCAGGAUCACAUGGUUAGUAUCUGGCAGAGCUCUACCUAGAACCCCAUCUUCUUACUCCUUACUGUGUUUUCCCAUCACAUAGUUGCUCAUUGUCAAGAGAACCAAUUAAAAAGGCCACUGUACUUGUCCAGGAACAGAGGUCCACCAUGUUUAUUGGCAGUGGGAAAGGGAGGGGGAGGGAAAAGGCAGUGGUCAUUGAAAAUGGGUGCUUUUUUACCAGGCUCCGUGAAGAGGGGAGUCAGAGGCUGAGCUUGCAAACUUGGCUGGAUGGCCAUACAGUUAAUUAAAUUAAAAUAAGUAGAAUUUGUUGGUUUUGGUUUUGUUGCUUCCUAACAAGUUUAAAGGGACCGCCCCAUCCAGAUGGAAAUAGGUAGGAUUAAAAGUAGGAGAAAACGCCAGUGCUGAAGACAUAAAUUCGAGACCAAAAUGCUAAAGCAGGAGCAUUGAAACAGUUUUUGUCUCUAUAUGUGAAUAUAUGCACCUGGACUUUGUGACAUAUUCUCAGUUUGACACCAGCCCACAUUGUUGUAAUUUCCUGCCCAGUUAUAAUCACUAACUGUUGUACCUUCAUCAGAAAGAAUUGUCCCCAUAGAUUCUUCUGCAUUUGUGUGUUUGUUUUGUUGGAUGGCUCCUGCUGUGGCACCGAGAGACAGACUUUGCCGGGCCCUGUUUUAUAAACAAAUCUGUUCGUGCACACUUUUCUUCUAUCAUUGUGUGUGUACAACUGUCUCUGCUUUUCCCUCUAGACACACGGAAGCCCAGGAAGUUAGAAGCUUGUUUUCUUUUAGAACUAUGCAGGCAUCAAAGAAAAAUGUGUCCAUGCAUUAAACAUGUACACAUCUAUCCUGUGUAAGGUUUUGAAUCUUCACUAUUUUAACUCCAGGCAGUGACCUCUCCAAGCAUACAUUGCAGCCCACUACACACACAGUAGCCCUGAAAGACAUCCUUAAAGCUGCCACAAAAGUUUUGAUUAAGCUCAGUGAAUAAAGCUCUUUUUACUUUUAAAGUUCAUUCUGUGGACCAUAAAUGGGACUAGUCACCCAAGAUGAUGAAAGCAUAAUGCUGAAAGAUAAUUCGUCCCUUGCUUAGAUUGGAAAGUGAAUUUAUAAUAAUAUAUAUUCAUAUGGUCACUUCCUACCUGUAGGGUGUGUGUGUGUGUGUGUGUGUGUGUGUGUGUGUGUUUUAUUUAAUAUUCCAGCCAAGUUCAAGUUUUUAUGACAGGAAGUAUGUGAAUGGUUAUGAUAGGAGCAAAUAACACUUGAUUUUAUGAUUAUAUAGUGCAGGAAGUAACUUUUCAUGCCAAGUAAAUCUUUGGGGGAAAAAAAGUGCCGGCUUAUAAAUCUAACGUAUGUAAGUUUCCCAGAAUCUUUGCUCUAUUAAGUAGAAAUGACACCAGCAUGUGGUCUUAUUUCUUCCUUUUCCUAACUUUUCUUGUCGAUAAAUGUCUCUGUUUUAGGAAUGGGCAUUUUCAGGUAUUUUGGUGUGACCCAACAUGACCCAGAACCACUCAAAAAGUUCUAAGUGAAUAUAUAAUAGGGCCAGACUUGAUGGAAUAUAUAGCAUGAAAAGCUUGAAGGCACUGAAUAGGAAAGUUCUUUUUCCAUGAAGAGUAAAUGGCCAAGUCCUCACUCGCCAUCAAAGCGGAGGAGUCCCCUAAGUUCUCUUACUCGUGGGGCCAUCCAUGUUCAGUAAGCAAGUGGGAAAGACAGUUUGUUUAACAUCCAAGAGUCUGUAUAUGAGCAGGUUUAAGAGAAAAGAAAGAAUUGGGUAGAACUUCGGGUAUGUUCCUCACCGGCAGACCUUUAAUGGAGGCUUUUGUUUUUAAUAGUGAUGAUGAUGAUGAUGAUGAUGAUGAUGAUGAUGAUGGAAAGAAAAGAUGAUUUUUCCUCAUCUUUCUCUUUUCUUCUUAAAGCCUGAGGGACUUAUAGUGAGAAGAAAGUUUAUAACUGAUGCUUGUUCUUAGGACCGACCGGUAUUACACACACAUGCAUCACAUGAGUGAAUGGAUGCCAGUUAGUCAGAUAAGAAUACCCGAGAAGUGUCUCAUAAUUCCGCGUGCCUCCACAGCUCCUGUGGGCUGUGACACAGUGACACAGCACCACUGAGGGAGUGACUGGGUGGAGAUUCAAACUUUAACCCUGUAACCGUGAGCCUCCCUUAACUACACUGAUUGAAAACACAGUGUCUAAAUACCUUUUACCUCUAAAACUUAGUAUCACAGAUUUUGCAAAGAAGUAGUUUGCAAAUUUAUGAAAACAAAUGUAUUAGAGUUACCAGUACUUGGUUGUCCUUAAUUUCCUUUAAAUCCGGUAGAGAAAAUAUUUGCAUGUGGCCUGAUGAAAAAUCUGCCUCAAGGAAUAGUGCACAAGGCAGUUUCCCGAGUGCUAUUUUACUUCACGCGCACCCAGCCUGGUGUGACUGGUGGGCAUCCCCGUGGAAGGCUCCGGAGCAGAGUGGUCAAGGUCAGGCUCCCUGGUUUUGAAUCUUGAAUCCUGGCCCCACCACCCACUGAUGGUGUGACCCUGACCAGGUCUGUAGAGUCCCAGAGGCUCAGUUUCCUUGUGUGUAGGCCAGGGAUAGUGAUGGAAUUCAGGGUUGCGGUGGGAAUUCAGCGAGUAGGUAUGUGUACAGCUCGUGGUAGUGUAAGCCAGCCCUGUAUGUCGUUUUGCCUUUACCACUGAUGAUUAAACUGGGCGAAAGGGGUCGGGUGACCCGAACCAGAGCAAAGCAUAGCCAGAGGAAGAGCCGCAGCUCAAACACAGGCCUUCUGUGUGCCCUCCCCAUGCGAGGCCGCCCCCCCUCCCUUUCUGUAAAAGUGCUACUAAAGAUUGCACUCCUUUUCACUGCUUAAAAGAAAACUUGGAGUCAGGUUAAACGUAAAAACAUUUGUCACAGGGUUUUAUUUUGUUUGGGAGGAGCGGGGCAGGGGAUGGUGGGCCCAGAGAUCUGGAGGGUGAACACUGAUCUAUAAACUUGGACCUGAAUGAUGUCUGCAGCACACCAGAUGGCAGCAAGACCUGGGUAGUCUGUGUGGUUCAGUCACGUUCAAAAUACCCACCCUGAGAAGUAAUCCCCUUAGCACCCCCAGUGCACAGGCGGCAGCUUCUUGGGGGCAGCACAGCUGGAGGGUCCGUGUUCUGUGUGCUGUUCCCCCCCCCCAAGCACGUAUUUCGUAUUUCAUGGUCUUUAUUCUGUGUUGCUCUACUUUUCCUUUCUCUUCUUAAAACAUCUGCAUUGGCCACCCAGACCUUAAGAGAGAGAUUCCUGUGAAGCACAGUCUGAAAAGGGAACCAAGGCACAGAAGCUUUGAGAGCUCUGGGCAUGUGUGUGACUAAGGCCCAGUGUGAGAGAGAAGCUGGUGUUUUAGUGAGCGAGGACACUAACCUAUUCUGACACGUGAGUAGUUGUCAGGCCUCUAAUCACUGCUUUUUUUAACGUUUAUUAUUUUUGAGAGAGAGUACAAGUGUGGGAGGGACAGAGAGAGAGGGAGACACAGAAUCCAAGGCAGGCUCCAAGCUCUGAGCUGUCAGCACAGAACCUGCUGUGGGGCUUCAACCCACGAACCGUGAGAUCAUGACCUGAGCUGAAGUUAGGUGCUUAACCAACUGAGCCACCCAGUUGUCCCCCUCCCCCUUUUUUUUUUAAUCUUUUUUAAUGUUUAUUUAUUUUGGAGAGAGAGACAGAGCACAAGCAGAGGAGGGGCAGAGAGAGAGGGAGACACAGAAUCCGAAGCAGGCUCCAGGCUCCAACCUGUCAGCACAGAGCCUGACGUGGGGCUCGAACUCCUGAACCGUGAGAUCAUGACCUGAGCUGAAGUUGGAUGCUUAACCGAUUCAGCCAUCCAGGUGCCCCUUCCCCCCAUUUUUUUAAAUAAUUUUUUUUUAGGGGCGCCUGGGUGGCGCAGUCAGUUAAGCGUCCGACUUCAGCCAGGUCACGAUCUCGCGGUCCGUGAGUUCGAGCCCCGCGUCAGGCUCUGGGCUGAUGGCUCAGAGCCUGGAGCCUGUUUCCGAUUCUGUGUCUCCCUCUCUCUCUGCCCCUCCCCCGUUCAUGCUCUGUCUCUGUCCCCCAAAAAAUAAAUAAACGUUGAAAAAAAAUAAUUUUUUUUAUUAUUUUUAUUUUUGAGAGAGAGAGAGAGCGUGAGCAGGGGAAGAGCAGAGGGAGAGGAUCUGAAGCAGGCUCUGCAGUGACUACAGAGAGCCGGAUGCAGGGCUCGAACUCACAAACCACACGAGAUCAUGACCUGAGCCGAAGUUGGACGCUCAACCGACUGAGCCACCUAAGUGUCCCAUCAUUGCUCCUCCUUUCACCAUGCUUAGUAUUGAUAGGAUUUUUUGAAGUUGUAGAUACUUAAAACUGUUCUCCCUGUAAUGGGUUCCUCUUCUUUUGACAUUAUACAGAAUGUUCCUCUUGCUGUUGAGGAGGCUCAUAAGGUCUUAGGAGUGAGGGCAGAGGAUAGACUCUUACGCUGUGUUGUCGUUUUGGAUAGAAUUCUUAACAUCAAUUAUUGAUGCUGUUUUUACUCGUUCUCAAUUUGAAGAUUAUAUUCAUAUCAUGCAAAUGGUUCCCUACUGUUCUUUUUAAAAUACCAGUUUGAAGGGCACUUGGGUGGCUUAGUCAGUUGAGCAUCUGACUUCGGCCCAGGUCAUGAUCUCCUGGCUUGGGUGUUUGAGCCCUCUGUCAGCCUCAGCACUGACAGCUCAGAGCCUGGAGCCUGCUUGGGAUCCCGUGCCUCCCUCUCUCUCUGCCUCUUUCCCACUCACAACUCUGUCUCUCUCUCUCAAAAACAAAAAAACGUUUAAAAAAACUAAAAUAAAAUAAAAUAUCAGUUUGGCAAAGGUUAUAAAAAUAUAUCGCAUUAGUGAACAUUGGCUUCCAAAGCAUAAAACACAAUGGCUUUAUUAAAAAAUCUUCCCAUGUGUUUUCCAUGUUUACCUUGAGUAUUCAAAACCAAGAAGAGUCAGGAUAAAAGUGGCAGAGUGCCACCACAUUAGAAAUCACGGGCUGAAGGUGCUGGGUCACAACUGUCCAUUCAUUGGUCUUUAGUCUUGAGUUUGCACUAAGUGGAAGCUGGUAUUUUUCUCCUCAUACCUUCAGGAGCCCCGCCCCCUCCCCACCACUUCCACCCAAGACAGAAGCACAGUAACAACCUGAAAAUAAAGGACAGGAUUUUUUUUUAAUUAAUUAAUUAAUUUAUUUUAGAGAGAGUGUGUGAAGUGGGGAGGGACAGAGAGAGAGGGUGACACAGAACUCGAAGCAGGCUCCAGGCUCCGAGCUGUCAGCACAGAGCCCGACACGGGGCUUGAACUCACGAACUGCGAGGUCGUGACCUGAACCGAAGUUGGAUGCUCAACUGACUGAGCCACCCAGGCGCCCCAGAGGGCAAGCUUUUUUAAAGCCCCUCUUUCAGCACGGUAUCUACUAGUCCCAUCAGAAAAUGGUCUCUGUCACCAUUGGAACUCUCUAGGAUAAAAGCAGUUUUUUUUUAAAUUUGCCCAGUUGUUAAGAAAUUCUGCUCCUCUCUGACAUAAAUGAUCAUGUUUGGCUGAAGCCAAGAGAAAUACAAAAUGUCGUAUUUUAGCCCUACAUGACCAGUUUUCAAAGGGUGCUUUGGUGUGAACGCCACAUGGCCAUCCUGUUAAUGUGAUGGAUGGGGUCUUACAAAUAACUAUUUUUCUGCCCCCGUCAUCAACAAAUCUGAAAAACUUCUCUCUUUCCACAAACCCUAGGGAUGGCCCUCAGAGCCUGGGGUCUUCCGUGUCUCAGUGCCCAGUAGGAGAGAAGAUUUCCAUAUUCGAAAUUUGGGGACAAGUGAAAAUAACUCUGUCUUUCCUUGAAGGGUUAAUGCUCCAACCAGCUCUGGAUUGGUUCGCUCGAAUCUUAAAAUUACUUUUCUGGUCACGCGCACUGAAGGUCUAAGCAUUUGUGAAAUGUCUUUUUUUUCCCCCCCUUCUUUCUCCUGAUGCUGUUCUCUUGGCUGUCUUAAUUACACAGGGGUUGAGAAACCAAAUUAAAAUUAGGCGUGGCUGGUAAACAGUGAUCACGUUGCAUGCUUUUAGUUUUGCGUGUUGGAGUUACUUCUCGUCCCUGUGUUGCUUGCCUCCCACUUUUUUUUUUUUUUCCGAAGGAAAUAUCAUAAGCUCUUUUAGAAAUACUCACAGGAAGUGAGUAUCCAUAUGCUGGUUUCUCGCCAGCGACUGAGCGUUGACAGGUGGAGAAUAGGGCUGCAGCCCUCCCAGAUUUAUUUGCACAUUUCCACCAGAGCAGAGGAUUAAUUCAGGGUGUGAUAGACCAAAGGGGUUUUGUAGAGCCAGGGAGUCAUAAGAGGAAAUUGGUCAGUACGCGUCAUCUCGAGAGGGAGGGUGAUUCAGGUUGCUGCGGUGGGGUCAGCAAGGCACGUGGCUGCUGUGUCUGAGGGUUCUGCUCGCUGCUCCGAGGGCAGGCUGCCUUCUAAAAAUGAAUGCUCCCUCCACCGCCAACAGCGAUUCUUUCGCAGUGAAUCACUUCCAGAAAUGAAUAGCCACAGUUUUUCUGGAAUGAACGUUGUGAAAUCCCUCACUCAUAAUGGCAGGUUUUCAGUUGGUGGUUUUAUCAGAAAUUUCUCAAGAUCAAAACGAAACCUCCUCUUUAAAAAGAAAGAAAGUACUCUCGAUACAGAAAGCAAAAGUAUUUCCAGUCUCUUCACGAAGAACUGUCACAGAAGAUCUCCGUACCUGUGUUUAGAGACGCACGUCUGUGUAUUUUGCCUGAAACGCGUGAGUUCUCAGAAUUAAUGGAUUCGUUGCCGGUGGCUGGUGGUUUCCGAUGCAGAAGGUCGCCAGCUAGAAGAAAUGUUCUGUCCGGUGAGUAGGUGGUAGAUUCCGAUGAUUUUUGCUAAACCAGCGUUCAUGGUCUUGAGUUGUGGAUUCAAAAGACUGCCAGCAAGCUCUUAAAUGCUACUGCUUCAUAUGAUUUAGUGGAUGGAACCACAGGAUUCACAGAAGCCUGUGAAGGGUUUUUCAGAAUGUGGAGUAACUGAAUAACCAUUGGAUUUUUUUUUUUAUUUUUAUUUUUCUGAGUUACACUAGUCCUUUUGAGGAGGAAAGGACGUUUUACAGAAGGAAGCGGUUUGUGGGGGGCUUUUAGAGCUACAGCUACUGCUCUUCUAUAUGUAAAGUACUGUUCUGCCCUCUUAGAAGAUAGAAACAAAUGUACGGUCUCAACAGAGAAAAAGUUAUGGCAGCUCUUUCUAAAUGAAGAAACUUCAUCCACGUCUUACUCCUAACUGGAUUUUUUUUUUCCUCCUCAAUACUCACAAGGAGAAACUGGAAGAAGACUAACCUUCUGGCAGUGCCUGCGAUGUGUCUCAUUCAGAACCCGGUGAGCUCUCCGUAGAUUACCGGCCACCCUUUUAUCCAGGGGGCGAAGAGAGGGAAAGACAGUUACUGGAAACAGUGAGUGCAGUUUAAGGAACUGUUCUCUCUCCCAAGCGGAUAAGUUGUUUGACCUACUGACUCAUUUCAUAGGAAUUGGGAAAACAACCUAGUGUGGUUUUCAUUGUUAGUCCUGGAAGAUUCCAAAAUGUGUGUGUCUGCAAAUAAGAGGAGUUGGAGAAAGGUAGUGUUGCCAUUUGCUGUCUCUGCUUGCCUGUUUUCCUGACGGAAUUCAAUCGCUUGUUUCCAGGACAAGACCAGCCCGUGCUCCAGAAUCCUCUGUGCACUGCUCAGUGGUGAGUAUGGAUGACAGCAGUUUCCGAUUUCCACUGGUUCUUGCUUCUAAAUUUCUAAAUGGCUUUUCGUCCUAGGAAAAGCUUUAAAGAGCAUCUUUUCCUGGCCCAUUUAUACUACAUUUCACAUUUACCUGUAGAAAAUACUGUGGAUGUGGUGAUGAUUCUAAAAGAUGGUAUAACCUACAGACGACAAUAGAAGUUAGGAGUUAAGAUAGAUUGAUUUUUGCAGCAUAUCGUCCUAAAGGCAGUGUUGAUUUUGACAUAUUUACAUUAAGGGUUUUCGUGAUGUUCUUUAAAACACACGUAUGGAAGAUAACAGUACGUUCUGGCAAAAAUAAUAAAGUUACUAAUAGUUGGUGAAAGGCAUAUGUGUUUGGUUAGUAACAUUUGUGUGCAGAGAAGCUUUUUGAUUCCUGAUGUUUGGGUUUUAAAGCAAUGUUACCAGAUAAACUAAAGGUAUCAAAAGAGGACAAAGAAAGUAUUACUGAACUUUGUUUAAAAGUAGAAAGCUAUUUGAAGUGAUUAACACUCGAAGUGUUAGAUUAUCGCCUCUUAUCUUUUCGUGUACGUUGGGUUUCCCAAAUCACACCUUGAAGUUACAGUCUCCAUUAACGCAGAAGAUGCUUAAUGUAGAAUUGUGGCAGAAUUUCUCUUUCUCUUUGGAAAUGGCAGAGUAGAAAGUUGAAUCGGUCAUUCUGGUGCUGCUUAUUCGGUUUACUGCUUUAUUGUGUCCGAGUGCCUUAGAACUGAGGUACUUAACCUUUUCAGGGUGUUGGGCCCCUUUGAGAUGAUGGUGGAAGCUAUGAGCCCACUUAGCACACUCACAGUAAGUUGCCUACAUUUCAGGGCAUUUGCAGCUCAGUAGGGUUCAUCUGGGGCCCCCAGGUUAAGGACACAGCCCAGAGCCAGACCUUACCAUGAUUCUGCCAUACCUGAGUUCCCUAGUAAACACUGUGAUUUAAAAGAGGAGGCAUCCGAGUCAGAAAGAAGUCAUUCUCUGUUUGCUAGGUAGGGGUGCAGAGCCUGAAAAAGGGAAGGAAGAAAGGUGGAGUGGAGAAAAUAUGUGACUGAUACUAAAUAAGUAAGGAGAAUGGAUAAUAUUCUCAGAACCUCCGAACAGAUACCGCAGGAUCCCUAAACAUUUAACCGUGUAUCGUUGUAGAGACUUUAAGACUCAUGGUUAACAGUUGGGGAGGAUUUUUCACAUACAUAAUGAAAUCUCUUUUCUUUUUUUUUUUCUUUUCCAUUGUGUACGUUACCAAAUUAGGACUACAAAUCAUCCAGACUCCAGAAAUGUAAUUGAAAACAAGUGUAACAAACUGGAAAAUGGUUCUCCAUUAGCAGAAGAAAUCUGGUGGGGAUAGAUGGAAGGUAGUUUAGUUGAGUACAGAAAAACACCAUUUAAAAAGAACUGUAGUCCUCACUGCCCAUCAAGUCAAUUCAAGUCAGUACUGUAAGGCUGUUGUGGAAAAAAAUAGACAUAUGAGUCUUGGCUGUAUUAACAGAAGUAUGACAUAAAAGGGUAAGAAAACAAGGCUUGCAUUAGUCACACUCGUUAUUGUGUCCAAUUUGAGUCACAUUUGAAAAAAAGAUUUGGGGUGAUUAUAAAGAGCAGAUACACAAGCAACAAAAGUUGUAUACUCUUUCAGCAAAAGAUAAAGUGGCUGAGAGUUUUAGCCUGAAAAAGUCUAAGGGAUUUCUUGCUAAUGGUCUAUGAGUAGUGGGAGUCUGAUUUAUCUUUAGAUCCCUGGGGCCCAGCACACUGCCCUGCUUUUCAGUAAAUUGCAGUGUUUUAGAUGACUGUCUUGUGUGAGGACUUUGGUAACACUUCCACGAUAGGCUGGGCAGGAGCAAAUGGAUUCACGUAAAACCAAAGAGAUAUUGUCAGGACGUAAGGUAUAUAGGGGCGCCUGGGUGGCUCAGUUGGUUAAGCGUCUGACUUUGGCUCAGGUCAUGAUCUCACAGUUCAUAGGCUCAGGCCCCACGUCGGGCUCUGUGCUGGCAGACAGCUCAGAGCCUGUAGGUGCCUUCGGAUUCUGUGUCUCCCUCUCUCGCUGCCCCUCUCCCACUUGCACUCCCUCUCUCUUUCUCAAAAUAAAUAAAUAAAAUUUUUUUUAAAAAGCAUAUUGGGGUGCCCGGGUGACUCAGUCGGUUAAGUGUCCGACUUUGGCUCAGGUCAUGAUCUCAUGGUUCGUGGGUUCAGGCCCCGCGUCAGGCUCUGUGCUGACAGCUCAGAGCCUGGAGCCUGCUUCAGAUUCUGUCUCCCUCUGUCUCUUCCCAUUCCCUGCUCGCACUCUGUCUCUGUCUGUGUCUCUCUCUCUCAAGAAUAAAUAAACAUUAAAAAAAUUUUUUUAAAGAACAUAAGGUAUAUAAUAAAUUUGUUGGCUGAUGAAUAGAUAAGAAAGACUGCUUCCGUUGCCAAGAUUAUCAAGUAGAUGAGUGGCUGGCCGAGGGAGUUGAUGAGAUCUUGGGUUGAGAUCUUUCCCAAGAUGAGAAUAGGUAACUGUGUCUGAGAUGGUGGAAACGUUUAUUAAUUCAUUCAACAAACACUGAGGGCCUCCUUUGCGAGGACUCACAUUCUGGGAGAGGAGGCAAAGGCACAAAAAUAGAGAUCACAGUGUGCGAUGGGGGUUGCGGUUGCGUAAAAUCAGCCUGCCGUGGGACCUGGUAACACCUAGCUGCCACCCGUGAGGCCUCCUGAUGAAAGGGAUGUCUGAAUUGACUCUUGUUAGCUAGGAGUUAGCCAGACAAGGGAGGCAAGCAUUGUGGCGAGACGCUGGGUCAGAGGCUCAGCGCCUGAGCUACAGUGGAGGGUGUGAGAGAGGAACAGUUAAGAGAAGGUGAAGCCGGAAGGGAGUCCCUGACAACGGUUCUAAGACGCCACACCACCUUAGCCUGAACGUCUCUGUCUGGGAGGGUAACGUGGGCAGACGCACUUUGGAAAGCUCACAGGGGCUGCAGUGAAGAGAAUGAACUGGGGGGAAGGGGAGCCGGGCAGGUCAGACAAGGCCAGGAGACCAGAUGGAAAGAGAGCUGCCCUGCCCUCGUGGGAGCCCUCCAGUGGAGAAACGACGAGGACCCCUGCGGCGGGGGAUGCAGGAGAGGUUGGUGAGGUGGGAAAGGGCAAAGGGGGAGUAAGGACAGUGGCUUAGGUUAUUAAGUGGUAUCAUUCACCACAAGAGGAACUUCCAGACGAAAAGCAGGGCUGAGGGAAGAUGAGGCAGCAUUUGGACGUAGCAGAGUGCACACAGACAGGCAGGUGUGCAGGAGACCGGGGGAGGGUCAGGGUGGUGGGCACGGUUGUGGAGCUGGAGGUGUAGACCUUCAACACCAGCUCACAGUCAUUAUUUUACCGGUGGGUGGUCUUGACUGGUGCGAGACCUGUUUCUGAAGCAGUGGAUCUCUUCCAAAUUGUUACAUGGUAUUUUCUAUUUUUUCUAACUUGUUUGUAAUAAAACGCCUUUAAAAUAUGAAAUAGUAUAAAGAAGAAAUAUAAAUUAUCCCUGAUCUCAUCACCCAAAGCUCUUAACAUUUGUAUUCUCCUCCAGCAUCUUCCUGUACACACACAGUGUUUACAGAAUUAGCAUCAUUCUGUGUAGGACCUUCUAUAUCCCAUUUCUUCAAUGAGCAUUUUCUCCAAGUGCUUCUUAAAAAUGCCCUAAAAACAUUUUUAACAGUGUGUUAUAUUCUCCAAUCUGAGAGUGUUUAGUCAGCUUCCAUUUUUUUUAAAAGCCAGUUUUACAUUAUAAUAAUUGUCCUUUGAAGUUUAUGAAUCUUGGACAUUUUUCAUUGAAAUAUAGUAAAGUAAUGCAAUAAUAUUAAUAUAUAUUAAUAAUAAUGACAUAUUAACAUAACAUAUUAAUAUUAAAUAAUAUACUAAAAUACUUCCUUAGGAUAGAUUCCUUGUAGUGAGUUUAUUAAGUUAAAGGAAUUAAACUUUUUAUUUAUUUAUUUUUAUUUUUCUUACUCUAAGUAGGCGCCACACCCAACAAGGGACUCGAACCCACAACCCUGAGAUUAAGAGUCGCAUGCAGUACCAGCUGAGCCAGCCAGGAAGCCCAGAAUUAAACUUCUUAAAGAUUCUUGAUGCCUCUUUGCCAGAUUGUUUCCUAGAAAACUUGUACCAGGUCACCCACAUUCUAGCAAUGAAUGAAACGCCCAUCUCACUGUAUCUUCAUCAGUAUUGAGUAUUACCUUUUAAAAAAAUCUUUAGAGAAAAAUGUUACGUUAUUUUUGGCUCACUUAUUCGACAGCUAGGCAGUGGCUGCCCUCUCUGUGCUAGGUUCAUGGCAUUCCGUAAUUGCUUCCAGUAAAGGUUAAAUUUUUUGUGUGUUUCUUAACCCAGUUUCUUUUUGUAAAUUUCUGUUCACAUCCAUUAUCAACUUUUCUAUGGAAGUGUGACUGUUUCUGUAAUUUUUUUGAGGUGUGUGUGUGUGUGUGUGUGUGUUAGCAAUAUUUGGGCAAAUAUUUUUCUCACCUUCUUUGAUUUUUAAUUUUUGCUUAUGAUUCUUUUGAGACACAGAAUGUUUACCUUCUAUUUAGUUAAAUAAGUGAUUUUUGUCUUUUUCUUUUCUUUGUGACUCUCCUGUUAACUUGGGCUUUGGAAUUCCUUCCUGACCAGAAGUUACAAGAUAUUCUUCUGAAAAAUAAUUUCAUUUUGUAUAUUAAACUCACCAAAUUAGAAGUUAGGUAUAAGGGAUUUUUUUUUUCAUGUAGUCAAUCACCCAACGUCCUGUAUGAAAUCAUUUAUCUUUCCCCUGUUAAUUUUUAGUGCUUCCUUUAUUUUAUACUUCAAGACCUUUUGCUAUCAUGUUUAGCUGUAAGAGUCCAUGAAUUUGAGGGGAUAUUGGUAUCUGUGUGGAGGAUGUGAUACACUUUUUUUCCAACAUUUCAUUAUGAAAAAUCUCAAGUAUAUAGUAAGGUUGAAAUAAUUUUACAGUGAACCCCCUCAUAUACCCCAGCUAGAUUCUACAAUUAGCAUUUUAUCAUUUUUCCCUUUAUUAUUUACCUAUUCAUGUGAUAAUUUUUAAACCUCCUGAGUCAUCAUUUAAAUUCAAAAGCGGGAUAUCAGAGACAGUUCCUUUCAUUCUGUUCUCUUGUUUUUCCUUUAAUUUGUAGGUCUGAUUUCCAAGAAAGUUUCAGCAAUGUAUCUUAGUACAGUAAAAGAAUGAACAGUAAUAUGCACCAAGAGAAACUGCAUGCCAAGAUACGUGUCAGUCAUCUAAUUUUGUGAAUAUGGUUCGAUUUUUAAGGCUUAUGAUGAUUACUCACAUACGAUGCAUUUGUGUUUCAAACAGAAUUCCCUGUUAAGGACUCCAUCCUCCCAGAGCUGACAAAGGGGCUGCCUGGGCACAGUGGGCUUUGAAAGAAAACUUUUGUCAGAAUCCGAUCACUUUCCCAAGUGGCCGCCAUCAGGCCCUGCCAUGGGAGCCCUUAGCAUACAGGUGCUUUUGCCCAGGGCAGCGCGUACUGAUGUUUGGCAUUGAGUGUCCCUGGUUCAUGGUGGCGAUUAGGUCAAACCUCAGGUAAAGGAGCUUGAUCACCUCUUCCAGCCUAAUUAAUGAGCUCCCUAAAUUCCCAUGAGUUCUUAAGGCCUGAUGGGAUCCCAGCUUAGAGACAGGUUUGCAACCGUGUGUUAACAGGAAACCGAAUUACCACAUCUGCCUCUUAGCGCAGCAUACAGCUAGUUGAAUGGAAAAUGUACAACCUGAUUGAAAGACUCGCCUUUGGUCACCACUAGAUAUUAAUGAUGGUUUAAUUCUCAUACCUUUUUUUUUUCCAUCUGAGCCUUAACUUCCUGUUUGUAAAAUAAGUUGAUUUUAUUAGAUUAUGUAGAAAGUGUUUGUCUUUACCCAGAAUCUGUGAUUUUCAUCUAGAACUUUGAAUGUCGUUCAGUAUCCACCACUCUCUCAGAAAUCUGGGAAGACAGUUUUUUGCAGCUUCUCUGAAUAAUCCUUUCCAGGGUAUGACCGCUGAUGAAGUUCACCAGACGCUGGAUCUAGGGCUAGAGUGUCAAAGCCGUUAGCUCCUGUCAGGGAUGAGGGGCAUUCCAGAGAUCAUUCAGAGGAAGCCUGACUCACAGGAAGCAGAUGAGCUGACUAGCUGCUUAUGGAGCAAAUUCCCCCUUGACCUUCAGGAGACUCCCUCUGUGGUGGUCCCCAGCGUCACCUUUGUUCUAAAUUCCCUGCUCCUAGGGAAUAAUGCUAUAGCACUUUAGAAGCCUAGCCAGCAAAUGCUUAGGCACUUAAGGAUCACUUUACCGAAAAAAUUCAACAGAAACUAAAUUGAUACUCUUGUACUGUCAAUAUUCAAAAGAGGCAUUCUGUUUGAGUGAAUGAUUUUCAGAAAAACAGUGAAACAACCAGAGUUUUUCUCUUGCUGCUGUCCCCUCUCAAGUGUCUGUGCUUCAGCAAGAGUCAGCCUGUUACUCCCCAUACCUGCCAUGUUGUUUCCUGUUAACCUGCCUUUGAGAAGCAGCUCCCCCCGUCCUUACCUGUGCCCACCUCUCCGGCCCAGAGGAGCCCCACCAAUACUAACCUCUCCCAGCCCAGGGCUCCCUUUCCCUCUACGGAUAGGCCAGUCCUAGCGGGUUGGUUUAUUUGGCAUCCAUUAAUUUGCCAGGAGCAAGGGAGGAGAGUCCGAAAGCACUGCUAUAACUUGUUAUUUUCCUUACCGUCGCGGUGGGAGGAAGACAGACGCUUCCCACUGGCCACCACCGUGCUGUGCAUCAAGUGCCUCAGCCCACAGCUCUUUUUUUUGUUUUUUUCAACGUUUAUUUAUUUUUGGGACAGAGAGAGACAGAGCAUGAACGGGGGAGGGGCAGAGAGAGAGGGAGACACAGAAUCGGAAACAGGCUCCAGGCUCCGAGCCAUCAGCCCAGAGCCUGACGCGGGGCUCGAACUCACGGACCACGAGAUCGUGACCUGGCUGAAGUCGGACGCUUAACCGACUGCGCCACCCAGGCGCCCCCCACAGCUCUUUUUAAAAGUUAGCUCCCGGGCUAGAUCUGUAGGAAAUAAGAUGGUGAGAUCAUAAACGCUAUGGAAUGAGGAUGAAGUUAGCUUACCAGAUCCCAGCACGUGAGCCCUGGGAGUCCUGAGGAGGCUGCUUUACAAGUGAGUCGCACCUGUACGGAACCUCGUGUCUGCAGAGGUGGUAACGUGCCAACGAUACAGAUAGCUUUAAAAUGAGUUUAAAUGCAAACAGCAAAUAAAGUUGGGACAUACUCACAGGCACUGGGAUUAUUUAACGGGUUAGGAAGGAAAAUACGAGAUAUCUGAGGUAGUACAUCCUUUAACUUUUAAGGCAGCUAUCUUGAAGAGAAGGCUCUAAUGAAAUACACCCUGGUGUCGCCGUGAAGGACUGUCUAAAAAGCCAGCACAGGGCCCGCAAACAGUGUUUUAGAGAGAUUAAGAAUCUUUUCCAGGGUAGCCUUCGUCCUGGGCUGAUUUAACUGAGAGCUCUCCCUUGCGAAACUGAAGUAUCCCCACCAUAAUGAUAAAGUGUCAGUUAGCUAUGACCUAAUACGUACCAACCAUGACUAACCCAGAAUGCCAGGUCGCUGUGGUUGCAUUUCCCGUGGCGUCAGUGUUCUGGGGUCAGGGUUAACAGGGGUAAUUCAUUUCUGGGUUCGGGUCUCCACUCUUCACUGAUGUCAGCCAUGGGUGAGAGGAGACCUGCUCUAGUCCAGGUGCCAGAGAGUCCUGAUGAUGGCAGUCACAACAGGGGCUGGCGCUGUCAGCUGAGCAGCGGGUGCCAGGCGCUGUGCAAAGUCCUCGACUUGGUUAUCUCUUCUAAUAAACAAUCCUGUGAGGCAGGUGCUAUCAUCAUACCCAUUUUUCUGGUAGAAAACUAAGGCUUGGAGAAGUCAACUCAUUUCUCCCAAGAUGAUGCAGCCUGGUAAGUGGGGGGAGGGGGGGGGGGGGGGGGGGGGGGGAGCCAGGAUUCAAAUCACAGCUCCUAAGCCCAAGCUUUUGAUUUGUAUCAUUUUCAGUUUCCAUAAAUGACUCUUCUUUGGAGGCAUGUUCGUCCUGUGGGGCCACCCAGUUUCAUUUGGUCUGCUGUCUUCUGUGAUACAUCCCCUAGUGCUGGGCCUUCUCCUGGUACCUUGUUGUGGGUCACCAGAUCACAGCCUGAUAUUGAUGGCACGUAUUACCACAGCCUGCCCGCGCGACUCCAGCAACUGUGCUGAUACUUACAAGAGAGUAUGUCCCAAAAAGGUAAUUAACAAAGCAGCUAUCCCAACCACUGAAAAAACCAACUUGGCAUGGCCCAUGAUGGAAUCUCCUUUCUUUUAUUUUUGGAAAUGAAUAGGAGCUCAUUAACGUUGUACCUUCCGGUAAGUUCAGGCCCACUGUCAGGACCCCAAAAUCUGUUGUCUUACGAUAUUGUUGCUGAGUUGGCUACAUAGAGUCUCAUGAGGGAAAGCUGCUGUGCCACCAACGUGGCACAAAGGCCCUCCACGCGCUGCUCUCGUCUUAAAAUUCCUCCCAUCUUUACCUUCAUUCAGGGCUCUCCGGUCCAGAUUUGUGGUUCUGCAAAUGAAGCAGGUCGUGCUUGCCCUUUGCAUGGAAACUCUUUCUUUUGUCCUCUUCCUGGCCAACCACUACUGUUCCUUUCAGAUGAAUCCUCCUCCAGGUAGGCUUCCCUGACUGCCCAGGAUCAGGUCAGGUGCUCCUGGGUGCUUCCACAGCACCCUCUCCUACCUACCCCUGUGGGUACACACCAUACUAGGCUCUAGCUUCCUGUUUCUUGUCCGUCUGCCCUGACUCGCGGUGGCACUGGGAGAACCAGGCUCGGUACUGUUGACUUUGGGGUACACACCCCGACACACAAGACGGUGCCUGACUCAUGGCAGACACCCAACGAGCGUGUGAAUGAGAGAGGUAGAAAUGACAUACUUGGUAACGGUGGGAACUAAUACAUGCGGUGUCUAAUAUUUGCAGAUCAUAAGGCGUUUUUGUACGUGUUCUGUUACCGAAUCCUCACAGCAAUUCUAGGAAGAUUUCUUGAUCCUCACUGUACUGACCUGGAAACAUCUGCUAACACAGUUAGUCCUGUGGUCCCCUUAUGUGCUGGGGGAAUGUGUCCAAGAUCCCCAGCAGAUGCCUGAAACUACGGAUAGGACCAGACCCUAUAAAUACUGGCUUUUUUCCCAUGCAUACAUAACCUAGGAUAAAGUUUAAUUUAUAAAUGAGGCUUAAUUUGUAAUGUAUAUAAUUAGGUUUAACUUAUAAUUUAUAAAUUAGUGUAAGAGAUUAACAACCAUAACUAAUAAUAAGAUAGAACAGUUAUAACAUUAUACUCUUGUAAUAAAAGUUAAUAUAAAUGGGGUCUUUCUCUCACAGUAUCUUCUUAUACUGCACUCACCCUUCUUGGGAUUAUGUGAGAUGAUAAAAACGGAUUUGUGGUGAGAUGCAGUGAGGUGAAUGACACAGGCACUGUGACGUAACCUCAGGCAGUCAUUGACCUUGUGACGAUAAGUCAGAAGGAAGAUCAUCAGCUUCCAGACCAUGGGUGACCGUGGAAGACAGACCACAGGUAGCUGAAAGUGAAACCGUGGAUAAGGGGCAAAGGGGGACCACUGUAGUGGCAAAGCCAGGAUUUGAGCUUAGGUCUUCUGACCCCAGCUCUUGUGCUCUACUGUACUGUGUGAAUAUUCCGAGGCUGGUCUGUAACACAGGUGUUAGAAUCUGUAACAGAAGCAGCGGCAUUUCUGUCCUCACCAGCGAGACCCAGAGGGAGAAUCGACAGACUUUUCAUUUCUCUGCCUUUCCUCCUUGACAUCUUCCUACCUCCCAUGUUUCCAGUGGAAGCCUUACGCUGACAUGUGAUGGAUUCUUUCCAAGUUUCAAGGUGCUGACAGUGAAUCUUUUGUUUGUAUUCAGACCAGACUGGCUAUAGCCCUUCUUUCCUUGGGGUUUGAGCUUUUUGGAAAGGUGGAGAGCUUAGGAGUUCAGGUGGAGUCCCUGAGCACGUUGAUAUGUUAAGAUCGCGGUGUGUUGGGGAGAAAUCGGUGUGGUGCUGAGACCGUGAGUGAGAGGAUGCAGGUGGGGGGGCCAGUUGGGUUGUCGAGGAAGAGGCCGUAGAGAGGUUGCUGGCUGGCUGGGCUGUGCAAUUAAGCAGUUGAACAGGUCUCAGUAGCACACUGGGGUGUCCUCCACAGGCCUGCAGGGGAGCAGAGUGGAAGCAAGCUGGCUGGCAGCAUCUUUGGACACACGGUGCUAGGUGUUAGGGGCUUAACCUGGAACGUCUCCACAAGCAGGUACCCCAAGGAGCAGAGCAUAAUCGGAGGAGGGACAAAAGUGAGAUUGGGGGUAGCAGCUCCUGAGCUUUAAAAUUCACGAUUUAAUCUUCAACCCUGCUCCGUUCUGGGUGCUCCCAACACCGUUGCCGAGGGGGAGGAGUUUUUAAUUUCAUAGAGAAGUUAAUUUUUUGCCACCACAGUAGAACAUUAGACCCAAGUUCACAAAUCUUUCCAGCAGUCCCGUGUCCGUUACGAACUUCUCACUUUAUAACUGGUUAUUUGCAGUCGGAGGAUAUACCAGCAUUUAUUGUGGUUUUAUUGGAGGGCAGGGGAGUCAGGAACACAUGGAGAUGGGGUUAGAGGUACCUCCUAUGGGACAUUCAGAGAUCAGAGCAACUCGGGGAGAGGAAGCUGGUGUCAUUGUUCAUUCACUCAGCAGAGAUUCCCUGAGCAUCCGCCGUGUGCCAGGCACUGGUCGGCACCGGGAUGAUGAUGAUGGUGGUGAUUAAAAAAACAGGCGUGAUCUCUGUCAUCAUGGAAGCUAAGUACGUGUGUGGGAAAGCAGUCCAGUUGCGGGGGAUGAACUCAGGCUUCGUGCUGUGAAGGAAAAGGUGCUCCAGGAUGAAAGGGGGACUUCCUUUGAGUGGUUCUCUGAGGAGGUAAUUUCUAAGGUGGGAGCCAGAGGUUGAGAAAAGAGUGGGUGGAGGAGUUGGGGGUGAAGCUUCCAAGCACAGAGAACAGCACAGUUAAAAAGCACUGUAGUGGAGAUGAGAUUGGCCUUUGAGGAUUGAGAAGAAGGCAGAUGUGGCCCACGAUGAUGGUGGGAGAGGCGAGCAGGUGCAGCCCCUCCGAGGCCUUCGGUUUGGUGUGGCCCUGCUCUGAAAGGCGGCCAUCCUAGAAGUCUCCUGGGGUCUCUCGAUCACCCCUGUAAGUGUCCCCAGCCCAGGACAUCCCCAGGCUCCUAGAAAAGCCCUCGUCCCCAGGAGACUGCCUGCCACUUCCCUCUUCCUGCUCAUGCCCCUUGUGGAGGGGAAUAAACAAGAAGGAGAUUUUACAGUGAACGCAGAUUUGCAUGAACUUGAAAGCAGGAGUCCUUUCAGGUGCUAAAAACCACGAGAGACAGGCCCAAGGGACUUUAAAAUGGCUCUGAAUAGAUGGGGUUGCUCUGUCGUGGCUCCCACACGCAGGUCUUGUGAGCUCAAACCGGUGGUGAGUACAGCAGGGUAGUAGGAGUAGAAAAGUACAGUCUUGGGGGGACGGGGGGGGGUGCCUGGGUGGCUCGGUUGGUUAAGCGUCUGACUUCGGCUCAGGUCAUGAUCUCGUGGUUCGUGAGUUCGAGCCCGCGUCGGGCUCUGUGCUGACAGCUCACAGCCUGGAGCCUGCCUCAGAUUCCUUGUCUCCCUCGCUCUCUGCCCCUCCCCAUUCAUGCUCUGUCUCUCUCUCAAGAAGAAACCUUUAAAAAAUUAAAAAAAAAAAGAAAAACACAGUCUUGGUUCUGAAAAAGCGAAACCUGCAGCAUUGGCUCCCCAAAGUCCUGGGGAAGAUCGUUCCCUGAAGUAAGUGCAGCCGCUUUCUCGGGGGCUGUCAUCUGGCCCUCUUUCUAAUUUUAAACUUCCACGAGUUAGGGGAUCCCAAGCGAGCAUCAGGCCGGCUUUAGGCGGGNGCCCCCCCCCCCCCCCCCCCCCCCCCCCCCGUGACACCAGUGGGCAGGCCUGCCGCUAAGCAGGUCUCCUUCGCUCUUGUCCUUUGUGCUCUUCAGCUCACCUCUGCCCCUGUUUUAGAAGAAUGAACUUUGAACCUGGGGGGGUGGGUGGGGGCUAGAAGGAAGAGAGCCCUGGAUAGUGUUGUGUAAACACUUCGGUCUGAUCCUUCUAAUCUUUUACUACCUGUAGGGACAGGUGGCUGCAGCAAGGCUGCUGGCAGGAAAGCCUGAUUUUUUCUAGGCUGUGGGUUACGCAACAGAGCAGAUCUUUGAAGCUGCAAAGGGAGGUCAGAGCAGCCUGUCCACAGGCAUAUUACGCACAAGUUUCCCUUUAUAAGACCUAAUUUGCCUGAGUAUCACUAGGAACUUCUGUGCCAACAUUGAGCUGGCUCUCUGGAGUGAGUUGUUACCGCCAGGCUCUAGUUAAAGCAGUCAGUCUUUUUUUUCUUUAAAAAAGGUCUCUACUUUCCAAGGUCUCAAGCAGCUCUCUUCGGCAGCUGUGUUUGGAUAACGGGGUGCGUUCCAUCCUAGCCUGUAACCUCGCACUCACAUCUGCGAAUGUUCGCUCUGUCCAGAAGUGGAGGUAGAUGGCGAUGUAGCAGGUCCGGUGGACCAGGCGGUGCUGAGCUUGCGUCUGGGACGGUGACCAGACCGAUGAAAGGAGAAGGAAGAGAUAUUUUUAGCGCGUCAGGGCCGCUUGGAAACACUGGUUCCCGCCAUCCCCCCUCCCCAAGUAAUUCCAGCAGGGGGUUCGGUGGGGAGUGCAUCUGCUCUAAUUUAGUGUAUAACGCAUUUCACUUCCGUAUUAUACUUCAGAAUAUUCAUGAGGGCUGGUGAGUUGCUGACUUGACAAAGGAGUAGCUUUGAAACCCACAUUAUGGGCUCGGUUUUUAGGGUCCCUAGAUGCAGCCUGAAUGUGUGAUGUUAUUGCAGAGGGCCUCUAGGGGGGCUCCCGGGCCCCAGUGUGGACUGGGAGAACCAGCCACUCCUUUUGCCUCAGAAGUGUGGUUUUCCCUGGAGGUUGGGGCCUGAGGACAUAGUCCACUCUAUUUCUCUUCUCCCGGGAGUGGAUUCAAGCAGGCGUCGCUGUUCUGAUGUUGAGAACAACAUGACCUCUGCCGUUAGGUUCUUACAAGUUGUGGUGCGCCGAUUUAAACCACCGGUGAUGUUAAAUCAACUGAAAAACUCCAGUGAGGUUAUAAAUUAAGUACAACUUAAGGGAAGGGAUGGAAGGGAUCCUGUCUGGGGCGUAGGUGAUCCUCUCCAGAAUCACUUUCGAGACCGGAGGACUUUUGUAUGUGCUGAGAAAAGCGUGAGUUGAUUUCCGUACAAGGGAAGGGUUUCUCUUCGUAAGCUUCUGCUUAGCUGCUCGGUUUUGAUUGAGGUUCCAUCUGUCUCUCCUGGCCGUCAAGUGUAGAAGAAACAACAGAGUGUGUGGAGGAAACACAGGGGUUGGGAUUAGGAGGCCGGAGCCUGGGCUCUUCCCUCCAGCCCCCCACAUGCACCGAGCCCCGCGGGUGCCCGGUGUGGUUCUGCAGGUUACUGGCCUCUCUGUCCCUGCUGAUGUGAUGAGGCAGGAGACCACAUCUGAAUCCCACGCUUGUUAGGUGUGUGACUUUGGCCGCUUAAGGUUACCUAAUGUCUCUUUGCCUCAGUCUCCUCAUCUAUAAAAUGGGAAUUGAAAUAGUACCUGCCUCGAGGGGCUGCUGCAAGGAUUUGAACGUGCAGUAAGUGAAGUGUGCAGGUGAUGGGAUCUGUUCCUCUUCCUUCAGGCUCUUCAGGCUCUUUGGCCUCUGAGUGAGAAACAGUAAAUGGGCCACAGGUUCACGGGAGAGCCAGUCAGAGCGAGUGACGGACCAGGGAAGCUGAAGGGGCCGUGGGCGCUCGAUGCCCUUCCGUUGUGGAGCAGUGCUCAGCUUGGCACCUCCUCACGUGCCCCGUCUCCCUCCCCUGGUGCUUAGACAGCAGUCCUUCCCUCAGCGGAAGAAGUGGCCCUUCUCAGUCCCACGUGGAACACAUGCCCCAGCGUUGCCCUCAGAUGACCUACGUGGUGGAGACAAGGGGCCUCGGGUAGGCGUCGCCGCUGACCUGGAGGUGGUGCCCCCCUGACCCCCCACUUGCUGAGGUCCCCCGCAGCGUCCGCCAGUUUUCCUGCACUUUCAAGGGUCGUUGUCGGACUUAGUCAUGGCGGCCAAGCUCUUUAUUAGCUGGUUCUCCUUGGUGAAAGCCCUUUCACUGAAACUUCCUUCUCAGCCUACACGUUUUAGACUCUCAGCACAUUUCUGUGAGGGCUCAGCUGGCUGCCCUUAAAAGAGCCCCCCUGAGGGGUAAGGAGAGCAGUUUUCACGCUCCUCCCCCCAAAUCAGCCGAUACGUCAUGGCUUCCACCAUGAAAGGUUUUCAGAGGGAGGAAACCGCUUACGAGGCAAGCUUAGAGAGCUUGUGGCUCCUUUCCAGAAUGUACUUAGUGGUUCUGCCCUGCGUGGUGGAGAGCCCCGUUCUCUUAUGUUUGGGUGGCUCCAUCCACUCUCCACCAAGAAUGACGUCCUUAAAGGCUGCCCCCAGGCAGAAGGUCCUUCUGCUGCCCUGCCAGGGGCUUGGGGACUUGGUAAGCGGCACUGCAAAUCUCGGGGGGGGGGGAGCUAAUCAGGUGAUCAGUCUGGGGAUGGAAAGACAAGAAGGUGGUAGAAAGUUGUGCUGAUUGUCUUGCAAGUCACAGGUCUGAAAUUUUGUCACGUCUCAUGGGGGUGAGGAGAAGCCAGCCUGAGUAGAGAACGUCUUAAAUUGACUUCACAGUGAACUAAAGUAUGAGAAUGGUAACUGUUCUUUGUCACUCAAAAUUACUAGUCCCAAAAGCCUUUAAAAAGGCCAGCCACUUCUGGUGAUCAAAAUCAACUGUCCUGUUUUUUGCAAACAAACCUGGACGGGGCUGGCCGCCAGUGUGGCUGUGUGCAGCUGCCACCUUGUGGCCAGAACCAGGCAGUGCGUGUGUUACCUGUUGCCGGAUCCCCUGUGUGAAAUGUGUCAAUCUUAAAGCUCUUUUACAAAGAUUUUUCUCAGUCACCCUCUCACUACACAUUCCAUCUCCAGGGCUUAACCGUUCUGCUUCUGUCGAAUCUGUACAGGACAAUGUCACUACCAGGCUCCAGGGUCACUACCUUCAGCCUCCAGACUGAUCUUGCUCCAACAUGUUAAUCUGAUUGUGUUUUUUCUCUUACUUAAAGCCCUUUAAUGGCUCUUCCUUACCCAGGUUCCAGCACAUCUCUCAGAAUUUCCCCGAGCCCAAGCUCCUUUGCCCCAGGGCUGCAUCUUUGCACACGCUCUUCUCUCUUCCUCUUCUGUUUAACACCUACUCAUUCUCAAGACUCGUUUCAGGGUUCACCUCCUUCAGGAAGCCCUCUGCACUGUAUUAGAUAUUAGACUUUCAUCUUUCUGUCACAGUGUCUGACAUAUAACUGUUGCUUGCUAAUUAUUAGCGAGUAAAGGGAGGGGGAAGACAAGUAAGCAGAGACCCGAAGCGCCAAAUGUUCCUCUUGGGUGUGAUGGAGCUCAGGGAAGAACGGAGGUGAGCCCAAGGGGCCCUGGAGCAAAGAGCCUCGUGUCCCUGCAGAUGGCAGAGAAACAGUCCCCUCGGUGAGCGACGCUUACCUCUCCUGUACUGUUCCCUCUCUCUGUUAGCCCCUCCUGAUGCUCACUGAUUCAUCCUUUUAAGCAUGCAUCAGUCACAUCACUGUCCUGCUCAAAACCCUCCUGUGCAAGAGUUCGGAUUCCAGGACCUCACAGCAUGAGCUCACCUUACCUGUAUUUCAUACCAUUUCUUACCUGUGCCAUACGUAUCAUCUGAAUCCUAGGACUCGAGGGUCAUUUGCUGUGAGUUUACUUACUUACUUGGCCGGCCGUGUGGCAAAAGCACCGUCUAAAAUUUCAAUUAAGACAUCUGUUAUCAAGCGUCUGUGGGUGUAAGCCGCUGUGCUGGUCACCGGAACCACCAGAAAAGAAGGUGUCGUUCUGUGCCUGCAAAGAGCUGAUAGUCCAGGAGAAGGGAGAAGACGACAAACAUGCAGGCAGCGUUAAGGAACGAGAUAGCAGAAAUGAACAUGUCACAAGGGGGUGUGUGAUUAAUUGCCAAAUAAAUGGCUCAAGAGUGUGGUGGUGACUACAGAAGAUAAUGUAUGUGGAAGUGCCUCUCGGCUGAAAAAUUCCCAGUUCCGGGCAGCACUGCCAUCCGCCCCUGUCCCACUCGGACGUGACUCUGGUUCCACUUCACACAGCUAGGCACCUGGACGGCCGUGCAAAGUCCUUGUGGGACGAGGCCCUGCUGGCCCCCCACCCUCGAACCCCGUGCUGCAGCCAUGCUGAAGAGCAGGUGCCACAUACGGUUCCCUCCUCCUCAUCUCCCUUCCUUGUCUAACUUCCUCCUUUCACACCCUGCGCUUCCUUCACCACUCAGCCUAGUGGUCGGUCGUCAGACUCAGGCACACUGCGGGCCGACCUGGCGCAUCCUCCGCCGAGCCUCCCCGCUCCCUUGCCAGACAGGCCUCCCCUCGUGUGCCCGGCGCCCAUCCCUCUCCUCCCUCCGAGGGAGGGAGCCUCCUGCGGCAGGCGCCCCGUCUCUCUCCUUCGUGCUCCUUGCACUUGACACAGCAUCAGACAUGGCGUACGUGUCCCCUGAGCGUUCGUCCCUUAACGCAUUAGGGGACUCCGUGAACAUGAGUUGAUUGACACGGUACAGACGUGACCGUCGCGAGUGGGGAGGCCGGAGCUGAGCCCUGGGGGGGUCCAGGUAGGCUCGCUCCGGCAAGGAGGAAACGCUGAACAGAACGAACAUUAAAAGGGCCGAAGAAGGAGAAGGGAUCCCAGGUGGAGGAGCUCAGUGCCCGUGAGCGCUGACAGCUCGGCCGUUUCUCACAGUACUCGGGAGCCGGAGGGCCUGCCGAGCAGGUGACGGCAGACAGCUUAUUUUAGUUGGAGCAAGGGGUUGUCUAAAGGAAGGAGAGAGAAUGCCCUGAAGGUGCUUUGGACGCCGCUGGUGGAAAGGCCUCAAAGGUACGUGGGUAUCUUGGAGACAGCGGAUGCCAUUUAUUGUUUUCAACAUCCGUGGUGACUUCAAGUGGCAUUGAAAGUGGGAGCUGCCCCGUGGCCCUGUCUUCAUCAUAAGUCGCGGCAUUGACACUCACGCAGAGACCCCCGAGACCAUAGGAUGCAGGUGCGAAGCCCCUCUGCCUCCAUCGCCUCACCUCUCGGGUGAAUCUUCCAUAAGACAAAGGCUUUCCUUCCGGCGCUGCCCUUGACCUGGCCCUGAGCCGUUGAUCCUUUGGGUCCAUUCAGCUCUGCCCUGUGCCUCUACCCUCGUGACUGGUAAUGACCCGGAAGGUGGCGGCACCCACGCAGCAGGUGGCCUCCAAAGCUGAGUCACCACCCUGGGAACAGUGCCCUGGGGAGGCCAGCUUGGGCGAACUAGGAACUCUCCACCUCGCCCGGGCCCUGUAAGGGCUCCCAGUGCAACAGCGAGAGCAAAGGAAAAAUGGGUUCUUGGACGCAUCUAGUGUUGUCACCGAGCUGAUAAGAAGGUGAAAUCAAGCCCACUGAAGAACUGAAAAGGAACUUAUCCUAAUGGUAGGCUCGCUGGUGUCUUUGGCAAAGCACCAAGAGUUGUUCUCUCACGAUUACAGUCCGGUCUAUGGUGGUUUCACUUAAACACACCAAAAUCACCCAUUUGCGGAUAUCUUUAAAAAUGCAACGAAGAGGAUUUUGAAAUGGUGUUUUAAAAUUCUGUUUGAGCUUCUGAAUUAAGAGAGUUUAAGAAGUAAAAUGGAGAGCUAUAUAAGCUAUAUCAAAUGAGGUAUAGGGUGGGGUUUUUUUGUUGUUUUUCACUAUUCAUAGAUGCUCUGAUGGAUGUUGGUGUUGAAAAUUAUGAUGCCUUUAUUUCAUUCCCAGGGAGGAUAAAAAUGUACUGUUGCUUUUAAAAGGAGGUUUAGGGGCACCUGGGUGGCUCAGUUGGUUAAGCGUCCGACUUCGGCUCGGGUCAUGAUCUCACGGUUUGUGAGUUUGAGCCCCACGUCGGGCUCUGUGCUGACAGCCCAGAGCCUGGAGCCUGCUUUGGAUUCUGUCUCUCCCCCGCUCUCUGCCCCUCCCCCACUGCCACUCUGUUUCUCUCUCCAAAAAUAAAUAAACAUUAAAAAAAAAUAAAAGGAGGUUUAAAAAAAAGUAUGGUUUGUUUACUACACCAAUGAAUAGAGAUGACCUCAGUCCAAAAAAAAAAAAAAAAAAAAAGAGAGAAAAGAAAAACAAGCGAACUCUAGUAUCUCUCCUUGCCUGGCAGAAUAAGCCUUUAUCAAGUAGCAAAAGAAGUACAAGCCGGACUGCCUACUCAUCAUCUCAGCUGAUCAUGAUUUUCCCAAAAACAAAGCAAAAAGCUCUCUACAUUUUCACAACUGAACAAUAACUCUUAGGAAAUACUACCAGCUUGCUCAGUUCCUAUAAGGCCAUUUAAAAAAAAAAGUCUGGUGACAAUCAGUCGGUUGCUUGACUGCAAAUUUUGUGCGUGGUUAACUCUGCUGUCCCCGCUGUGAGCUUUCAAAAUUGGAGAAAGUAGCAUUGCAUCUAUCGCCUUUUGAGUAUGGGAUUUUUUUAAAUUAAAAGUUGGUUUUGGUUUUUUGUUUUUGUUUGUUGUUGUGUUUUUUUGUUUUUUUUUUUUUACUUUACCCAUCCUAUGCCCAGUUAUUCCUAUACAGCUGAAUGUCUCUGAAGGCAAAAAUGAGGUCAUUUUCUCGAGCAAAUUGUCCUGAGUUCUAGUAUGCACAUGGUCUGUGACCUCCCUGGGGCCCAGACAGCUAACACUCAUGUUUCCUCCUUUAUUCUUCUGUUGACUUUCCAUGAAUACUGUAUGUAUAAAAAAUGAGCCAUACAAACAUUACAGAACAUUAAAAGGUUUCGUGGUUUUUCUAAGGCAGAAGAAUUGAGGUAGAUUCUACUAGAAACCAGAACUAUGUGCUGAUCCCUAUAUCCUUUGUGAUUUCAGAUCCAUAAAGGCUGAAUCUAAAUGCAUUUGGAGGUUAGAGGUCAGAUGAUUCUGCCGGAAUCCAUUCCACUCAAAAGAAUGUCUCGACUCUCUGGGUUUGGCAUGCGGUUUGGAGAAAGAGAAUUUUUU
This 156708-nucleotide long non-coding RNA is filed under the name Lynx pardinus (Iberian lynx). The stretch from base 29276 to 29360 matches the Rfam family "tRNA". Lineage: Eukaryota; Metazoa; Chordata; Mammalia; Carnivora; Felidae. The record is from RNAcentral.